Molecule: long non-coding RNA, 99341 nt
Filed under: Vitis vinifera (wine grape)
Lineage: Eukaryota; Viridiplantae; Streptophyta; Magnoliopsida; Vitales; Vitaceae
Description: long non-coding RNA (VVIN_LNC005240)
Source: RNAcentral
UUUUUUUAUUUUUUUUUUUUUUUUUUUUUUAUGUAUAGAAAAUUUUAAUAAAAUAAUUUAUUUGAUACUUAAAUAGUGUUUGCUUUUUUAUUGAAUAAAAAAAGUUAAAAUAUUUUAUUCAACUAAAAAUACCUUAUUGAUAUUAACCUAUAUCACUAACUGAAGUGAACUUGUUAUCAAUAAGUUUCGUUUAAUUAUGUUGAUUGAUGUCGAUUAGUUACUUUUAACGGAAUAGAAAAAAUCAAAUAUUUUGACUUUUUUUAUUCAGUAAAAAAAAAACAUCACUUUAGACAUAAAACAAAACAACUUUGCUUAUUAUUAUUAUUUUUUUAAAUAGAUUAAAUUAAGACAUGGGUUAAUAAUUUUAUUUAUUUAUUUUAAUUUAAUUUACUUUUCCAAUAUCUAGAACAGCAUGCCUUGUGCCCGUAAAUUCUGAACAAGGGAGGGGCCAAUUGCUAUUUGAGCAAGGGCAUAAUAUCUUAAGGUCUAUUGGUAAAUAUGAACAAAAAUGGGGUUAAUUUUUUUUUUUUUCUCCUUCUUCCUUCCUUUCACACCUACUACUUUUGUUGAGCAUGACUUUACCAAAUUUGGGCAAGGUGAUGUCUCAAUAAACAAAACAAAACAAAAAUAGCUAUAAGCAUUUUAUUCACAAAAUUCAAAAUAAAUUGUAUUUAUUUAUUUUUAAAAUUAAUUUUAAACCAUAUUUUAAAAAACAUAACUUGUAAAAAAAUAAUUUAAAACCUAAAAGAUAGAUUACAAAAUAAUAAUUUAAAAAAUAACCCACACACUGAACUCUUCCAUAUGAUAAAAACUCAUAAUUCAAAAAAAAAAAAAAUCUUAAAGUCCAUAAUUUUUUUUUAAAUUACUUAUAGUUUGAAAGAUAAUUUUUUAAAAUAAUAAAAUAUUUAAUAAAAUUUAAAAUAUACUUUAAAAAAUUUUUAAAAAUCAUUUAUAAUAUUUUUUUUAAAAAAAUAGUCAUAAAUUUUUGUCACCUGGCCAAGUGGGAAACCAUUUUCACUUGCGCAGCCGCGUCCACAAAAGGCCAAUCUCAGGUUUGUCAGUUAGCCAAUUACACUUUCCUCUGGCAGUCGUCAUCAAUUUGAAUUAAAAAUGGGGUUUCUCCAAUAAGGAGGAGCAGCAAAGCAAUGGAGAUACUCAAUUCUCCAAUGAAUGCCCCUAACUUUCUCCACAAAAAGUCACCCUCCUUUAUGCUUCACCUCAAGAUCAAAAUCCUUUUUUUUAUUCUUUCUUUUUCUCUUGAUUUUUUCUUUUCUUUUCUUUUCCACCAAACACAUGUAGGCCACCUGAGCUUCCAUGUGUUUCACCAAAUUUGAAGCUCUAGAUGGUGGGGUUCAACCUCCUUUUUCUCACCCUAACUAUGGGUGUUUGUAUUGCUAGAAAAAGACUUGUAAAAGUUCAUUGGAAGGAAGCUGAACAGGAAAGCCAAGUAUUAGGAGGAUUUUCAUAAAGACUCAUACAUUCAAACUAUGAAAUGUGUUAGGCAACAACCUUUCAUGGAGCUAGGAAUGUGUUGGUUCGAGGAAUCUCUAUUCGAUGGUCAAGUUCGUAUUUUGAUCAUAGGAAAAAAUGAAGAGAAAAAAAAAAAAAAAUUUUAUAAUAUGCUUGAAAAAACAAUUAUGAGAGAAAUAAAAACACUUUCAAGUAUUAUGAAGCAUUUCUUUUGUAAAAAUAACAUGAUUUGUAAAAAUUUUUAAAUCACUUUUAAAAACUUGAAAUAAUUCACAAUCACUUUAAAAAUUCACCUUAGAAAACUACGACAAAAUCACGUGCAUUUUUUAAUCAUUAGUAAUUAUGAAGUUAUUUGUAAUACAAAAUUUUAAAAUUAUUUUUCAUAUUUAUAAUUAUUUCUCGUAAUAUUUUAUAAUAAAAAAAUAUAUAUGUCUAAUUUAUUUUAAAAAUCAACUUGAUUUUAAAAUAAUAUCUUUAAAAAAAAAACGAUUUUGAAUCCCAAAUUUAUGUGAGUUAAUAGGAAGAUUCCAUUGAGACUUUUAGAAAAUGGGUAGAUAUCAUGCCUCUUUAACCAAAUAGCACUGAGAAAAAGGUACAUCAUUAUUUCCCGAUUCAAAGCAUUUCUUUUUUUAUUUUUUGGUGUUUGAUUCCAUGAAUUUCAGUGGAUUUAAACCUGCAUCUGAACCCAAAUCCACAAAAUAAUUACAUCCUAAAAGCAAAAAGUAAGGUGGGUUUUGUCCUUUAGUUAUUAUUAUUUUUAAAUAAUAACUAACAAAGUUAAAUACUAAAUUAAUUUUUUUAGUGGCUUUAUGAUUUAAAUUAUUUUAAAAUUAUUUUUAUUUUUAGUUUAUCACUUUUUUAUAAAUAAUUUUGUCUUAGUAAAAAAUAUAUAUAUUUCACUAUUUGAGGAAAAUAAAAAUGAAAUAGUAAAACGACGCCGUUUUUAUAGGGUUAAAAACUAAAAAGGAGAAAAAGAUCCGGCUUGCCGGAUUCGAACCAGCGACCUAAGGAUCACAGCCAUACUACAGUCCUCCGCUCUACCAACUGAGCUAAAGCCGGUGUUGUUUUGUGUUGCAUCAGAAAAAGUAUAUAAAUAAGAGUUCGUUUGCAUGAUUUUCCUCCUAGAAACUGUUUAAACACAUUUUAAAAGACAUUUUUUAAAAUAUGAAAAAACGCUUGAUAAGUAAUUCUCAUCAAAAUAUUUUGAAUAAAAAUAUUAUCAAACACAUUCUUUAUUCUUUAUGCGUUUGAUAGUAAUUUUAGAAAAUGUUUUUAGUAUUUUUAAAUAAAAACGAGAUCACAGACAAAAUUUAGGAAAUACUUAAAAAAAAAAAUCACUUUUAAUAUUGAAAAUUUAUUUUUAAAGUUUUAUGGAGAAACACUUAAUAGACAAUUUUUCUAAAAACAUUAUAAAAGAAAACACUUUCUCUUAAUGCAUUUGGUAAUGAUUUUUUAAAAUGUUUCUAAUAUUUCUAAUACUAAAAAAUAAAAAUUUUCAAAUAUUAGAAAAAUUAAAAAUACUUUUCAAAAACACUAUCAAACACGUUUUAAAAACACUUCGAAUAAAAACACAGCCAAACGUUUUUAAAGAAAUCAACUUCAAUAAAAAAUUCAUGUAAACUCCAUCCAAUGUCAAUCAUAAUUUUUUUGCAGGUGACUCCUAAUUAAAUAUUUCCUUAAUUACUCAUGUUUCAAGGGACCCUUUUUCUUUUUCCUUACAAAAAAUAUUGAAAAUUUGCUGGUUUUCAGUGUUAGGAAUGGAAGUCAAGAACAAGGGUGUCACAACAAAAUAUUCAGAAUAUCAUUUCAUCAAAUCUUUUUGAUUCCAUGAGAGCUGAGUACAUUGAUACAGACAAUAUACAGAUCUGCAGGACAGGAUUGGUAUACAAAUAGUAUAUCACCAAUGAAAGAAACAGGAAAAGGAGGAAAAGAAGUAGAAUGAUUCACUGAUAGAACUGAUUUCACGUGGCAAAAUCACUGGUAAUAAUACUCCAUAAGCAGUAGGUAGGAGGGUAUAUAGAAGCAUCAAUCAACAGAAACAGGUUGCAUGUUUUCGGCUUCUUUCCUCAGUUCUUGAAACAGGACAGAUGACAAGUACCGCUCCCCGAAACUUGGAUGAAUAGUCUGAGAAAUUCAAGCCAACAACAGCUUUCAGCAAUGAAUAAUACUUUGGAUGAUGGUGUUUGUAGAAGAAAAUUAUACAAGGUGUUCAUACCACUAUCAGUUUGCCUUUGUUCUCUGGCCUUCUUGCUAGCCUUAGUGCUGCAACUGUGUUAGCUCCUGAUGAUAUCCCCACCUGCAUGAACCAGAAGUUAGACAAAUGAUCAAUGUAAACCGAUCUUUGAGUCAUUUUCUUUUAAGCCCAACUGCAAAUCCCUACAUGGAGUCCAAAAUUAGAGUGUUUCAUUUGAAUCAUAGCUUAUUGUAAAGAAGAGCUCUGAGUUGGGAAUUCAGACCAGAGUCCAAGGAUAUGAAUUAAAGACUGAAGAAUUAGAGACUUUGUAGCGACAUUUGAGUUAUUACCAUAAGCCCUUCCUUCAGUGCCAACUGCCGGGCCAUGUUGACUGCAUCUUCACUAGAAACCUGGAUCGUGAAGCUUGAAACUCGGUCAAGUGAAAUUGGGAAUGACUGUUGGAGCUAUAAAAUUACCAAAAAUGAAUUCAUACCGUCAUACCAUCAUACCAAUCAUACAGUUAACAUUGCUUACCAUGAGAACUUCUUCCAUUACAUCCAUGUCCAGGAUAUCUGGUUUGAAUCCAACCCCAUUGCCUGUAAUAUGAUGAGGACCUGUUCCAAUUGACAGCAUUAGGGACUGUAACUCAAGCCAUAAAUGAGCUUUCAAUAACACAGGAUUAACACCAUAGUGACUUAUGAUCAUAACAACAUAUGUUUCCACUAAUGUUCCGUUUGGUAGAGCAGAGGACAUAGGAAAAGAGGGGAACAGUUGGAAUCUUACAACUCUUCCAACCCCAGACAUGUUUAGCCUCCUCUCCUUAUUUUCUUUUAUUCUGUACUAUUCUUAGCAACCAAACAGAGGGUACACAGAAAAUCUCCCUGAGAAGAAUACAACAAGAUAGAUUAUAGAAUUGAGACAUUACCUGGCUUACCACCAUUCAGUACGUUGCUUUCAGUUGGCUCAAGUCCAUAUAUCUACCAUAAUAGAUUACAAAAAAAGAAAAAGAAAAAUCAACAAAAACAAAAGAAGAGCUACAAUUCAAUUCAAGCUACAAUAUACCUUGACAGAGAUGAAAUAGGUAGAAGGAUUAUUACCUUAACAUUAGGAUUCUGGGAUUUCAGAUAACGUCCAACCCCAGAGACAGUGCCACCGCUACCAAUUCCCAUUAUAAAUAUGUCAACUUGUCCACGAGUAUCCUCCCAUAUCUCUGGACCUGUAGUUUCAAAAUGCACCUGUUUUUCGAUUUUUGAGGUCAAUCAUAUACAUACCAUCCACAAAGCAAUCUACCUUGAAUAUCUCAUACCAUGUUUAGCAAAAUCAGGAACCGGGUAAACAAAAUCAGGAACCAGGUAAACAACUAGUACAGGAAAAUUCAGAACAUUUGGGACAAACACAGCUCUGAAAAAACCUAUGAAAAGUGGAUAUGAAGGGAAAAAAAUCAUGGGGAUGGUGAAUAGGUACCUGGGUAUUGGCAGGAUUUGAAAAUUGUUGAAGCAUGAAAGCAUCUGGGGUGGAUUCCAAAAGCUCAUAAGCCUUUUUAACUGUUCCUCCCAUCCCCUUGGUGGGAUCAGUGAGAAUCAAAUCAGCCCCAAAUGCUCUCAUGGUCACUCUCCUCUCCAAGCUUGUGUAGGAAGGCAUGGUCAGAACCAUCUUGUACCCUUUCAUGGCCGCCAUAAACGCCAUGCUAAUCCCCAUAUUUCCCGAUGUGGGCUCAAUCAGCACAGUCUAACAAACACACAUCAGGAAUCAGACAAAUCCCAAAAACUCUAGCCAAUAUGGUACCAAAAAAAAAAAAAAAAUUAGUAAUCUAACCUUCCCAGGAGUGAUCAACUGUUUGUCUUCUGCAUCUGUGAUCAUGGCUAGUGCUGGCCUAAAGAGUAGAAACAAACAAAUACAAAUCAAAUAUAUAAGCCCUAUCUGUAAAAGCACUAUCUGCAGUGAAUUUCAGGGUACCUGUCUUUGAUGCUAGCAGUGGGUUGCAUCAUCUCUUGCUUGACAGCUACAUAAGCUCCACACCCUUCUGUGACUUUGUUCAGAAAAACCAGAGGAGUCUUCCCAAUAAGCUGAACCAUGAAACAAAAGUGAAUUCCAACGGCCAAAACGAAGGAUUUGAAUGAACUAAACAGCUCAAAUUCAUAAAAAAAAUUCUCUCCCAACCCAAAAAAACCAUGAACACCCAAAACGGAGAAAAUCCGAAACAAGGCCAGUCAGAGAAACGGAGAAAUUUAAAACGACGUCGUUUCCUGAGCGGAUUGCUGAAAUUAAACUGUUUAACUGUUUCUUUCCGCAGUUUCCUACUCCACCAAACACAUUUGUUAUAAAAAUAAUCAACGAAUGGGAAGAAGAGAGAGAAAGAAAAAAGAAAUACCUGAGAAACUUCUUUUUUGAUGUUGGUCCCUGGAAGAUCCUUGGGCAGAUCUCUGAUUCUCUGGGAAAAAGACGGAGAAUCGAGGAUAGGUUGAGUGGAGAACCAUCUGCGUAUAGCGAGACUGGUAAAGGGUAUCGACGAUUUUCUCUUGAAGAAGCUCGAGAGAGCCGCCAUUGAUGAAGAGCUUCUUCACUGUACCUCAAAACUCUCUUUGACUUCUGCUCUUUCGAGACAACAAGUGUGAGGUGUGAGUAAGGUUAUAUAAUAAAUAAAUUUGGAGAAGAAGAAAUGAAGAGUACGUAAAUCGCAUUUUCCACCCCUGAAAUUUUUAAAUAAUUGCGAGUAUUGCUUCUCUUUUUUGAGAAAUUGCAUUAAUGGCUCGCUUUUUAAUUUUAAUUUAAAAAAAUGGGGCUGCCAUCUGCCAUCGUGUGGAGCAGCGAAUGUGACCAUUUUUGAGGAAGGUUUGGUAAAAAAGGAAGUACGUGAUCUUCGAUUUGCAGCCGCCCAUGUUAACCAUGGAUGAUGGAUGGAAAAUGAUGUCAUGUUUGGCGAGAAAAUUCCUUUUUGUUAAAGAAAAUUCAACGCUGCCUUUUGAAAAUCACCCAUUUUUGAAAAGGAAUUAAAAAGAAUGGCUUAAAGUUGAUAAUUUUCUAAAAAUAGAAGAGUUUUGAAACAAGAUAGACUGACAGAUCUAUGAAUGUCUUCGAAAGAUAACUUGAAGUUGGUCAAUUUAAUGUUGACUUUUUAUUUGGGGUUGAUAGGUAUAAAUAAAUUUAUUUUAAAUUAUUUUACUUUCUGGAAAAUGUUCUUAUAAUAGACCAAGAAAUUCUUUGAUAUAAAGAAAAAAUAAAAGAGAUAAAUACUAUGUUUGGUUUCAAGAAAAUACGAGGGAAAGAAAAUAGGAAGAAAAGGUAAAAAGGAAUGAAAACGAAAGAAAAUAAGAAAUAGAGUUAAAGUCAUUAAAUUAUUUUUAUUUACUACUUCAAACUCAUUUUAUUUUUUUUAAUCCAUCAAUAUAAAGAUUAAAUAAUUUAAAAUAUAUAAAUUUUUAAAUAAUUUUAAUUAUAUUUAAUUUUCUUUGAAAUUUUUUAUAUGACAAUCAAAUAUGAGAAAAUUAUUUUUUUUAAAUAUUUUUUUUAAUUUUCUUAGCAUUUUUUGAGAAUCAAACAUAGUAAAAGCGUUUCUAAGAAUUUAAAAAUAUUUUUAAAAUUUUAUAAAACAUUUAAAUUUUUUUCAAAAACACUUAUUAGACUAAAAAAGUUUUUUUGAAUUAUUGUCAAAUGAAUUCUAAGGAUGAAAAACUUAUUAUUUUAUUUAUUUAUUUUUAUUUAAAAAAAUAAUUAAUAAAUUCAAAAACUACUUUUGAAAACUUGUUAAACCACAACAUAUGCCUCUCCAAUCCAGAGUCUGUUGGAUUGGGAUGAAGAUGAGGAGAUUGAGGAGAAUGGAUGAGAGGUGUGGAAUAACUUGGAAACUUUACCAAAUAAAUCUUUCCAAAUUCCAUGAAUCAAUGUCACCUUUUAAAAGGAAAAAGACAAGGCAACCUUGCGUGCCUUUUGAAAAGGGGAAGAAGAGAGGUCCCUCCAUAUCUUCACCUACCAUUCCCUCGAAAGCAAAUGGAGGCCUACACGUAUUUAAUUAUGAAAAAAGAAACUAUAUAAUAAAAUAACAAAAUGGGUGCUCCAAAUUUCAAUCACAAAUUAUGGUGACACCUGACGUAUGGAUGAUGAAUUAUAUGUGAAUAGGGGUAUAAACUAUUUAAAAAUUUUUUUAACACGGUUUGAUCAUUGUUUUUUAAAAAUAAAAUAAAAUAAAAAAUAAUUUUUAGAGAAUAAGUAUAAAUUAUUUUUUCUAUUUUUUUAAAUUAUAAAACAAAAACAGUUUUUUAAAAUAAUUUUUUAAAAACACGUCCAAAUGUAGCGUUUAUAUCCCUCCUUCAGGAAAAGAUAAAUUAUGCAAAUGGUUAAAAUUAAGAUUUGGUGGUUGCGUGGUUCAAUUUGAUAAAGAAUUCAUGUACCAAUUUCAAAUAUAAAUAAAUCUCAUUGGGUAAGACCAUGUAAUAAAGAAUACGCAUAUAUAUACAAUUUGGUAAGACCAUAUAAUAAAAUAUGUUAGGGUCAAAAUCAUGUAUUUUUGUUUACUUCUUCUUUUGGCCUAUCCUUACCUUCUUCGGCUCUUUUUCAAAAUAACGAAUCUAGAGCUUAGAAAUAUUUGAAGGCAACUAGAAUCAAAGACUUGAAUAAAUUUUGUAGUAUUCAAAUGGUCGAUAUUUUGAUUAAAAAAAAAAGGAAAUUGAGAAAAAAAAGUACAAGACCAUUAUGAUGAUAAAAUUAAGAAAAAUGAAUAUUAAAAAAUAUAAAUUAAAAAUAAGAAAAACUUUAUUAGCCUUAUAUUUCUUCAUAUAUUCAUUUAUUUUAAUAGUUAUUAUUUGGGAGCAUAUCUUAAAAAUAUUUAUGUUAAAACUUGAGAUGAUUUUAAUAUUUUUUUUUAUAAUUUAAUAUAAUCUACUUUUCUAUAAAUAAUAAUUUUUAAAAAAAUUUAUAUUUGAUUUUGGAAAUAUAUUUUCUAAUAUUUAAAAAAAAAUUCUAAAUAGAAAUGCCUCGUAAACAUUGAGACAUCUACUAAAAGAACAAAUAUACAUAAAAAAAAAAAAACUAAUUUCAUAAUUCAUAGAAGAUUCGUUUCCCCAAAACCAAACAUUAUAUUGGGUUGAAUAUUUGGAAUUAUAUCUAAAUUAUUGUUACUUGUCAAGUAAAUAUAAUAUGGUGUCAAAGUCAUCAUUAAUUAUAAUAAAAAAGAUUCUGUGCUACCAUAAAGACAAACUUAUCAUUGAAAAAGAUGAAUAAAUUGAUUCUAAUGUUUGAUUUAUUUGUUAUAUACUAUGAUCCACCCACUAAGAACAAUUUAAAAAGAGGUCACAAAUCAAAAGAAAAUAAAAAAUUGAUAAAUAUGCUCAAGAUUUUAUAGGGUCUUGGUAAUUUCAAGAUUAAAUUUGUUAUUAAAGUUGAAAAAAAUUCAAAUUAAAAUAUGUUUAUUUUAAUUUUAUAUGGUAUGGUGUUACUUAACACAUAGUGAUAUCUAUUUUUUAUUUUUUAAUUUUUCAUUCCUAUUAAUUAGCCCAAUAUAAAUGAAUCUUUAAUAUGUUACUAUAUUUAACUCUUAUAUUAAGUUUUUUUUUUUUAAAUAACACCGAAUAAUAAUAAAAAAAAUAUUUCUUUUUAUGUCUUAUUUAUUUAUUUUUUAAAAUGUGUUUGUUUUAUGAUUGAUAGAGUUUUCUUUAUAAUUGUCAUAAUGGUAUAAAAGUUUAGCCUCUUUUGUUUUGUAUUUUUUGUUUUGUUUUGUUUUUUUGUUUUUAAAUCCUUUGUUCUAUUAGGGAUAAAAUGGGAUGAGUAGUUAAAAAAUCUAUUUUAUUGUCAUCUUUAAGUUAUAUAAAUAAGAAUUUUAAAGUUAAAAAAUUCUUUUAAUAUAUUUCUUUAAAUUUAUUUCACUUAUUUUUUUCAAAUGAAAUAAUUUUAAAAUGUAUGAAUUUUUAACUAAUUUUAAUUAUAUUUGAAUUCCCUUUUGAAUUAAACUGUUUUUUUUAAAAUAAAAACAAAAAAGUAUGGAUCAACUCAAAGGUAAAAAAUAAAUAAAUAAAUAAAAUCGAACCUCAAGUCUAUCAUCAUAAGAUACCAUUUAAUAUUUGACAAUCCAAGGUCAUUAUCAUUUAUCAUUAUAAUAUCCUCUACAUGGAUAAAAAAUAUAAAUUUGAUAAAUCUAUAUUUAUUAUUAAGUUAUAUUAUAGAUUAUUUUAUAAUAUUAUUAUGAUAAUAUGUUUAAUUUAAAAAUAUAUUUAAUAUUAAAAUUAUGGUCCAUUUUAAUUUAAAUGUAUUCAAUGAUAUCAAAUAAAUAAUAAUAUAUGCAUAAUUUUUUUAAUAUUUAUUUUAAUUAUAUUUAAUAAAUAUAUAGAUUAUAUAAAAAGACCUAUUCAGAAAAUUAUAUUUUUAUAUUUUUGGUAAUAAAUUAAAUCAAAUAUAAAAUAUAAAAUAAUUAUAAUUAAUUUAUUUAAUAAUAAAAAAUUAAAAAAUCACGGUAAAAUAUCCAUAAAUAUUGGUUGAAACAAUAAAAAAUCGAAAAAUUAAUAAAAUAUUUGAAAAUAUUGGUUUACGGAUAUAUCUUUCCGGAUUUUAUAUCCGAAUCCACAUUUUGACUAUAUAUCAUGAUAUUUUAAUCUUUGCAUAGGCAUUCACCCGUCCUUCAUUUUUCCAUCACCUUCUCCCUCUUCUAGAUGAGAACGAGACUAAUGGCUUUGCCCUCAAGUUCAGAUUGGCCAUCACUCCCUAUAAAUCUUCUCGAUUCGAUCUUAGAUUACUUAGUGCCCAUGGAGGACUACCUCACAUUCAGUGAGGUUUGCAUUGAAUGGCACUAUGCAGUUCGUGGAAAACUUCAGCAUUUACGCUCUAACCAUAAACGCCAUCGUCGGCUGCACCAACAAGUCCCAUUGUUAAUGGCUCCCCUCGCAGGUAAUCCCAGAGAUAGGUGCUGUUUAUAUGACGUCAUGAAAGGAAAAAGCCUUUGGGAGGUUCAGUUGAGGCUGCUGGGGCGAUGGAGGUGUGAGGGAUCUUCUCAUGGCUGGUUUUGCGGGCUGUCGGCCAAAUUCUAUUUACUUCUGCCAAGGUCGUAGUAUGUCAAAUCCUUCAGACGGAAGUGUUUAUGUUUUUGUUUUCAGUCUAAAUGAUAGGACUGUUACACCACUUUACCCAUAUUCCCGACAACCUUUACUUUGGAUUUCUCCAAAAUUUGUGUGAAGCUAUUAUUCUCUUUUAUUUGUUUAUAUUUAUCUUUCUCCUAAUAUAAUGGAAUCAACAUUAUGUUACGGUGUGUUCACAGAGAAUAGAGAAAUUUUCUUAAUAGUAUUUCAAUGAGAAUAAGCCAUAUAUUUUCAUUUUUAUAUAUACUUUUAUUUUAUUUUAUUUUUUAAAAGUAAUUAAUAAAUUCAGAAACUAUUUUGUCAAACACAAGAUAUACCUAUUGAAUGUAAAGUUUGCAUUGGAAUGUAAACGAGAAUGGAUGAUAGGUGUGGAAUAAUUUGGAAACUUUGCCAAUUAAAUCCUUUCCAAAUACCUUUUAUUUUUAUUUUUUAUAAAGCAUAAAUAAUUAUUUUUUGAAUUUCAAACUUAUAGGCAUUGUUUAUAAAAAAAAAAUUAUUUUUUAUUUAAUUAUGUAUAUAAAUGACAAAGUAAUACGGGUGGAAUAAGAUAAUACUAGAACCAAUAUUUUCUUAAACAUGUUUCUAAAUAGGAUUUUUCAAAAAUCCGUCAUGUUCCAUCAAAAUGAGACAAGUGCUUUGAAAAAUCUAUUUCAUUUUCAAAAAUCCGUCAUGUUUGAUAAUGAGACAGGUGCUUUGAAAAAUCUAUUUCAUUUUCAAAAAUCCGUCAUGUUCUAUCAAAAUGAGACAGGUGCUUUGAAAAAUCUAUUUCAUUGUCAUCUUUUGAAGCUAAGGAAGAGGAGAACUCAAAGUUAUUUUGGUAUUACUAACAUAAAAUCAUUAAUUUUUUUUUAAUCUAAAAUGUAAGUAAUUAUAUUAAAUUGUUUAGUUCUAUAGUAAGGUGAUGUUUAUUUAUUUUCACUUAAUUUAAAUAGAAUUUAAGAUUAAAUGGUGCUUGUUAAGUAUUAAGUUAUUUGCUUUUUUAAAUAUUUUAUUUUUAUUAAGUAUUAAAAUCAAUAAGUUACUUUUAACCUUUCCAAAAAGUAAAAUAUUUAAAAUUUAUAUGAUAUAGUGUUACUUAACAUAUGAUGAUGUUUGCUUUUUUAUUUUUUAUUCUUAUUUGAAUGACUUAAUCAAUUAAUCAGACCAAUAUAAAUGAAUCCUUAAUUUGUUACAAUAUUUAACUCUUUUAUUAAUUUUUUUUUCUAAGUAACACUCAAUAAUAGUAAAAAAAUAGAAUGAAUUUUCUAAUUAAGAAGAUAAAUAUUUCUUCUGUGUCCCUUUUCUUUUGUAAAAAAAUGUGUUUGUUUUAUAAUUUAAUUUUUUUUUAUAGAGAAACUUUAUAUUGUCUCAAUGCUCAUGAUGUUUAGUGCCUUUUGUUUGUUUGUUUGUUUUUUUUUUUUUAAAAUAGGGUUGAUAGGGUUUUAGAAGGUAUUUGAAUCAAUCAAACUCUAAAGCUAUGUUUGAUUUUAGAAAAAAUUGAGAAAAAAUGUGAGAGAAAAACAUGGGGAAGAAAAGUGAAAGAAAAGAAAAAACUAAGGAAAAUAAAAAGUAAAUUCAAAAUUAAAAAAUUCUUUUAAUAUACUCCUUUAAAUUCAUUUAACUUAUUUUCUUUCAAAUUAAAUAAUUUUAAAAUACAUGAAUUUCUAAGUAGUUUGAAUUAUAUUUGAAUUCUUUUUUGAAUUAAUUUUUUUAAUAAAAAAAUAAAGAUAUUGGAUCAACUCAAAGGUUAAAUAAAAAACCGAUCCUCAAGUCUAUCAUCAUAUUAUACCAUUUAAUAUUUAACAAUCCAAAUUAUCACUUAUCAUUAUAGUUUAAAAUAAUAGUUUCUCGUUAAAAAAAUACAAUAUCUAACAAAAAUAAGCCCUAACCAUCACUCACGUCAUCUCAUAUUUAUUUAUUUAUAUUUUAAAAUAUAUUUAAAAAUAAAUAAAUUUAUUUAAUGUAAAAUGUCUCUUUUUUUUGUUUUUUUUUGACAAAAAUAAUAAGCAGGUUUGAAGUUUAAGGAUUAUUUAUGAAUUUUUGUACAAUUUUACACCUAAACCUUCAUAGGUUGAAAUUAAGACUCGGUAGUUGUGUGGUUCAAUUUUACAAAGAAUUCAUGCCCCAAUUUAAAAAAUAAAUACAUAUUGUUUGGUAAGACCAUGUGAUAAAGAAUGUUCAUUGUCGAAACUAUGUCUACAUAUAUUAUUUGGUAAGACUAUAUAAUAAAGUAUGUUAGGGGUCAAAAUCAUGUAUUUUUGAGGUUUCAACACACUUGAACAAAAAGAAAAUAAAAAUAUGCUAUUGUGAUUAACUAUGAGAUAUAGGAUUUGUGAAUAAUAAUAAUAAUAAAAUUAUUUAAUAGAUGAAUAAUUAAUUUAAGUAUGUUUAUAUAUAAAAAAAAGAAUAUAUAUUAAAAACUAUAGACAAUAAGGCUUUGAAAAUAGAAAAUCAAGUAAAUAAAUAAUUUUUUUUCUAAAAAAGAAUAAUAUAUAUGAAAGAAUAAAGAUAUACAGAAAGCAUUUUUACAAAGUAAAUUAUUUAUUUAUUUAUUUAUUUUAUAAAAAGAAAUAAUAUAUAAUAAAGAAAUAUGAAAAUUAAAUAAAUAAAUUAUAUAAAAUUUGUUAUAUAUAUGAAAAAUAAAGAAAUAUGGGAAAGAAGGUUGAUUAAAAUAUGAAAAUAGAAGGUUUAAAAUUUAGAGUAAUGGAUAAGUAAAGUUUUAAAAUUUAGAAUGGUAAAAAGAAUAUUUUUAAUGCAUGAUCAGAUAUUUAAGAAAAUUUCAAAAUAUAAAUUAUUUUAAAAAAAUAAGAAGUAAUCUACAAAGAGGAUUCUUUAAUAUAUAGACAUAGAUAUAAAUUAAACUAAAAUAUUUAUUAUAAGAUUAAAUUUUAUUAUUAAAUUCUAUAAAUCUAGAGAGUUACAUUGGAUUGAAAUUAGGUUUCUAGACCUAAUUGGAUCGUCAUUCCUAAAUGUAUAUACACAUGCACCGCCCUUUAUUUUUUCUUAUACGUUAAACCAUAGUUUGUUAAACCCUAAUUUUUCCUCUUCUCGAUCACAAUCAGAAUAAUGGCUUUGCCAAGAUCAGAUUGGGCAUCACUUCCUAUAAAUCUUCUCGAUUUGAUCUUAAAUUAUUUAGUGCCCAUGGAGGACUACCUCAGAUUCAGUGAGGUUUGCAUUGAAUGGCAAUAUGCAGUUCGUGAAAAACUUCAACAUUUGCGCUCUAACCAUAAACGCCAUUGUCGUCUGCACCAAAAAGUCCCAUUGUUAAUGGCUCCUACCACAGAUAAUACCAGAGAAAGGUGCUGUUUAUAUGACGUCAUGACAGGAAAAAGCCUUUGGGAGUUUCAGUUGAGGCUUGGGCGAUCGAAGUGUGAAGGAUCUUCUCAUGGCUGGUUGAUUCUAGUUGAAGAUGAUUCUUAUAAGGUAACCCUCUUCAACCCAUGCUCCUCGAAGCUCAUUCAUCUUCCUCCUCUAGAAAAACCAAUGUCUUUUGAAUAUUCUGGUCGUAUAUAUGAGGAAAGUUUCCCUUCUUCCCGGAGGAGGAGUGUAUUGUGUAUUGAUCCUGAUGUGAAUAGGGAUGAGUUUGUACUCAUGAUGACAUGUGAUGGUUUGAUAAGAAGGGUAGCAUUCAUUAAAUCAGGAGAAGAAGACUGGACUUAUAUUGAAGGGUUGCAGGAUGUGAAAGACAUUGUCUACAGUAAUGGGUUCUUCUAUGUAUUAGACGGAUGGGGUGUGCUCUUUUCUUGUGAUGUGAGUAAGGAUUUGAAAGUGAGAAGGAUUACUUCACCUGAAAAUCUGUGUGGUCUUGUCUUAUAUUUGGUGGAAUCUCCCGAAGGAGAUUUCUUACGGAUCGUAAAGCAAAAGUAUACAGGGAAUUUUGUGAUUUAUAAGUUAGUAUGGUUUUCAAAGAAUCCAAGAUGGGAGGAGGUUACGAGUUUGGGCGAUGUGGGUUUGUUUUUGGGAGAGAAUCAUUCGACUUCUGUUAUAGCUUCUGAUUUUGCGGGAUGCCGACCAAAUUCUAUAUACUCCAUAAAACCUUGUAGGUAUCCAAAUGAUUCAUAUGCAAAUGUUUACGUUCUCAGUCUAAACGAUAGGACUGUUACACGGCUUUAUCCACGUUCCCGAUCACCCCUACUUUGGAUUUCUCCAAAAUUUAGGUGAAGCUAUUAUUCUCUUUCAUUGGUUUAUGUUUCUCUUUCCCCUCUGUAAUUUUUGCCCAUAUAAUGAAAUGAACAUUAUGUUACAUUAUGUUAUGGUGUGUUUUAUAGGGUUUUUUUUAAUGGUGUGUUUGGUAGAGAAGAAGUCCAUAUAUUUUUUAUUUUUAUAUAUAAUUUUAUUUUAUUUUAUUUAAAAAUAAUUCAUAAAUUCAAAAACUAUUUUGUGGAAGACAAGAUAUACAUUGGAAUGAAAAUGAGAAUGGAUGAGAGGUAUGGGAUAAUUUAGAAACUUUACCAAUUAAAUCCUUUCCAAAUACCUAAUUUUCUAAAGCAUAAAUAAUUAUUUUUGGAAUUUCAAAAGGGAUUCUUAAAAUUCAAAUGAAAAAAAAAAAAAAUCUCUUUUUAAUAAAUUUAUCUAAAAUAAAAUGAUUUUUUUGUUUUGUUUUGGCACUUUUUUUUUUCUAUUUAAGGUUUGAACUUUUAUAAAGAAGUCACAUCCUAAAUUCAAAUAUAAACACAUAUUAUUUGAUAAAUCUAUUUAAUGGAAAAUAAAAAUAAUUACCAUUUGGGAUUUUUAAAAAAUUUAUAUUAAAAUUUGAGAUAACUUUGACAUUAUUUUUUUGUGUGUUUAAAUUCAAUACAAUCUACUUUAAAAUUUAUAUCUUGUACCCUUAAAAUUUUAUUUCACAUUUCAUUUUGAAAUACAUUUUCUAAUAUUUUUAAAACUUUUCUAAAUAGAAAAAAAAAAAAGUGAUCCGACGAUAGGGAAUGAACUCAAUAGUCUAUCAUCAUAUUUCAACAUUUAAUAUUUAACACUAUCUAAUAAAAAUAAGCCCUCUCGAAAGGCCAUGCAAUAAAGUUUCACCUUCAUAGAUACCUACUCAUUGAGUUUUUAUAAAGAAAUAAAUACAAUAAUAAAUAAAUAUAAAAAUUUAAGUAAAUAAAGGUUUAUUACAAUAGAAAAAUACUGUAGGUAGCAAAAACAAGCCCUAACCCCCAACCCCUCGAAAUAAAGCUCUACCUACUAAUUAGCUAUGAAAGAUAGGAUUUAUGCCUUCAAUAACAAUAUUAAUAUAAUAUAGAUAGGAAUAAAUACAUAAAUGGAUAAUUUGGUAAAUAUAUAAUUCCAAUUUCUUUAUAUAUAUAAAAAAAUAAAAUAAGGUUUUGAAAAUAGAAAAUCGAGUAAAUAAAUAAAUUAUUUAUUUAUUUAUUUUUAAAAAGAAUAAUAUACAUGAAAGAAUAAAGGAAUAGUGAAAGAAUGUUUACUAAAUAAAUUAUUUAUUUUAUAAAAAAUAAUAUAUAUUAAAGAAAAAUGAAAACUCAAAAAUAAGUAUAUAUAUAUAUUGUUAUAAAAUAUGAGAAUUUAUUGGAUUAUGAGAAUUAUUACCAUAUAUAUAUUUCUCUUCAUACAUUCUAAUUUCUAUUUUUUUUUAUAAUAUAUAUGGAAAUAAAAGGAUUAAUUUUUCUUUUUAUGUUGCACAUAAGAAAAUUUAAAUAUAUGAGUAUUUUAUGCCAAACAGAUCUAAAAAGUUUUAUCUAAAUUUAAAUAUUAACAGUACGUGGAGAUUGAAGAACAAAUGUAUGGAAAAAAAAAAUGAAAAUAGAAUGAUAGAAUAUUUUAUAAUGGAUGAGAAAUUUUCAAUAAGUGAAUUAGUUUUAAAAAAAAUAAAAAAAAAGUCUACAAAGAGGAUUCUUCUAGAUAUAGAUAUAAAUUAUUUUAUUAUUUACAAAUUAGAUUGAAAUUAAGGUUCCAAACCAAAUUGAUUAUAGCUAGGGUUUUGUUUUGUCCUCAUUCCUAUAUAUAUAUAUAUAUAUAGGCCUGCAUCAGUCCUUUCUUAUACGUUAAACCCUAAUUUUUUAUCAUCUUCUUCCUCUUCUCGAUCACAAACAGUAUAAUGGCUUUAUCCUUAAAUUCAGAUUGGGCAUCAUUGCCUAGAAAUAUUCUCAAUUCGAUCUCAGAUUACUAAGUCCAAACAAUAUCAAACAGAGUAUGAGCUUAUUAUUUUCUUUCAAACUAAAACUCUCAAUGAGUGACACACAUACAGAAUUAUAUGAACAAAACAUGAAUAAAACAUAACAGAGUCAAACUAAGUCCAAACAAUAUCAGAGUAUAGGCUUAUUAUUUUCUUUCAAACUAAAACUAUCAUCAUUGGAGACAUGAAAAAAGCUUAUUAUUUAUAUUCUAUCUUGAAGCAGCGCCGGUCCUCAAGAAUAGCAAUGCUAUGCAAGAGAUCGCAAGGCAAUGCUAUCCAAGACAUCGCAAGUGCAGGGAAAUUCAACAAUUGCAUUCUUUAAAUGUUUGGUUUUCAACUCCUCUAGCAUUAUAUAGCGUGCAAGUUCGAACGUGUACCGUUUAGAAGAAGUAGAGCAUACAGGUACGAUUUCAACUGUUGAUGGCACUAUUCAAAUGGAAUUGACCAUCGUUCAAUGUGUCGAAUGUCAAAUUCAUUGCGGGUUGAGAGUUGUAAGAUAAUCAUUUUCCAUUUUUUCUCCAAUUUUCUUUUUUCAUUUUUUUAAUCAAUAUUCUAAACCCUAUCUAUACCUUAUUCAAAAUGCACUUCCCACACAUUCUACCGGGUUACUAUACUCUACAUGUAAGGUAUGUAUAAAAUCAUUUAAUAUUUUUAUUGAAAAAAAAUGUUUUUACAUUUUUAAAGUAAAAAAAUCAUGAUUUUAUAUAAGAAGCUACUUAUGACAAGAAUUCCAAAAAAUCUUUAUAAUUUUAUAUUAGCUUCCAUUUAUCCGUGGAUAUUUGCAGAUGCCUACAAAUUUUCUUAUAAGUUUUGUUUAUAGGGCUACUAUACUUGAGCGGGUACAUAGAGUCGCGCACGCAAAUUGUACACGACAAUUAUUUCCAAAAUACAUUUAUUCGAUUAAAUUUUAAAUUUAAUACAAAGCUUAUAAGAAAGUUUCAACAACUAUUGCAAUUCAAACGUGUAUCGUUUAGAAGAAGUAGAGCAUACAAGUACGAUUUCAACGGUUGAUGGGAGUAUUAAGAUGGAAUUGACCAUCGAAUGUCAAAUUCAUUGCGACUUGAGAGUGAUAGAAUAAAUAUGGACCGACAAUAUAUUAAACAUUGUCCAGGAUUAAGCUAUCUUUUAACAUGCAAUUUCUGAUUUAAUCUUGAGUAUGGGCCACCUAAUGUGUAGAGUCCAAUGCCAUCACGGGCUUUAGAUGAUGGGCCUAAGGUCCGUGAGGCCCAAUAACCAAUGGGUAUGGUCCCUAAGGCAGGAGGGUAUAAAAGGGCUUUGACUUGUGUCUUUUGGAUAAUCACAUCUUUUGAAAAGAACUGAACCGCUCUCUCUCCCGCUCCCAUUGCCUGAGAGAAUCCAAAGGUGGUGCCCUCCAUCAAUCUUAGAAGAUUCAUACCGUCUUCAUCAAAUUCACACAUGGAUUCAGGUUGGUACAAUUUUUAAUAAUAAUCAUGGCAUAGUUUCUUCAUGUGAUUCAACAUACGAUCCUAUAUGAUCAUUGAAUAAAUAGAAUAUGAAAUCUUACAAUUGGUAUCAGAGCCAUUGUUGGAUCAAUGAGAAAUAGCAUGUUAGGGCAAUAAAAAUUGUACUGUUCAGCGCCAUUGGAAGUGCGUUUCACGCACAUUUGGAGGCACCAGAGAAGGCGCCAGUGCAGGCGCCACUCAGAUGCCAUAAAGGCGCUGUUAUGCAGCGCCUUUCAGGGCGUCUCUCCGACGGCGUUAAGGCACCAGUCAAGGCGCUUCAGGCGGCGCGUUUCAGGCGCGCUGCAGCCGCGACUUCCGACGCCGUUCCGGGGGGGCGCUUCAGGCGCACUGGUGCGCGCUUCAGGCGCGCUGGUGCGCGUUUCAGGCGCGCUGCUGGUGCGCUCUUCAGGCGCGCUGGUGGCGCGCGCUUCAGGUGCGCCUUCAAGCGCUGUCUCCGGCAAAGGGCGCCGUUGGGCUCCAUUGGGCGCCAUUGCAGGCGUUGUGAGGCGCCAUCUCCACGCGUCGUUAGGGCGCGUUAAAGGCGCCACUGCAGCGCUGUUAGGGCGUUUCAUCAGCGCCAUUGGAGGCGCGCUGGAGCGCGGCCGCUACCGGCGUCACUGACGACGCUGCUUCCGGCGCUGGAGCGCCAUGGAGGCGCGCUGGCCUUGUGCCGCCGCGACGCCGCUUCCGGCGUCACUGACGAUGCCGCUGUGCCGGUGCUGUGGUUGCAAACGACCUUGGGUCGUUUGGGCUGCAGUGAACCAAAAAAAAAAAAAAAAAACGACGUCGUUUGGCGUCAAUUUCCUGUGAUAAGUGUUGUUGGAGGCCAACGCCAUGAAUGGCGUUUUUUGAUUAAAAAAAAAAAAAAAAAAACACUAUGUAUUUAUGCAUAAACAAUGGUUCUAGUGGAUCUCCUUGAACCAUUGGACUAAAGCCCAUAAUUUGCAUUUAAUUUAUAUAUAUAAAUGUAUAUAUGGAUAUGUACAUGAGUUUAUGCAUAAAUAAUUUUGAUUAAAUUAUUGUUUGUUGUCUUUAUUUCAAAAUAAAUAAAUUAUAUAUAUUUGUUGCCAAAGUAACGUGUUACAUAAUUUUAUUUGUUUUUGAAAUAUAUAAGCAUGGUAUUAUUGUAUAAAAUAAUCAACCCAAAGGAGGAUUAUUUUAAUAUAAUAAUAAAUAAAGUAAUCAUAAAUAUAUGACAUAUAAUGUUUAUCUUGCAUUGAUAUGUUAGUCCAAAGAUAAACAUAUUGUGUUUGAUUUUAUUGUCAAUAUUUAUGUAUUAAUUUUGUAUAAGGAUACCAAUUACAAGUUAAUAUUUUUGUCCAAAGACUGAAUAUUAAUGUUUGUGCUAGGUAUCUUGCAUGAUGUAUAUUUAUUCAUGUAUGUAUGAUGCUUAUGUGACUAAUUGUGAGCUUUAUUAUUAUGAAUUCAGCAUCUUCUAUAUCUGCAAAUGUUAAUAACAUUCCUGUGCUUAACGGCACAAAUUUCAAGAAAUGGAAAGAGCACGUUAUAAUUGUGCUCGGGUGCAUGGAUUUAGACUUUGCAUUAAGGGAGGAUCGCCCAUCAGAUCUUACUAGUGCCAGCACUGCUGAGCAAAGGUCUACUAUGGAAAAAUGGGAACGAUCCAAUCGCAUGAGUCUAAUGAUUAUGAAGCACUCAAUUCCAGAAGCAAUAAGGGGUGCAAUACCUGAGGAAACCCAAGCCAAGGCAUUCUUGGACCAGAUAGCAAACCGAUUCACUGCAAACGAAAAGGUUGAGAUAAGCACUAUUCUUAGUAAGCUUGUCUCUAUGCGAUAUAAAGGGAAAGAGAAUAUCAGGGAGUACAUUAUGGAAAUGUCUAAUCUUGUGACGAGACUCAAGGCACUAAAGUUAGAGUUGUCGGAAGACAUACUCAUGCACUUGGUCUUGAUCUCUAUGCCUACACAAUUCAGUCCAUUCAAAAUCAGUUACAAUACACAAAAGGAAAAAUGGACUUUGAAUGAGCUUAUUGCUCAAUGUGUGCAAGAGGAAGAGAGAUUGAAGCAAGAAAAGAUAGAAAGUGCUCACUUGGCUUCCACAUCUCAGGGAUUUGGUACCAACAAGAAAAGAAAGAGGGACAAUAAAGGAAAACAAACUGCAGUUUCUGGGACAUCAAAGCAAAAGGAGCAAAAGAAACAAGAUAAGGAGAUCACUUGUUUCUUUUGCAAAAAGGCUGGUCAUAUGAAGAAGACAUGUACCAAAUACGCUGCUUGGCGUGAAAAGAAAGGUACACUUCUCAACUUUGUUUGUUCAGAAAUUAAUUUAGCUGUAGUGCCUACUGACACUUGGUGGAUAGAUACGGGUGCAACUACUCACAUAAGUGUCACUAUGCAGGGUUGCCUAAGGAGCCGAAUGCCAACUGAUGGUGAAAGAUACAUCUAUGUGGGAAAUAGCAACAAGGUUGCAGUCAAGGCUAUUGGUCUUUUUAGAUUACAGUUAGACUCUGGAUGUACAUUGGAUUUGGAAGAGACUUUUGUAGUACCGUCGUUUAGACGGAAUUUAAUUUCUGUUUCAUGUUUGGACAAAUUUGGAUAUUAUUGUUCAUUUGGAAAUGGAAUGGUUAGUCUUUAUCUAAAUUCAAAUAUUAUUGGUACAGGUAGUCUAACAGACAAACUAUAUAAAUUGAACAUAAAGGCCACUAAUGGAAAUGAAACCUUGCAUUCAAGUAAUUAUGGCAUUAAGCGAAAAUUAAUGAAUGAGAAUUCAUCAAUGUUAUGGCACAAGCGUUUGGGUCAUAUUUCAAAUCAACGAAUUCAAAGGCUUGUGUCAGAAGGAAUUCUUGAUCCACUUGAUUUCUCAGACUUUUAAGUCUGUAUAGAGUGCAUUAAGGGAAAACAAACAAAUAUGAGGAAAAAGAAUGCCAAUAGGUGCAGUGACGUCUUGGAAUUGAUACAUACAGACAUUUGUGGUCCAUUUCCUACCCCUUCUUGGAAUGGACAAUAGUAUUUCAUCACUUUUAUUGACGAUUACUCGCGUUUUGGCUAUCUUUAUUUGAUUCAUGAAAAGUCUCAGUCAUUAGAUGUUUUCAAGAAUUUCAAAGCUGAAGUUGAGAACCAACUAAGCAAGAAAAUAAAAGCCAUCAGAUCUGACCGUGGAGGUGAAUAUUAUGGUAGGUAUGACGGAUCCGGAGAACAACGUCGAGGGCCAUUCGCCAAAUAUUUGAUGGAGUGUGGUAUCGUUCCUCAAUACACCAUGCCAGGGACUCCGAGCCAAAAUGGUGUAGUAGAGAGGCGAAACCGUACUCUUAAGGAUAUGGUAAGAAGUAUGAUUAGUCAUUCCACCUUACUAGAAUCACUUUGGGGCGAAGCUAUAAAAACUGCAGUUUAUAUUUUGAAUAGAGUACCAAGCAAAGCAGUAGCCAAAACCCCAUAUGAGUUAUGGACUAGCAAGAAACCUAGUAUUAGGCACUUGCAUGUCUGGGGUUGUCCAGCUGAAGCUAGGCCUUACAAGCCAAAUGAAAAGAAAUUGGACUCCAGAAUAGUGAGCUGCUACUUUGUAGGGUAUUCUGAAAGGUCAAGAGGUUUCAAAUUUUAUGAUCCCUCAACUAGAUCCUUCUUUGAAAUGGGCAAUGCUAAGUUCAUUGAGGAUGUUGAGUUAAGUGGGAGAGAGCCAUUAAGAAAGGUGGUCUUUGAAGAGGAAUUUGUUAAUAUUCCUAUUAUUACGACUGGACAUGGUCAUAUUAUGUUUAAUGACACUAUUCAGAAUGUACAGUCGAUAACAGGGAUUCAAGACACACUUGAGAUUCCUCCUGCUCAAGUUAUGGAACCGAUUCAAGUUCAUCAAGAGGUAACUCAACAACCUCAAGAACCUCAAGUACAAGUGCCACUAAGGAGAUCCACUAGAGAAAGGAGAAGUACAAUUUCAGAUGAUUAUGUUGUAUAUCUCCAAGAACAUGAGUUUGACAUGGGUCUGGAAGACGAUCCAAUUUCAGUAAGUCAAGUCAAACAAAGUUCUAAUUCUGAAAAGUGGAUAGAAGCCAUGAAUGAUGAGAUGAAAUCAAUGAAAGACAAUGGUGUUUGGGACCUAGUAGAGUUGCCUAAAGGUGUAAAACCGAUUGGUUGUAAAUGGAUUUUUAAAACCAAACGGGAUUCAAAAGGCAAUAUUGUUAGGUAUAAGGCACGCCUAGUUGCAAAAGGUUUCACUCAAAAGGAAGACAUUGAUUAUAAGGAGACAUUUUCACCAGUUUCAUCAAAGGACUCCUUUAGAAUCAUCAUGACACUUGUAGCUCAUUAUGAUUUAGAGCUACACCAAAUGGACGUUAAAACUGCGUUUCUUAAUGGCAACAUUGAUGAGACAAUAUACAUGGUGCAACCGGAGAACUUUGAGUCUAAUGAUUCAAAGCAACUUGUAUGCAGAUUAAAAAGGUCCAUAUAUGGUUUAAAGCAAGCAUCCCGACAAUGGUACCGAAAGUUUGAUCAAGUGAUUACUUCAUUUGGUUUUAAAGAAAACACUGUUGAUCAAUGCAUAUACCUUAAGUUCAGUGGGAGCAAAUUCAUUAUCUUGGUGUUAUAUGUUGAUGAUAUUCUACUUGCAAGCAGUGAUGUGGGACUUUUGCAUGAAACCAAGCGAUUUCUGUCUAGUAAAUUUGACAUGAAGGAUCUUGGUAAUGCAUCUUUUGUGCUGGGUAUACAGAUCCAUAGGGAUCGUUCAAGAGGUAUACUUGGGUUAUCACAAAAGGCCUACAUCGAUAAGGUGUUGAGUAGAUUUGGCAUGAGCAAUUGUGCACCAGGAGACACGCCUGUAGCAAAAGGCGAUAAGUUUAGUUUGCACCAAUGUCCGAAAAAUGAACUUGAGAAGAAAGAUAUGGAGAGAUUUCCCUAUGCCUCGGCAGUAGGAAGUCUCAUGUAUGCACAAAUUUGUACGCGUCUGGAUAUUGCGUACAUUGUUGGAAUGUUCGGCAGAUAUUUAAGUAACCCAGGUAUGGAUCAUUGGAAAAAGGCAAAACGGGUUAUGCGGUAUUUACAAAGAACUAAAGAUUACAUGCUCACAUACCGUAGAUCAAGUCACUUAGAGAUCGUGGGAUAUUCGGAUUCCGAUUUCGCGGGAUGUCUUGAUAGUAGGUGAUCCACUUCAGGCUACAUCUUCAUGUUAGCUGGAGGAGCAGUUUCAUGGAAAAGUGUUAAACAAACACUUGUUGCUUCUUCCACCAUGGAGGCAGAAUUCAUAGCCUGUUACGAAGCAUCAAACCAUGGGAUAUGGCUGCGGAAUUUUGUCACUCAGUUACGAAUAGUUGAUGGGAUUGAGAAACCAUUGAGAAUCAACUGUGAUAAUAAGGCCGCAGAAUUAUAUUCUAAGAACAACUGAAGUUCGUCAAAGUCCAAACACAUUGACAUCAAGUUCUUGGUUGUGAAAGAGAGAGUUCAGAGUCUUCAAGUAUCGAUUGAACACAUAAGCACAAACUCCAUGAUUGCUGAUCCGCUCACUAAGGGUUUGCCACCCAAAGUAUAUCAUGAGCACGUCGCACAUAUGGGUGUUGUACACAUUGAUGAUGUGUCAGAAUAGUGGGAGUUUGUAUCUAGAUUUUGUGUUUAUUCUCUUGAUGUGAUAUUAUGUUGUGUUAUCUGUACAGACCUUGAUUUAAAGACUAUUGUAUUUGAACACUCUGAAUUGAAAUGAUGACUUUCAGAAGCAGUUUAACAUCAAGUGUUGAAAGUGUUAUUUAACUAUCUUUUAGUCAUAAAACAGGACCAAUUGGAAAUAGACAUAUUAAAGAUCAUAUUCUAUGUAAUUUCCAUGCUACACAUCCAUACUUGAUCCAUGUUGCUAAUUUUGUUAAUGUUGUGAUUGAUGAUAGGUCAAGUUAUAAUUAUGAUUAACGAAGGCCGCUUUAAUCCUAUGUUAGCAUAAUUAGUAGACCGGAUUGUUUAAGGAUAUUUUGAAUAAGAUAGCAAAGAUGAGCUCAAUAAAGUACUAUCAUGAACAUUGUUUGUAAUAUACAUGUGGUCCAAGUGGGAGAUUGAUAGAAUAAAUAUGGACCGACAAUAUAUUAAACAUUGUCCAGGAUUAAGCUAUCUUUUAACAUGCAAUUUCUGAUUUAAUCUUGAGUAUGGGCCACCUAAUGUGUAGAGCCCAAUGCCAUCACGGGCUUUAGAUGAUGGGCCUAAGGCCCGUGAGGCCCAAUAACCAAUGGGUAUGGUCCCUAAGGCAGGAGGGUAUAAAAGGGCUUUGGCUUGUGUCUUUUGGAUAAUCACAUCUUUUGAAAAGAACUGAACCGCUCUCUCUCCCGCUCCCAUUGCCUGAGAGAAUCCAAAGGUGGUGCCCUUCAUCAGUCUUAGAAGAUUCAUACCGUCUUCAUCAAAUUCACACAUGGAUUCAGGUUGGUACAAUUUUUAAUAAUAAUCAUGGCAUAGUUUCUUCAUGUGAUUCAACAUACGAUCCUAUAUGAUCAUCGAAUAAAUAGAAUAUGAAAUCUUACAGAGAGUUGUAAGAUAAUCAUUUUCCAUUUUUUUCUACAAUUUUCUUUUUUCAUUUUUUUUAAUCAAUAUUCUAAACCCUAUCUAUACCUUAUUCAAAAUGCACUUCCCGCAAAUUCUACCGGGUUAAUGUGUGUAGGGUAUGUAUAAAAUCAUUUUAUAUUUUUAUGCAAAAAAAAAAAAUUACAUUUUUAAAGUAAAAAAAUCAUGAUUUUAUAUAAAAAGCUACUUAUGACAAGAAUUCCAAAAAAUCUUUAUAAUUUUAUAUUAGCUUCCAUUAAUCCGUGGAUAUUUGCAGAUGCUUACAGAUUUUCUUAUAAGUUUUGUUUAUAGGGCUACUAUACUUAGGCGGGUGCAUAGAGUCGCGCACGCAAGUUGCACACGACAACUAUUUCCUAAAUACAUUUAUUCGAUUAAAGUUUAAAUUUAUUACAAAGCUUAUAAGAAAGUUUCGAAUAAGGUAUAAGCUUAUAUGAAAUGGACAAAGGUUCUCAGGACCGGAGCGAUCGAGGCUACUUAUGACAAGAAUUCCAAAAAAUCUUUAUAAUUUUAUAUUAGCUUCCAUUAAUUCGUAGAUAUUUGCAGAUGCCUAUAGAUUUUCUUAUAAGCUUUGAAAUAAAUUUAGAAUUUAAUUGAAUAAUUGUACUUAGGAAAUACUCACAUUGUUUAUAGGGCUACUGCACUUGGGCGGGUGCACAGAGUCGCGCACGCAAGUUGCACACGACAAUUAUUUCCUAAAUACAUUUAUUCGAUUAAAUUUUAAAUUUAUUGCAAAGCUUAUAAGAAAUUUUCGAGACAUCUACACAUAUCUAUGGUUGGUGGCUUUGUGGUAAUUUUUAAUUUUUUUUCUUUUGCUAUAUAUCGGGGUUCUGUAACACCAUUUUUAUGUACGACAAUUAUUUCCUAAAUACAUUUAUUCGAUUAAAUUUUAAAUUUAUUGCAAAGCUUAUAAGAAAUUUUCGAGACAUCUACACAUAUCUAUGGUUCGUGGCUUUGUGGUAAUUUUUAAUUUUUUUUCUUUUGCUAUAUAUCGGGGUUCUGUAACACCAUUUUUAUGUCUAAAGGCUAAGGAUAAAAAUUUGGAGAUUUGAAAUCAUUUAAAAACCAAAAUUAAAGGAAUUAUUAACAAAAUGGAGUUUAGGAAAAUUAUUUUAAAAAUCAUAGGAAAAUUAUAUUGUUCAUAUAAUCUACUUUCAUUCAUGGCUUUGUUGCUUACUUUUUAUGUAGAAUUUAAAAAUUAUUAAUAUUUUGUUAGCAGCUAAAUAUAAUUAAAAAUUAUAACAUGAAUCAAACAUAACAGAGUCAAACUAAGUCCAAACAAUAUCAAACAAAGUAUGGGCUUAUUAUUUUCUUUCAAACUAAAACUCUCAAUGAGUGACACACAUACAGAAUUAUAUGAACAAAACAUGAAUCAAACAUAACAGAGUCAAACUAAGUCCAAACCAUAUCAGAGUAUGGGCUUAUUAUUUUCUUUCAAACUAAAACUAUCAUCAUUGGAGACAUGAAAAAAGCUUAUUAUUUAUAUUCUAUCUUGAAGCAGCGCCGGUCCUCAAGAAUAGCAAUGCUAUGCAAGACAUCGCAAGUGCAGGGAAAUUCCACAAUUUGCAUUCUUUAAAUGUUUGGUUUUCAACUCCUCUAGCAUUAUAUAGGGUGCAAGUUCGAACGUGUACCAUUUAGAAGAAGUAGAGCAUACAGGUACGAUUUCAACUGUUGAUGGCACUAUUCAAAUGGAAUUGACCAUCGUUCAAUGUGUCGAAUGUCAAAUUCAUUGCGGGUUGAGAGUUGUAAGAUAAUCAUUUUCCAUUUUUUCUCCAAUUUUCUUUUUUUCAUUUUUUUAAUCAAUAUUCUAAACCCUAUCUAUACCUUAUUCAAAAUGCACUUCCCACACAUUUUACCGGGUUACUAUACUCUACAUGCAAGGUAUGUAUAAAAUCAUUUAAUAUUUUUAUCGAAAAAAAAUGUUUUUACAUUUUUAAAGUAAAAAAAUCAUGAUUUUAUAUAAGAAGCUACUUAUGACAAGAAUUCCAAAAAAUCUUUAUAAUUUUAUAUUAGCUUCCAUUAAUCCGUGGAUAUUUGCAGAUGCCUACAAAUUUUCUUAUAAGCUUUGUUUAUAGGGCUACUAUACUUGGGCGGGUACAUAGAGUUGCGCACGCAAAUUGUACACGACAACUAUUUCCAAAAUAUAUUUAUUCGAUUAAAUUUUAAAUUUAAUACAAAGCUUAUAAGAAAGUUUCGACAACUAUUGCAAUUCAAACGUGUAUCGUUUAGAAGAAGUAGAGCAUACAAGUACGAUUUCAACGGUUGAUGGGAGUAUUAAGAUGGAAUUGACCAUCGAAUGUCAAAUUCAUUGCGACUUGAGAGUUGUAAGAUAAUCAUUUUCCAUUUGUUUCUACAAUAUCAGAGUAUGGGCUUAUUAUUUUCUUUCAAACUAAAACUAUCAUCAUUGGAGACAUGAAAAAAGCUUAUUAUUUAUAAUCUAUCUUGAAGCAGCGCCGGUCCUCAAGAAUAGCAAUACUAUGCAAGACAUCGCAAGGCAAUGCUAUCCAAGACAUCGCAAGUGCAGGGAAAUUCCACAAUUUGCAUUCUUUAAAUGUUUGGUUUUCAACUCCUCUAGCAUUAUAUAGGGUGUAAGUUCGAACGUAUACCAUUUAGAAGAAGUAGAGCAUACAGGUACGAUUUCAACUGUUGAUGGCACUAUUCAAAUGGAAUUGACCAUCGUUCAAUGUGUCGAAUGUCAAAUUCAUUACGGGUUGAGAGUUGUAAGAUAAUCAUUUUCCAUUUUUUCUCCAAUUUUCUUUUUUCAUUUUUUUUAAUCAAUAUUCUAAACCCUAUUUAUACCUUAUUCAAAAUGCACUUCCCACACAUUCUACCGGGUUACUAUACUCUACAUGCAAGGUAUGUAUAAAAUCAUUUAAUAUUUUUAUCGAAAAAAAAUGUUUUUACAUUUUUAAAGUAAAAAAAUCAUGAUUUUAUAUAAAAAGCUACUUAUGACAAGAAUUCCAAAAAAUCUUUAUAAUUUUAUAUUAGCUUCCAUUAAUCCGUGGAUAUUUGCAGAUGCCUACAAAUUUUCUUAUAAGCUUUGUUUAUAGGGCUACUAUACUUGGGCGGGUACAUAGAGUUGCGCACGCAAAUUGUACACGACAAUUAUUUCCAAAAUACAUUUAUUCGAUUAAAUUUUAAAUUUAAUACAAAGCUUAUAAAUAAGUUUCGACAACUAUUGCAAUUCAAACGUGUAUCGUUUAGAAGAAGUAGAGCAUACAAGUAUGAUUUCAACGGUUGAUGGCAGUAUUAAGAUGGAAUUGACCAUCGAAUGUCAAAUUCAUUGCGACUUGAGAGUUGUAGGAUAAUCAUUUUCCAUUUUUUUUAAUCAAUAUUCUAAACUCUAUCUAUACCUUAUUCAAAAUGCACUUCCCGCAAAUUCUAACGGGUUACUAUACUCUACAUGCAAGGUAUGUAUAAAAUCAUUUUAUAUUUUUAUGCAAAAAAAAAAAAUUUACAUUUUUAAAGUAAAAAAAAUCAUGAUUUUAUAUAAAAAGCUACUUAUGACAAGAAUUCCAAAAAAUCUUUAUAAUUUUAUAUUAGCUUCCAUUAAUCCGUGGAUAUUUGCAGAUGCUUACAGAUUUUCUUAUAAGUUUUGUUUAUAGGGCUACUAUACUUAGGCGGGUGCAUAGAGUCGCGCACGCAAUUGCACACGACAACUAUUUCCUAAAUACAUUUAUUCGAUUAAAUUUUAAAUUUAUUACAAAGCUUAUAAGAAAGUUUCGAAUACGGUAUAAGCUUAUAUGAAAUGGACAAAGGUUCUCAAGACCGGAGCGAUCGAGGCUACUUAUGACAAGAAUUCCAAAAAAUCUUUAUAAUUUUAUAUUAGCUUCCAUUAAUUCGUAGAUAUUUGCAGAUGCCUAUAGAUUUUCUUAUAAGCUUUGAAAUAAAUUUAGAAUUUAAUUGAAUAAUUGUACUUAGGAAAUACUCACAUUGUUUAUAGGGCUACUGCACUUGGGCGGGUGCACAGAGUCGCGCACGCAAGUUGCACACGACAAUUAUUUCCUAAAUACAUGUAUUUGAUUAAAUUUUAAAUUUAUUACAAAGCUUAUAAGAAAUUUUCGAGACAUCUACACAUAUCUAUGGUUGGUGGCUUUGUGGUAAUUUUUAAUUUUUUUUCUUUUGCUAUAUAUCGGGGUUCUAUAACACCAUUUUUAUGUCUAAAGGCUAAGGAUAAAAAUUUGGAGAUUUGAAAUCAUUUAAAAACCAAAAUUGGAGGAAUUAUUAACAAAAUGGAGUUUAGGAAAAUUAUUUUAAAAAUCAUAGGAAAAUUAUUUUGUUCNNNNNNNNNNNNNNNNNNNNNNNNNNNNNNNNNNNNNNNNNNNNNNNNNNNNUUAAGAGCAAGUAGAUUAUUAUUACGCUGAGUUCACGAUCCGACAAUUUAAUAGUGAUUUUAUGUUGAGACAAAAAAAAAUCCCUAAAGUCGGUGCAUAAGGGCCUUGUGAGGAGGUAUGAAGGUCCCUUCCCCAUACUUGGGAAGGUCGGCAAGGUGUCCUAUAGAGUUGAGCUGCCCCCGACGUUGAAGAUUCAUCCUGUCUUCCAUGCAAGCUACUUGAAGCCCUAUCACGGAGACAAGGAUGAUCCAAGCCGAGGGUUGUCUAAGAGCAUACAAGUAUGAUUUCAACGGUUGAUGGCAGUAUUAAGAUGGAAUUGACCAUCGAAUGUCAAAUUCAUUGCGACUUGAGAGUUGUAAGAUAAUCAUUUUCCAUUUUUUUCUGCAAUUUUCUUUUUUCAUUUUUUUUAAUCAAUAUUCUAAACCCUAUCUAUACCUUAUUCAAAAUGCACUUCCCGCAAAUUCUACCGGGUUACUACACUCUACAUGCAAGGUAUGUAUAAAAUCAUUUUAUAUUUUUAUGCAAAAAAAAAAAAAAAUUACAUUUUUAAAGUAAAAAAAUCAUGAUUUUAUAUAAAAAGCUACUUAUGACAAGAAUUCCAAAAAAUCUUUAUAAUUUUAUAUUAGCUUCCAUUAAUCCGUGGAUAUUUGCAGAUGCUUACAGAUUUUCUUAUAAGUUUUGUUUAUAGGGCUACCAUACUUAGGCGGGUGCAUAGAGUCGCGCACGCAAGUUGCACACGACAACUAUUUCCUAAAUACAUUUUUUCGAUUAAAUUUUAAAUUUAUUACAAAGCUUAUAAGAAAGUUUCGAAUAAGAUAUAAGCUUAUAUGAAAUGGACAAAGGUUCUCAGGACCGGAGGGAUCGAGGCUACUCCAUUAAUUCGUAGAUAUUUGCAGAUGCCUAUAGAUUUUCUUAUAAGCUUUGAAAUAAAUUUAGAAUUUAAUUGAAUAAUUGUACUUAGGAAAUACUCACAUUGUUUAUAGGGCUACUGCACUUGGGCGGGUGCACAGAGUCGCGCACGCAAGUUGCACACGACAAUUAUUUCCUAAAUACAUGUAUUUGAUUAAAAUUUAAAUUUAUUACAAAGCUUAUAAGAAAUUUUCGAGACAUCUACACAUAUCUAUGGUUGGUGGCUUUGUGGUAAUUUUUAAUUUUUUUUCUUUUGCUAUAUAUCGGGGUUCUGUAACACCAUUUUUAUGUCUAAAGGCUAAGGAUAAAAAUUUGGAGAUUUGAAAUCAUUUAAAAACCAAAAUUGGAGGAAUUAUUAACAAAAUGGAGUUUAGGAAAAUUAUUUUAAAAAUCAUAGGAAAAUUAUUUUGUUCAUAUAAUUUACUUUCAUUCAUGGCUUUGUUGCUUACUUUUUAUGUAGAAUUUAAAAAUUAUUAAUAUUUUGUUAACAGCUAAAUAUAAUUAAAAAUUAUAACAUCAAUCAAACAUAACAGAGUCAAACUAAGUCCAAACAAUAUCAAACAGAGUAUGGACUUAUUAUUUUCUUUCAAACUAAAACUCUCAAUGAGUGACACACAUAUAGAAUUAUAUGAACAAAACAUGAAUCAAACAUAACAGAGUCAAACUAAGUCCAAAAAUAUCAGAGUAUGGGCUUAUUAUUUUCUUUCAAACUAAAACUAUCAUCAUUGCAGAUGAAAAAAGCUUAUUAUUUAUAUUCUAUCUUGAAGCAGCGCCGAUCCUCAAGAAUAACAAAGCUAUGCAAGACAUCGCAAGUGCAGGGAAAUUCCACAAUUACAUUCUUUAAAUGUUUGAUUUUCAACUCCUCUAGCAUUAUAUAGGGUGCAGGUUCUGAAUCUGCCCGUGAUGAUUCACCCAUCUCAGUGUUGACCGAUCUAAGAAUCUGGUGAGUCCUAUAUAAAAAAAAUUUUAUGUUAAAAAUAUAAAAACAAUUUUUUUUAUAUAAAAUUAAAAAGAGAUUUUAUACCUACUUUGCCAAUAAAAUGUAGUAACCCUUUUGAAUAAUAGGGUGUUCGGGAACUGCAUCCUGAAUAGGUUUUAGCAUAUUGAUUAAAAAAAUGAGAAAAAAAAAUUUAGAAAAAAGGAAAAAUAUUAUCUUACCACUCUAUAGCCACAUUCUUCUUGACAUUGGUCACAUGAAACAAUAGUCGAUGUCACCUUAAUAUUGUCAUUUGGAAUCACACCACGAUGCACUACGUAUCCGUGUACGUUCAAACUGCCAUUUAAUUGUGAUUUUACGUUUGAGACAAAAAAAAAAUCUAAUUAAGAGCAAGUAGAUUAUUAUUACGCUGAGUUCACGAUCCGACAAUUUAAUAGUGAUUUUAUGUUGAGACAAAAAAAAAUCCCUAAAGUCGGUGCAUAAGGGCCUUGUGAGGAGGUAUGAAGGUCCCUUCCCCAUACUUGGGAAGGUCGGCAAGGUGUCCUAUAGAGUUGAGCUGCCCCCGACGUUGAAGAUUCAUCCUGUCUUCCACGCAAGCUACUUGAAGCCCUAUCACGGAGACAAGGAUGAUCCAAGCCGAGGGUUGUCUAAGAGCAUACAAGUAUGAUUUCAACGGUUGAUGGCAGUAUUAAGAUGGAAUUGACCAUCGAAUGUCAAAUUCAUUGCGACUUGAGAGUUGUAAGAUAAUCAUUUUCCAUUUUUUUCUGCAAUUUUCUUUUUUCAUUUUUUUUAAUCAAUAUUCUAAACCCUAUCUAUACCUUAUUCAAAAUGCACUUCCCGCAAAUUCUACCGGGUUACUAUACUCUACAUGCAAGGUAUGUAUAAAAUCAUUUUAUAUUUUUAUGCAAAAAAAAAAAAAAAAUUACAUUUUUAAAGUAAAAAAAUCAUGAUUUUAUAUAAAAAGCUACUUAUGACAAGAAUUCCAAAAAAUCUUUAUAAUUUUAUAUUAGCUUCCAUUAAUCCGUGGAUAUUUGCAGAUGCUUACAGAUUUUCUUAUAAGUUUUGUUUAUAGGGCUACCAUACUUAGGCGGGUGCAUAGAGUCGCGCACGCAAGUUGCACACGACAACUAUUUCCUAAAUACAUUUUUUCGAUUAAAUUUUAAAUUUAUUACAAAGCUUAUAAGAAAGUUUCGAAUAAGAUAUAAGCUUAUAUGAAAUGGACAAAGGUUCUCAGGACCGGAGGGAUCGAGGCUACUUAUGACAAGAAUUCCAAAAAAUCUUUAUAAUUUUAUAUUAGCUUCUAUUAAUUCGUAGAUAUUUGCAGAUGCCUAUAGAUUUUCUUAUAAGCUUUGAAAUAAAUUUAGAAUUUAAUUGAAUAAUUGUACUUAGGAAAUACUCACAUUGUUUAUAGGGCUACUGCACUUGGGCGGGUGCACAGAGUCGCGCACGCAAGUUGCACACGACAAUUAUUUCCUAAAUACAUGUAUUUGAUUAAAUUUUAAAUUUAUUACAAAGCUUAUAAGAAAUUUUCGAGACAUCUACACAUAUCUAUGGUUGGUGGCUUUGUGGUAAUUUUUAAUUUUUUUUCUUUUGCUAUAUAUCGGGGUUCUGUAACACCAUUUUUAUGUCUAAAGGCUAAGGAUAAAAAUUUGGAGAUUUGAAAUCAUUUAAAAACCAAAAUUGAAGGAAUUAUUAACAAAAUGGAGUUUAGGAAAAUUAUUUUAAAAAUCAUAGGAAAAUUAUUUUGUUCAUAUAAUUUACUUUCAUUCAUGGCUUUGUUGCUUACUUUUUAUGUAGAAUUUAAAAAUUAUUAAUAUUUUGUUAGCAGCUAAAUAUAAUUAAAAAUUAUAACAUGAAUCAAACAUAACAGAGUCAAACUAAGUCCAAACAAUAUGAAACAGAGUAUGGGCUUAUUAUUUUCUUUCAAUCUAAAACUCUCAAUGAGUGACACACAUAUAGAAUUAUAUGAACAAAACAUGAAUCAAACAUAACAGAGUCAAACUAAGUCCAAACAAUAUCAGAGUAUGGGCUUAUUAUUUUCUUUCAAACUAAAACUAUCAUCAUUGGAGACAUGAAAAAAGCUUAUUAUUUAUAUUCUAUCUUGAAGCAGCGCCGGUCCUCAAGAAUAGCAAUGCUAUGUAAGACAUCGCAAGGCAAUGCUAUGCAAGACAUUGCAAGUGCAGGGAAAUUCCACAAUUUGCAUUCUUUAAAUGUUUGGUUGUCAACUCCUCUAACAUUAUAUAGGGUGCAGGUUCUGAAUCUGCCCGUGAUGAUUCACCCAUCUCAGUGUUGACCGAUCUAAGAAUCUGGUGAGUCCUAUAUAAAAGAAAUUUUAUGUUAAAAAUAUAAAAACAAUUUUUUUUAUAUAAAAUUAAAAAGAGAUUUUAUACCUACUUUGCCAAUAAAAUGUAGUAACCCUUUUGAAUAAUAGGGUGUUCGGGAACUGCAUCCUGAAUAGGUUUUAGCAUAUUGAUUAAAAAAAUGAGAAAAAAAAAUUUAGAAAAAAGGAAAAAUAUUAUCUUACCACUCUAUAGCCACAUUCUUCUUGACAUUGGUCACAUGAAACAAUAGUCGAUGUCACCUUAAUAUUGUCAUUUGGAAUCACACCACGAUGCACUACGUAUCCGUGUACGUUCAAACUGCCAUUUAAUUGUGAUUUUACGUUUGAGACAAAAAAAAAAUCUAAUUAAGAGCAAGUAGAUUAUUAUUACGCUGAGUUCACGAUCCGACAAUUUAAUAGUGAUUUUAUGUUGAGACAAAAAAAAAUCCCUAAAGUCGGUGCAUAAGGGCCUUGUGAGGAGGUAUGAAGGUCCCUUCCCCAUACUUGGGAAGGUCGGCAAGGUGUCCUAUAGAGUUGAGCUGCCCCCGACGUUGAAGAUUCAUCCUGUCUUCCAUGCAAGCUANNNNNNNNNNNNNNNNNNNNNNNNNNNNNNNNNNNNNNNNNNNNNNNNNNNNNNNNNNNNNNNNNNNNNNNNNNNNNNNNNNNNNNNNNNNNNNNNNNNNAAAAAAAAAAUCUAUAGAAGCAAGUAGAUAUUAUACGCUGAAGUUCACGAUCCGACAAUUAAUAGUGAUUUUAUGUGAGACAAAAAAAAAUCCCUAAAGUCGGUGCAUAAGGGCCUUGUGAGGAGGUAUGAAGGUCCCUUCCCCAUACUUGGGAAGGUCGGCAAGGUGUCCUAUAGAGUUGAGCUGCCCCCGACGUUGAAGAUUCAUCCUGUCUUCCACGCAAGCUACUUGAAGCCCUAUCACGGAGACAAGGAUGAUCCAAGCCGAGGGUUGUCUAAGAGCAUACAAGUAUGAUUUCAACGGUUGAUGGCAGUAUUAAGAUGGAAUUGACCAUCGAAUGUCAAAUUCAUUGCGACUUGAGAGUUGUAAGAUAAUCAUUUUCCAUUUUUUUCUGCAAUUUUCUUUUUUCAUUUUUUUUAAUCAAUAUUCUAAACCCUAUCUAUACCUUAUUCAAAAUGCACUUCCCGCAAAUUCUACCGGGUUACUAUACUCUACAUGCAAGGUAUGUAUAAAAUCAUUUUAUAUUUUUAUGCAAAAAAAAAAAAUUACAUUUUUAAAGUAAAAAAAUCAUGAUUUUAUAUAAAAAGCUACUUAUGACAAGAAUUCCAAAAAAUCUUUAUAAUUUUAUAUUAGCUUCCAUUAAUCCGUGGAUAUUUGCAGAUGCUUACAGAUUUUCUUAUAAGUUUUGUUUAUAGGGCUACCAUACUUAGGCGGGUGCAUAGAGUCGCGCACGCAAGUUGCACACGACAAUUAUUUCCUAAAUACAUGUAUUUGAUUAAAUUUUAAAUUUAUUACAAAGCUUAUAAGAAAUUUUCGAGACAUCUACACAUAUCUAUGGUUGGUGGCUUUGUGGUAAUUUUUAAUUUUUUUUCUUUUGCUAUAUAUUGGGGUUCUGUAACACCAUUUUUAUGUCUAAAGGCUAAGGAUAAAAAUUUGGAGAUUUGAAAUCAUUUAAAAACCAAAAUUGAAGGAAUUAUUAACAAAAUGGAGUUUAGGAAAAUUAUUUUAAAAAUCAUAGGAAAAUUAUUUUGUUCAUAUAAUUUACUUUCAUUCAUGGCUUUGUUGCUUACUUUUUAUGUAGAAUUUAAAAAUUAUUAAUAUUUUGUUAGCAGCUAAAUAUAAUUAAAAAUUAUAACAUGAAUCAAACAUAACAGAGUCAAACUAAGUCCAAACAAUAUGAAACAGAGUAUGGGCUUAUUAUUUUCUUUCAAUCUAAAACUCUCAAUGAGUGACACACAUAUAGAAUUAUAUGAACAAAACAUGAAUCAAACAUAACAGAGUCAAACUAAGUCCAAACAAUAUCAGAGUAUGGGCUUAUUAUUUUCUUUCAAACUAAAACUAUCAUCAUUGGAGACAUGAAAAAAGCUUAUUAUUUAUAUUCUAUCUUGAAGCAGCGCCGGUCCUCAAGAAUAGCAAUGCUAUGUAAGACAUCGCAAGGCAAUGCUAUGCAAGACAUUGCAAGUGCAGGGAAAUUCCACAAUUUGCAUUCUUUAAAUGUUUGGUUGUCAACUCCUCUAGCAUUAUAUAGGGUACAAGUUCGAACGUGUACCGUUUAGAAGAAGUAGAGCAUACAGGUACGAUUUCAACUGUUGAUGGCACUAUUCAAAUGGAAUUGACCAUCGUUCAAUGUGUCGAAUGUCAAAUUCAUUGCGGGUUGAGAGUUGUAAGAUAAUCAUUUUCCAUUUGUUCUCCAAUUUUCUUUUUUCAUUUUUUUAAUCAAUAUUCUAAACCCUAUCUAUACCUUAUUCAAAAUGCACUUCCCACACAUUCUACCGGGUUACUGUACUCUACAUGUAAGGUAUGUAUAAAAUCAUUUAAUAUUUUUAUCGAAAAAAAAUGUUUUUACAUUUUUAAAGUAAAAAAAUCAUGAUUUUAUAUAAAAAACUACUUAUGACAAGAAUUCAAAAAAAUCUUUAUAAUUUUAUAUUAGCUUCCUUUAAUCCGUGGAUAUUUGCAGAUGCCUACAAAUUUUCUUAUAAGCUUUAUUUAUAGGGUUACUAUACUUGGGCGGGUACAUAGAGUUGCGCACGCAAAUUGUACACGACAAUUAUUUCCAAAAUACAUUUAUUCGAUUAAAUUUUAAAUUUAAUACAAAGCUUAUAAGAAAGUUUCGACAACUAUUGCAAUUCAAACGUGUAUCGUUUAGAAGAAGUAGAGCAUACAAGUACGAUUUCAACGGUUGAUGGGAGUAUUAAGAUGGAAUUGACCAUCGAAUGUCAAAUUCAUUGCGACUUGAGAGUUGUAAGAUAAUCAUUUUCCAUUUUUUUUAAUCAAUAUUCUAAACCCUAUCUAUACCUUAUUCAAAAUGCACUUCCCGCAAAUUCUACCGGGUUACUAUACUCUACAUGCAAGGUAUGUAUAAAAUCAUUUUAUACUUUUAUGCAAAAAAAAAAAAAAAUUGCAUUUUUAAAGUAAAAAAAUCAUGAUUUUAUAUAAAAAGCUACUUAUGACAAGAAUUCCAAAAAAUCUUUAUAAUUUUAUAUUAGCUUCCAUUAAUCCGUGGAUAUUUGCAGAUGCUUACAGAUUUUCUUAUAAGUUUUGUUUAUAGGGCUACUAUACUUAGGCGGGUGAAUAGAGUCGCGCACGCAAGUUGCACACGACAACUAUUUCCUUAAUACAUUUUUUCGAUUAAAUUUUAAAUUUAUUACAAAGCUUAUAAGAAUGUUUCGAAUAAGGUAUAAGCUUAUAUGAAAUGGACAAAGGUUCUUAGGACCGGAGCGAUCGAGGCUACUUAUGACAAGAAUUCCAAAAAAUCUUUAUAAUUUUAUAUUAGCUUCUAUUAAUUCGUAGAUAGUUGCAGAUGCCUAUAGAUUUUCUUAUAAGCUUUGAAACAAAUUUAGAAUUUAAUUGAAUAAUUGUACUUAGGAAAUACUCACAUUGUUUAUAGGGCUACUACACUUGGGCGGGUGCAUAGAGUAGCGCACGCAAGUUGCACACAACAAUUAUUUCCUAAAAACAUUUAUUCGAUUAAAUUUUAAAUUUAUUACAAAGCUUAUAAGAAAUUUUCGAGACAUUUACACAUAUCUAUGGUUGGUGGCUUUGUGGUAAUUUUUAAUUUUUUUUCUUUUGCUAUAUAUCGGGGUUCUGUAACACCAUUUUUAUGUCUAAAGGCUAAGGAUAAAAAUUUGGAGAUUUGAAAUCAUUUAAAAACCAAAAUUGAAGGAAUUAUUAACAAAAUGGAGUUGAAGAAAAUUAUUUUAAAAAUCAUAGGAAAAUUAUUUUGUUCAUAUAAUUUACUUUCAUUCAUGGCUUUGUUGCUUACUUUUUAUGUAGAAUUUAAAAAUUAUUAAUAUUUUGUUAGCAACUAAAUAUAAUUAAAAAUUAUAACAUGAAUCAAACAUAACAGAGUUAAACUAAGUCCAAACAAUAUGAAACAGAGUAUGGACUUAUUAUUUUCUUUCAAACUAAAACUCUCAAUGAGUGACACACAUACAGAAUUAUAUGAACAAAACAUGAAUCAAACAUAAUAGAGUCAAACUAAGUCCAAACAAUAUCAUAGUAUGGGCUUAUUAUUUUCUUUGAAACUAAAACUAUCAACAUUGGAGACAUGAAAAAAGCUUAUUAUUUAUAUUCUAUCUUGAAGUAGCGUCGGUCCUCAAGAAUAGCAAUGCUAUGCAAGACAUCGCAAGUGCAGGGAAAUUCCACAAUUUGCAUUCUUUAAAUGUUUGGUUUUCAACUCCUCUAGCAUUAUAUAGGGUGCAGGUUCUGAAUCUGCCCGUGAUGAUUCACCCAUCUCAGUGUUCACCGAUCUCAGAAUCUGGUGAGUCCUAUAUAAAAUUUUUUCAGGAAACAACGAUAGAGAGCGUCAAUUUUCUUCUCUGUCGUGGACAUGGCCCAAACACUCUUACCUUUCCUUUUGGUAUUAUUAUAUUUGUUGAAAAUGUUCCAAAAGUACUCCUAUCAUUCUUUAAAUUGAAUAUCCAAUCGUUUUUUAAUUUUUUUUUAUAUUUGUAUAUUUUUUUUCAAAUAACCUUCAUCCUGAUCCUAACUUGUUUAUUCAACUUAAAUAUGUUGCUUUGAUAUUUUCUUAAUCAUAUUUAAUAAUUUACCAUGAAUGUUUUGUUUUGCUGAUAUAUUAGAUUUAUAUACCAAAAAAAAUAUUUUUAUAAUAUAGGAAAAAAGUUCUUAUAAUAUAGGAGAAAUUUUUUUUCAUGGUAUUUUGGUAAAAAUAAACAAAUUUAAUACCAUUCAAAUAUUAAAUAAAAUAAAUAAUUUAAUUUUUAACCAUCUGGUAUAUCUGUCGUGGAAACUUUUAUUGAUCAAAGGAAGCUUUACAAGUACUUUGGAACUCACUUGCUUGGUUAGGUAGUGAUUCGGGUGGUGUCUUGGCUAAAUGGGAGCCUUGCUUAUUUAUAGGCACCUUAGGAAGUUUUUGGAACCUUUUAACUUAAGAAUAAUCUAAAACAUUCUUCAAAAUUCUAUGUAUAAGAAUAUAUAAGAGAUCCCUAAAAUUUUCUAGAAAGCCUUAGACUUCUCUCAUACUUUCUACCAUAGUGUAGAGAUGUGUAGACAUCUCUAGAACCUUUCACACUCUUCCUACCAAUGGCUCCAAGAGUUUUCAUAAGCUUCAUACCCUCUAUAUAACCCCAUGAGGAGGGUCAUUUGAAACAUCUUUGGGCUAUUAAUGAAAAAGUCUACAUGUUCCGUUAAAACACUUACUUUUCCAUUAAUUGAGCGGCUUAAACUAAAUAUGCAAUUCAGUGUUGAAAAAUUACAAAUAGGUCUCAUAUGUAAGAUUCAAGUAACUUCAAACAACAUUACAGUUUAAGACAAUAAUAUUAAAUAAUAUUCCCAUUCACACGUUUUUCAUAUCAAAUUGCAUAUGAAGUGAGAUAGAUAUCCAUAAUCGAACCAAACUUAAUGUGAAGGUUUGAAAUCUUGUGAAAUACUUACUCUAGCAAAAUCCUUGGCACGUAGUGCCAUUUCAAGUCCACAUAGUUGUGCUCUUCGAUAUCCUCCGUCGUGGUUUCGUCCGUAUCGUCCAUCUACUUAUCCUUGUUGUUCUUAUUCUGCUCGUUCUCGUUCUUCAUUUCGUCCGUAUCCUCCAUUGUUUCGUUAGUAUCCUCCCUAUGCUCUGACUCGGUAUCAAUAUUCUCUUUUCUCUGAUCAUCAUCCUUCGUCAUUUCCUUCGUGUCAUCCCAUUGCUUUGUCGUUUUCUUGUUUUCCAGCUCCGUCGUUUUCUUGUUUUUUCGUGCUGCCAUGUUACUCGAUAUCCUUAGGCUCUGACUCUAUAUUUCAAUCCGAAUCGAAGUUCAUACUUCACUUUUUUAUAGUUCCGUGCCUCAAGGUAAUGAGGCAAUGCGCCGUAAUGAGAAAAUAUGAACUGGAAAAACUAACUCUUAACUUAUUGAAGAUUCGUUCCCAAAACCAAACAAUAUAUUGGGUUGCAUCUUUGGAAUUAUUUUUAAAUUAUUAUCACUUGUCAAAUUAAUAUAAGUGUCAAAGUCAUCAUUAAUUAGUCAAAUUAAUAUAAGUGUCAAAGUCAUCAUUAAUUAUAAUAAAAUUACAAUAUUAUGGGAGGUACUCAUUAUUUUUCAGAAUAGAUAGCAUUGCUUGUAAAAUAUAGAAUUUUUAAAAACUUUUAAAAAGUAAUCCAAUAAACAUAUAAUCAAAUAGUAAUUUCAUUAAAAAGUCUAAAAUUGCCCUUUAAUUUUUUCUACUUGGAUUAACCCAUUUGUUUUUUAUUUAUUUAUUUUAUUUUUAAGAUAAGUCAAAAGAUAUUUGACUAAUCAAUAUGCCACAUUAUUUUUCUUUUUUCUUCAUUUUACCUAAAAAAUAAUCAAACUUUUUUUUUAAAUUUAAUUUUUUUCACUCUUUCAUCUUUUCAUAGUUAUUGAUUUUAAUCUAAAAACACUUUAAACAUAUAAUAAUAAUAAUAAUAAUAAUAAUAAUAAUAAUAAUAAUAUAUGAUAAAUAAUUAAUAAGAAAAAAUUAAUGUACAAAGAUGUUUAGAAUAUAAAAUUUUAUAUAUCAUAUUAAAUAAAAUAUUUAUUUAUUUGAUAAAUCUUAUUAUAGAUUAAAUAAAAUUACAUUUAUCAUUUUCUAUUUUUUUAAAAAAUUUUAAAUUUUCAUGUGAAAAUCAAAAUCAAUUAUCAUGAUUUUUUUUUUAAUUUUUACUUACAAUUGUUAAUUGAAUAUAGUUUUAACUUUUUUUUUUGGUUAAAAUAUUUAAUAUUUUAUUUAAAAAAGAUAAAAACUUAGUUGUGGUUAUAACAUUUUUCUAUAUUAAAAUUUUAAAAUUUUUAUUCAUAUAAAUAAAAUAAAUUUUUUUUCAUAAAAUUGUUAUAUUAAACCUAAAGAAUUAAAAAUAGAGACAGGUUUAAUCUCGAUAAUGAAUUUAAUGCCAAUUUCUUAUGAUUUCAAACUGUUCACCUUUUCCGGCUGGCGCUCUCACCAUGAACUUCAAAAUCCACAAUGCGCUCACAUUACACUUGCCUCUUCUCUAACAUGUUCCACUGGUGCGCAGUUUAGAACCUUGUGCACACUGCAAAAGCUAUAUAAAAUUCCACUACUACCCCUCCCUCUGCAUUUUCCACGUUACAAUGGCGAACCACGCCAACUAUUCGUCUUCUCUCCUUCGCCUUCUUCUCCUAACCCUAAUCGUCGCUGGAAUCGAACUCGCCGCCGGCGGAAAGCGCUCGGUACAGAUCCCCGAUGAGCUCGACGACGUGGUCGACGACGAGGAGGACGAGGCUUGGAAGGAAUGGGGCAAAAGAUCUGCUCCACCCACAAAAUUCGACCCUCCCCCAACCGAUUUUUCGGGGAUGGACUUGUCCGAGAUCCAGGCCGAAAUGUUAAAGCGGCAUUCCGGGCCGGCCUUCGGGUUCGUUAAGCUUCGAUUGGGAGUUCGUCGGUCUCCGGUAAUUGAACCUUGUUCUUGGUUCUUGAAUUUUAGGGUUUGAUAGGUCUGGAUCCUUGAAUUUCAGUCUUUUGUCUAUGAUGGUUCCUCGAUAAGGUUUCUAUGCGGCAAAAGAUCAUCUCGGUUGUUGACAUUAUAACAGGAUCUUGCUUUAUUUUCAGGAUAUGGUAGCUGAGAUUGCUAUGAAAUGGACAAAGGUUCUCAGGACCGGAGCGAUCGAGGCUAAUUUCAUGGGCGUAGAUAUAAGCACAGUCAUGUUCACUAUGGAAAAAGGCCAAGACAUAACAGAGGUAAGCUUCAGUCAUCUCUAAGUGAGAACCUCAAGAUCUAAUCCAAUCAAUCUUUCGCUAUCAAUGCAUUGCGAUCAAUCGUGUUCUUUGAUAUAAGGAUUAGAUUUAGUUCUGCAUACAGUUGUCUUGGUUUACAAUGAUGAUCUGUUUGUUUUAGAAUUCUUAGUUCUUAAUAUCAGUGUUUAAUCCAUUUUGGCUUUCAGUUGAAAGAGUUCAUAUUGAAUGAACCAGAAGCUUAUGAGGUGAAGAUAGGGGAUCAAGUUUUUCGAAGACCUGGAGACCCUCCUCUAGAGGAAGUUGUUGAGAUGCUCCACAAAGAGAAAAACAAGGAGAAAAGUGACAGUCCUAGGAAGGAAAAUGGGCACCCGAAAGAGGAGUUAUAGUUGACUGGAAAUCCUACUUAGAUACCCCUAUGGAGCAUUGUUUUUACUCUAUUCCCUUUUGUCUGAUCCAUGGUCUAGAUGCUUCAAAUUUAGUAAAACAAGGAAGAAAUUAUAGUGUCCGAGAGAAUUGAAACCUGAAAGAAGGGUUGUAGUUGACCAGAAAUUGCCCUUAGAUAACACGAUUGAGCAUUGUUUUGACUUUGCAGUAUUUAAAUUGUAUACCCUUUGGUAGAAUCCAUUGUUGAUAUCUUUGCAUUAAUAGACUUAUCAUUUGGAAGAUUGUUCUUCCACCUUUGUCUGAUUCCUCUUUUGCAAAUCCAUGAUCUAAUUUUUCCAACUUGAACUCCUGCCUUAGCAUGCAAAGCUUGCUUACUUCAUAUAGCAUAUCAAUGUAUGAACAGUUAUGUAUAAGGCCAUAGGCUAUAACCAUGUGCAGUUGUGCAUAAUGUGUGUAUGUAUAGUACAUACAGUAGAUGAUAUUUCCUUCUGGUGAUGGGUUUUUUGGGGGGUUUUAGGGUUUAUACAUCAGAUUUCCUUUUGCAACAGCUCAAAGUUUUCAGGUGUUUUCUGUUUCGAUUGUUAGAGACUUCACAUGGACCAUGACGAUGUUACCAGGAAUUAAGCAUGCAAAACAUUAAGAUAUAGGAUAUCACAUGCAACUCCAGUGAUCCUGGCACCCUUUAUUCUGAGACCAAAGAAAUCUUUUCAACAGUUCCUUUCCCUUAUGAAUGGGAAGGAAAAAGAAAAAAUGUUGGGUUUAAUCAGUCUAAUUCAGACUACACCAUAAGGAAUAAUGUAGAUCAAGUGUCAUUUGCAUUCGUAAAUGGAAUUGGUACCCAAUAAAUGAAUAGGGAUCUAGUGGAGAAAUGACUAUUUCAACUUCUUACUAAAGUCAGAGAGCUCAAGAAGUUGGAUCCUGCUAAUGCCAGCUGCUUCCUCUCUUUCUUUCUGGGUGUUGUAUCCCCAUUUCCCUGCCCCAACAAGGCACCCCAUUGAACGAAAAGAGACAAGGAAGUUGAGGAAGAUAACAUACAUGUAAUUUUAACAAAGGAAGAAGCAAAGUGAGGAAAAAUUACCAAGAUACAAAUUCCACCCAUCUAAUUCAGGCUCUUUGAUGACAUUCUUGAGGGUUGCAAGUCUAUCUUCAACAAAACUGGACAAAAUUGGGUAAGCUAAUAUUAGUUUUCAAUUUAACUUCACAUUAGGAUCACUGAUGGGCAGGAAGAUUACGAAAAUGAAAAAACAGUCUGAUUAAGGAGGCAUUAAGAUGAUGAUUCUGUUGCUGAUAUGCUAAGCACCAAAAAAAUCUUACUGUAGUGUCAGGCCCUGAUGUUCUGAUUGCUUCUGAAGCUGCUUGAGCACUUCGACCUUAGGACUGUAGGAAUUUUCAAAAUAAGAAAACGAAAAAUUAAACAACAGUAGAUUGUUGAAGUACCAGAUGCAAUGGUUAGUGCUAUUUCUCAACAUCAACAGGUAGAAAACAUACGAACCCUGUUCCCAGACCAUAGAUUCUUUCAGAUGGUAUUGUCACUCCUGCAAGCUCUCGUAGUAAUGCUUCUGCAAAUCGGCCCUGAAAUGGAGAGGAGGAAAGGGGGGAGAGAGAGUAGAUGACAAAGAAAAACAGUAAGAGAUCUAAGAAGAAGAGAAAUUGCACCUUUAGCAAAUAAAGAAUUUACUUAUAGGAGAUUUGAUUUCAAAAUCCCAAUUAGAAUGCUGUAUUCAGUGUCUAGUUAUAUAUACUUUGACAAUAAACACACCUGUUUUGUGGUAACGAUGUAGACCUUUGAGCUUGCAAACUUCAAAGCAUCAGCAACACCUGGGUAAAAUCUGCAAUAGAAGCAACUUUUUGAUCAAUUGUUAAACCAUCAAAACCGAAUUAAGCAAAAGAAACCAAAUUUUUACUCGAGCAAUAACCCAUUUACAGUAUUACAAUAUUUGGAGGAGCUUCAAUGAUCUCCUUCAAAUGUGCAAAGAAUUUUGACUACAUUUUGACUUGCUUUUCAGCAGACUGAGUCUUAUUACAUGUAGGAAACAAAUAUGGUGUCUAUGAAAUUGCUAAUAGCCAAGCAAAGGAAUGCAGGGAUAUCUCUAAACUGGAAAUAUACUAGCCCAUAUAAGAGAAACCACAGCAAAUCCUAUAUUAUGUACCCUAUUCACUGGCUUUUCAGUAAUAUACAUUAUCUUUGCAUGUUUGAUCCCACCUUAUCAAAGGAAUUUUACCUAUUUGCAUCAAUCCAAGUGGCCAAGUCAUCCUCCAUCCAUUCAUCCCUGACCUUUCCAAAAAGAUCUACCAAAGGUUCCCUUUUCUCGUCCCAUUCUUCCAUUAUGACAGGUUUGAGCUUUGACCAGUUCUCCAAUAUCCCCUCGAUUGUAAGCCCCUCUACAACCUAGGACGUUAAGCCAUGACUAUCAGAUGAAAACCAAACAAUGGAUAAUGCUUGCAAACUGUCUAACUUAGAAAACAUGUUGAAUGAAAAACAUUUUUUGUGAGAAUUUAUUCUAAAAGUAUGUUAUUUUUUUAGAAAAAAAUUGAGAUGAUUUUCAGUUAGAAGUGGUAAAAUUUGAUACAAUUCAUCAAUAUGAUUUGAACUCUAAUUCACUUUUCAUGGAUUUGUGUUGAAUAUAAUUUUGGGUUUGGUCAAAUUUAAUUCGAUUUACAUAACUUGUUUUUGGUUCAAUUUGUAUAGUAAGAAUUUGACCCAAAUUAAUUCAUUUUAAAUUUAGUUUUAAAUAAAUAGGUGAAUUGAAUAGUAAGUAUGUUUGAUUAAGAAAUUAAUCAUAUAAAUUUAUAAAAGAUUUAGCUCAACAUGUUUACUAAAUAGGAGGAUCUUAAAUAUAGUAAAAUGCCUGAACUCUAUUAAUAUGAAGUGUCACCUUUAUUUUCAGUUGUCUUUUAUAAAGUAUUUUGAGUAGCAAUUGAAAUUACAGAAAAUAUUUUAGAAAUUCUUACAUUUCAUACAAGUGUAUCGCAGAAGUUAAGAACACUUUCUCCUUUUCAAACAAAAUUUUAGUUCUGAAAAUAAUUAAAAGAUUGUUUUUAAAAAAGACCCAAACAAAGCCUAAGAUUUCCACUACAGUGUCACUCGAAUUGACAACAAAAUAACCCAUAUUUUGCAUCCAACUGAUAAUAAAAGCCAGAGUUGCAUGGAUAUCCACUCACCGAGGACUUCCUGAUGGAUGGCAGUCUCAUCUCCAGCAGCAACCUCACAAGCAGUAGAUUUUCAUACCCAGUUUCUACCACCGGUCGUAUCUGCCAUUUUUAUAAAUUCAAAUAUAAAAUUUGCCUUUUUCUUUAUGAAUGAACUAAAUUUAACUAUGUAUUCAUAUUUUCAAUAAUUUUUUUUAUAUAUUUUAAUAGUUUUUCGUGAUACUUUUAAUAACACUGAAAACAAAUUUGAAAAAAAUUGUUCUUGAUAAAAAAUUUAUCAAACACAUGUUUUUGAAAAGCUUAAAAUUGUUUUUAAGAAAAUUUGCUCAAAUUCCAGAAGAUGUAUGAAACCGGGAAAGAAAUUUUCCAAUAAACGGCUCCAGAUUCCCAAAUUUUUCCAACUUCAAUUCUUUAUUUUCAAUAUCACAUCCAGCCAUCAUUCACAUAAAAAGGCUUUAGAAAAAACGAUAAAGAAUAGUAUUCGAUGACUUGAAGAACAGGGAGGAAGAAGAAUAGCUUACUAUGAACAUCUGAUCAACAAUCCAAUCCUCCAACUUCGAAUCCACACCGUCGAACAAACCAGGCCAUCUCACCUUAGCAGCCUACAAAGGAGAACAACAUCAAAAACGUAAUUUACUUCGUUAAGCCCUAAAACCUCUGUUUGGUUGCCAAGAAAAUGAAGUAAACAGCUUCGGCAAUUUUGCACAAUGGCUAAUUUUAUCUUGCUUUUACUUUAUUUUCUCGGAACCAAACAUGGUGACGAAAACGGAGAAGAGCGAAACCUUGACAGCGGAGAGAGAGCUCUCUCCACAGCUAUCGCAGAGAAUUCCAUCGAAAUCCAACGCGUAAAGAUCGCCCAUUUCCUCUGAGAUUACUCGCCGCCCAAUUGCGAUCUUCUCCUCUUAGUCCACCCGCCCCAAGAGACGACAAUGGGUUGUCCCAGUGGAACUCUGCCACGUGUUGUCGUACUCACAUUUUUUGACGGCAUGGAUCUAUGAUCGUUGGGUGACUAUAGGCCACGAGUGAACGGACGGUUGAGAUACGUGGGGUUUAGGAAUGGUAUUUCAGUAAUUUUGUAUAAUAUCAGCAUUUCUCUUUAAAGAAAUAAAGAGAGAAAAAAAAAACAAGAUUUUAUUAGAAUUAGAAACAGAUUUUUUUUAAAAAAAGUUUAUUUAUUGAAUUCCUUCCCAUAUAAUUUUUUUCCCGCCUGUAUGAUAAUUUAAAAUAAGAAAUCUCUCAAAUUAAUUUUAAACUUUCUUUUUAUUGAAUAUAAAUUAAUUGACAUUAUAUUUAAUAUCUAAUGUCCAGAUAAUAAAAGUCUGCAGUCUUAUAUUAAAAUCAAUAUUAAAUUAAUAAAUGAUUAAUUAAGUUGAAUUUUUCUUUCAUGUUAAUAAUUACUAAGGUGUAUAUUUAUAAAAAUAAAAAUAAAAGUCUGAUCAUUUAAAAUUCACACGAAAUAUUAUCAUAGAAUUAUAUUGAGCUCAAGUUCAUUUCAAUUGGAGGGUUUGAUUUAGGUCAGUUUUCAAUUAAUCGGAGGAUCAAAUUUUGCUUUUUCUUUUUUUAUCUAAUUGAAAUUGAUUGUAAUAGAUAUAAUAAUUACACUAAGAGUCCAUUACUUAUGAAAGGAAUCAUUUAAACUAUGGUUCCAAAAAAUUUAAGAAAAAAUAUAAAAUCAAUAAAUUAUUUUUAUAUUUUGCUUCAAAUUCAUUUCAUUUAAUUUAAUUUGUUUUUAAUAUAAUGAUUAAAUAUUUUUAAAAUAUAUAAGUUUUUAAUUAAUUUUAAAUAUAUUUAACUUUGAUAUUUUUCAUAGAUAAGAAAGUGAGAAAAUUAUUUGUAGUUCUUUUUUUCUUUUAUCACUGUUUUUCCCAAGAAUCAAAUACAACUGAUUUUUAAUUUAGUAUUAACUUGAUUUAGAGUGUUUUUCAUAAUAAUUCUACAAGACGUUUAUAGUAUUUUUAAUACUUAAAAAAUAAAAAAAUUUAAAUAUUAAAAAGAUUAAAAAUGCUCAUUGAAAUCACUAACAAACGAACUCUUAAUUUAAUUUGAUUAGGUUCAUUUAGUGGGCUAAAAAUACCUAAUUUUUUUUGGAAAAUGAAACCAAAAAAAUUAUUAUCAUAUUAUAGGACUAAAUAAAUACAUAUCAUACAACUCAAAAUAUCAUAAUCAAAUUUAAGAUAUUUUCACAAUAGUUAUGAUUAUUAUUAGGUUGAAAACAGUUUUUUUAUUCAGAGUAUUUUGAGCAAUUAGCAUUUUAAGAAUUUUUAUAUCAAACGUAAAAUAAUUAAUAAAUGAUUGAUCAAGUUGAAUUUUUCUUUCAUGUUAAUAAUUACUAAGGUGUAUAUUUAUAAAAAAUUUUUAAAAAAAGUCUGAUCAUUUAAAAUUCACAAUAAUUUCAUGAAAAAUAAACUAAUAAUUAUUUCUCAUAUUUGGCUUCUCAAUAAUUCUUAAAAAACUUUUCCAAACAAAUUCUUAUUAUCCUCUUAGCUUAAAUUAAUAAAUAAAUAAAAAAUUCAUUCCAAAACCAAUCAAAUGUUUUAAUUAUUUAUUUUUUUAACUCCAUAAAAUCAAAUUGAUAAUUUGGAUUUUUAAUCAAAUCAAUAUAAGAAAUUUCAAAAACCCUAAACACCAUUUCCAUUUAUUGAAAAAACUUUUUGUCAAUAAAUUAUGAUUAAAACAAACAAACAAACCAUUUCCAUUCAUGAUAAUCAGAGCAAAAACUAAUCUCUACUCUCUCUGACUGAAGCCAUGCAAAAGUACUGCAGACAAAAACUACCCAAUUGAAACUGUAAUUAGUAACAAUUAAGCCAAUCAGUUAGCUUCAGUUUAAUAAUAGCUAAACCACCUUACCUAUAACACACUGUGUCUCAUUCUGUUAGAACAAUCGUUUCUUCUUUUCACUUUUCAUAAUUUCUUUCCUUCCUGAUUCUCUUAUUCCUUAACAUGGUAUCAGAGCCUGCUCUACCCUAAGCCAUGGAAACUUCAUCGAUAACCUCCAUGGAGAACACUGCAAGAACCACUAGUCUCCUUCUAGUUUCUUUUUCUCAUCCAAUCUCGUCCAAAUUGGACAACAAAAACUUUCUGAUAUGGCGAAAGCGAAUACUAACAAUUUUAAGAGGUCGUAAACUUCAAAAUUUUCUUUCUGAAUCAAUAGUUCUACCCUCAAAAUUCAUGUCUCCAAGUGAUGAAUGAACAUCAUUGUCUCAUCAAUCCUAAGUUUCAAGAUUGGGAGCAACAGGACCAACUCAUCAUGUCAUGGAUUCUUGCAUCCAUAUCAGAUGCCCUUCUAACACGUAUGAUUAAUUGUGAUACUUCAGCUCAGGUAUGGAAGACUCUUGAACAAUAUUUUUCCACUCAAGUACGAGCUAAAAUAACCCAGUUCAAGACUCAGUUUCACAACACAAAGAAAUGUGAUCUGUCUAUAAGCGAUUACCUUUUCAAGAUUAGAAAUAUUAUUGAUCACUUGGCUUUAGUUGGCCAUAAUCUUUUUGAUAAAGAUCAUAUAAAUGCAGUGUUUGAAGGAUUACUUCAAGAAUAUGAAACAUUCAUCAUCUCAAUAAGCUCAAGAAUCGACCCAUAUGCAGUUGAAGAAAUUGAAGCACUUCUUCUUGCCGAAGAAACUCGCAUUGAGAAAAACAUCAAGAUUCAUGAAUUCUCUGCUCCCAAUUUAGCCUACCUGGUCAUAUUCAAUGGACCCUCAAAUUUCAACCAAAGACUUGACAAUAGAAUUUAUAGCAUGAACUCAUCUGCAUUCUCUGGAAAUGGAAUAUCCCACGACUGUGGGAACUCAUCUCAACGAGAGAGAGGAAGAUCGGGUAGAGGUUCUUGAAGAAGCAACAAUAAACCUCAAUGUCAGCUCUAUGGUAGAAUGAGACAUGUAGUCAUGCAAUGCUAUUACAGAUUUGAUUAGUCAUUUUUUGGUCUCUCACAACUUUAAGGAAACCGUGCAUAAAGAAACAUAGCCCACCUUUCACAACAACUCUCUGAACACAUCUACCUAGGAUUUCCGUCGACAACACCAGGAUUUCUAUCUUAACACCAGAAGUCUCACAUGACACUAAUUGGCACCCAUAUUAUGGAGCAACAAACCAUCUCACACCUAAUAUCAACAAUCUUAUGAUCAAAUCACAAUUCCCUACAUCAGAAUAGGUGUUCGUGGGAAAUGGUAAGGGUCUCCCUAUACACCAUAUUGGACAUACUUCCAUUCCCAUCACUAGUUAUUCCAUCCAAAUUCUUUACCCUAAAACAACUUCUACAUGUUCUAGAAAUUAUUAAAAACCUUCUUAGUGUUUCAAAGUUUGCUAAUGAUGAUCAUGUAUUUUUUGAAUUCCAUCUCAAUUCCUACUUUGUCAAAGAUCUUGCAACCAAAACAAUUCUUUUACAAGGACAACUUAAAGGAGGACUAUAUGUGUUUGAUAACACACAACUCAAUAUCAGUCAUCAGUGAAAGCCAUCCUCCAGUUCUCAAAGCUCAAAGAUUUCCUUUCUCUCAUGUUUCACAACAACAUCUAUCUCUCCAAAGACUUCAACAGCAGCAGCUACACUUGAAAAUGCUCACUCAUCAUUCAGUCUAUGGCAUGAUAGAUUGGGGCAUCUUUCUGCAAAAAUUUGUCUCUUAUACUCAACAAAUGUAAUCUUUCACAUCUCAAUAAAAAGUCAUCCAUUAUUUGCUCUGCUUGCUACAUGGGAAAAAUUCACAAGCUCCCGUUCCAUCAUUCCACAACCUCUUAUAUGACACCCUUGGAGCUGAUCCAUUCAUACCUUUGGGAACCUGCCUCAAUACCUUUGUCAAAUGGAUACAAAUAUUAUAUUCAUUUUAUUGACGCCUACUCUCGGUUUACCUGGAUAUAUAUGGUCAAACAAAAAUCCGAAGCACUUCAAGUUUUCCUCAAUUUCAAGGCACAAAUGGAACUUCAACUCAGUCACAAGAUUAAAGUUGUGCAAACUGACUGGGAAGGAGAAUAUCAGGCGUUCACACAUUAUUUACUCUCCAAUGGAAUAAUUCAUAGGACCUCAUACCUCUACACGCAUGAACAGAACAGUAUUGCUGAGAGUAAACAUCAACACAUUGUUGAACAUGGCCUCACUUUGUUAGCUCAAACAUCUCUUUCCCUCAAAUAUUGGGAUGAAGCCUUUCGUACCUGCGUAUUUCUAAACAAUAGAUUGUCCACCUCAGUUUUGAAGAACAAAUCUCCACUUGAAGUAUUGUUUCAUACAACACCUUCCUACUCACAACUCAAAGUAUUCGGCUAUGCUUGCUACCCUUUUUUCCAGUAAAUCAACCAGUUGUGUCAAAAUUAACUUCAAUUCUUUAUGUUCAAUAUCACAUCCAGCCAUCAUUCACAUAAAAAAAAAAAAAAAAAACCUUUAGAAAAAACGAUAAAAGAAUAGUUUUCGUUGAAUUAAAGAAGAAGAGCUUACUAUGAACAUCUAAUCAAAAAUCCAAUCCUCCAACUUCGAAUCCACACCGUCGAACAAACCAGGCCAUCUCACCUUAGCAGCCUACGAAGGAGAACAACAUCAAAACGUAAUUUACUCCGUUAAGCCCUAAAACCUCUGUUUGGUUGCCAAGAAAAUGAAGGAAACAGCUUGGCAAUUUUGCAUAAUGACUAAUUUUAUCUUCGUGGUUUUUCCUUUAUUUUCUUGGGAACCAAACAUGUGACGAAAACGGAGAAGAGCGAAACCUUGACAGCGGAGAGAGCUCUCUCCACAGCUACUCGCCACCCAAUCGCGAUCUCCUCUUCUUAGUUCACCCGCCGAAGAGACGACAACGGGUUUUCCGUCACCGCCAGUGGUACUGUGCCACGUGUUAUCCUACUCACAAAUCUCCAACAUACUCUCAGCUCAGGCUAUCUUCCUUUCCCAAGUUUCCUACCACCACUAUCUUGUCUCCCAAGUCUCUCUAAAACCUCUCCCUCACCCUCUGUAACAACUCCAGAAAAGAAAAAUAUCUCCCCUCCCACACCUCUCUGCCUUGCCCCUCCAAGCCAGCCCAAAAAAAAACGCUCACCUGAUGUCUUUCUCUCCAAGCCACCCCCCAAAAUAUCUGUGUCACCAGCCAGCCCCCAAAUCCCCCCUCACUCUUAACGGCCUCACUGCAAAAAAACUCUCCUCUGCUGAAUAUUCCCUCAUACGUGUCUCUUCCCCAUUGCAUCCACUAACCAUUAUUGUGACUCCCUGAUGGCUAACCACAAGGCGACACGUGAGUCCUGGAGAGCCCUCCACCUGGUAGAAAAGCCUACAGAAAUGUGAUAAAAAUGAGCCCAAAAAUGGGUCUACACAAAGUUUGCUUUAUUUUAUUUUAUAUCUAAUAAUUAUACUUUUAAAACGAACCCAACAAACCCUUUAAACUAGGUUUGAUUAAAAAAAAAAAACAAAAGAAAAAAAGAGAAAAUACAAAAAAAAAAUAUAUAUAUAUAUAUAUAUAAAAUAAAUUUAAAAUCAAUAAAUUAUUUUUAUAUUAUACUUGUAACUCAUUUCACUUAAUUUAAUUUAUUGAUAUAAUAAUUAAAUAUUUUAAAAAUAUUUAAGUUUUUAAUUAAUUUUAAACAUACAAAAUAAAAAAAAUCAUUAUCUUUAAUUUUUUUUCUUCUAUCACUAUUUUUUCGUAAACCAAAUAUAAUCUUAGUGUUUGUGUAAAUAAACUAAAAUAAAAAAAAGUUUCAACGAUGUUGGUAAUGUAUUGAGUGACUAAAUAAAUGGUUUUUAAUUUAGUACUAACUAGAUCUAAUUUAGUUUGUGAAGGUUCCUUUAGUUGACUACAUAUACCCAUGUUUUCUGGAUGAAAUAAAUAUAAAUCAUACAACCCAAAAUAUCAUGAAUUUAAGAUAUUUCCACAAUAGUUAUGAUUAUUAUGAGGAUAAAAACAAAGACCCUAGAUUUAUCUUAAAAUUAUUAUGGAAACGGUUUUCUUUUAUUUUUUUAGAGUAUUUUGACCAAUUAGCAUUUUAACAAUUUUUAUAACAAAUCGUACAAUAAUUUGAUGAAAAAUAAAUCAAUAACAAUUUUUUAUAUUUGGCUUCUCAAUAAUUCUUAAAAACCUUUGUUAAACAAACUCUUAUAGUCUCGUUAGCUUAUAUUGAUAAAAAAAAAAAAAAAACAAAGGUUUAAUAGGAUAAGCGAUGGAAUGGUUUAAGAAAUUUUUUUUAGAUUUGUUAUUUUUUUUCCUUCAAAAUCAAAUUAGUAAUUUUGAUUUUUAAUUAAAUUAAUGUAAGAAAUUUAAAAAACCAUAAACACCAUAUGCUGCUCUUCCAAUCUGCAGCUUCAUAAUUAUUGAAAAAAAAAUUGUCAAUAAAUUGUGAUUGAAAAAAAAAAAAACCAUUUCCAUUCACGAGAAUCAGAGUAAAAAACUAAAAACUAAUCUCUACUCUCUGUGACUGACAACAUGCAAAAGUACUGCAGACAAAAACUACCAACUGAAACUGUAUUCCCACACUUUGGACCCUACAAAUUCCUCAUGCCAAAACACGAUUUAUCUAGUGAAAAAGAACCGACCAUGAACAGAAAAAAACGAUGAGUUUGAAUCUAAAAUUGUACCCUUCAUUGCUGUUUAACACCGAACUUAGUCUUCUGAGGCAUAUUGAAUGACAUGUUCUUGGCUUCUGUGUAUUCUUUUUCUUGUUAUGGCAGGAGGUUCGAACUGCGCAACAACAAAAUCUGUACUGUAAAAAUUGUCCCAAAUCCGGAAAUACGAUUCAGGUUUUCGUACUUACAGUUGCAGGAUGUACUGCCCUGCACGGAUGACGGGGUGGUGUGCUUGAGCUCCGAUAUGAACUAAUGGUUUUGAAUCGAUGAUGAUGAAAGACUCUGUAGAAAUCUGUAAAAUGGUAUUGGCUUCAAUGCCAAAAACCGGGUGGCUAUUCUCAUUUAUAUACAAUUACAGAAGAAGUUUUGAAAUACACAAUAACAGAAAUUUAAAAAUAGUCAAGGGUUAUCUCUUGGGUUAUCUCUUAAAGUGGAUAAGUGUUUAUCUGGUGGAUAAGAUAAGUGAGAAGCCAAGGAAAUCUCGGUGGUUUGAAUGUUGUGGUUAUCAUCCCCCCUCAAGCUAAUGGGGAGAGAAACCACCAUUAGCUUGUCACGAAGCAGACAAAAACGAGCUAAACUUAGUCCCUUUGUAAAGAUAUCAGCAGGCUGAUCAUAAGAACCAAUGAACUGAAGGGAAAUAUCUCGAUUAGCAACUUUCUCGCGGAUGAAGUGAAAAUCAACUUCAAUAUGUUUGGUGCGGGCAUGAAACACAGGAUUAGAAGCAAGAGCAAGAGCGCCACUGUUAUCACACCAAAUAGUAGGAGCUGUGGGCAAAGAAAUAUGAAGUUCUUUGAGGAGCAUACGAAUCCAAUACAGCUCAGCAGUAGUAAUAGCUAAUGUCCUAUAUUCGGCUUCAGUGCUAGAACGAGCUACCACAUAUUGUUUCUUGGCAGUCCAUGAGAUUAAGCAAGAGCCAAAGAAAACGCCAUACCCAAUAGUUGAUCUUUGAUCAUCGGGAUUACCAGCCCAAUCUGAAUCACAAAAGGCUUGAAGAGUUUGCUCGCCCUUAGUGUACCAUAAUCCCAGAUCAAUGGUGCCUUUUAAGUAACGUAAGACACAUUUUGCUGCUGUCCAAUGAACAGAAUUAGGACAGUGCAUAUGUUGACAUAGUUGGUUGACAGAAAAUGCUAUAUCAGGUCUAGUCAAGGUGCAAUAUUGAAGAGCUCCCACAGUUUGUCGAUAUUCUGUAAUUUGAGAAGCUGUGAGUGGCUCACCAACAUGAGUGGAUAAUUUAAGGCCUGUGGUACAAGGAGAGGAAGCAGGUUUGGCCCCAGCCAUCUUGGUACGAUGAAGAAGAUCCCCGAUGUACUUGGAUUGUCGAAGAUGUAGGCCAGAAGAGUCACGACUUGCUUGGAUGCCGAGAAAAUAGCCUAAAGGACCAAGGUCUUUCAUCUUGAACUCGGUCUGUAGCUUUUGGAUUAGAGACUGAAUGAGAGAAGGAUAUGUACCUGUAACAAGGAUAUCAUCUAUGUAGAUGAGGAUAAAUAGAUGAAUAUGGCCCUUAUGAUAGACAAAUAAGGAGGCAUCCACUGGUGAGGAUAGGAAACCGAAUUCAAGUAGAGUUUGAGAUAGACGCAUAAACCAAGCACGAGGUGCUUGUUUGAGGCCAUAAAGUGACUUGUUCAGUUUGCAAACAUAAUCUGGAAAAUCUGAAUUAACAAACCCCUUAGGUUGCUCCAUAUAUACAUCCUUUAGCAAGAUCCCAUGAAGAAAAGCGUUAGAUACAUCAAGCUGUCUGAUUUCCCAAUCAAAUUGAAUAGAAAGUGUAAGAAGAACCCGUACAGUAGAAGGCUUAAUUACUGGACUAAAAGUCUCAGUAAAGUCAAUACCUUCUUCUUGAGCAAAUCCCAAAGCCACUAAUCUUGCUUUGAAUCUGUCAACCUCACCUGUGGAUGUUUGUUUAACUUUAUACACCCACUUAUUUCCCACCACAUUAUGAUCAACAGGUCUAGGACAUAGCUUCCAUGUCUCAUUAGCCAAUAAAGCAUCAUAUUCCUCUCUCAUAGCAACACACCAGUCAAGUAAUAAAGCAGCUUGUCGGUAAGAGGUUGGUGCAAGGGGAGUCACAGUACUGGAUAAUGCUUGGAGAGGAUAUUGGGUGGAAUAGAGUUUAAAAUCUGAAAAUGUGCGAGGUUUGAGGUUUCCUGUUUGGGAGCGAGUUGUCAUGGGGUGAUGAGAGUGAUUGGAAGAAGAGGAAAAUUCAGGUAUAGAAAGGGUAGGAGCUGGACCAGGUAUGGGAGAAGGUAGAGUGGAGAUAUGAGGAGAAGUGGGGAUAGGUAAAGAUUCUAGAGGAGAAUCAGGUGAAUCUGAAAUGAUUGGAGAGGAAUGCUGUAAAUUAGAAGUAGAUAAAGAAAAUGAAGGAGAAGGUAAAGGCGUACCUUGAGAGGAGACCACUGGAAGAAGUUCAGAAGACUGCAAUCCAUCCUUAGCAAGAAAUGUAUUCUCAUUAAACACAACAUGUCAUGAGAUUAGAACUUUUUGAGUGACAGGAUCCAAGCAUCUAUAUCCAUUUUGAUGGGAACUAUAACCUAGAAAUAUGCAACGUUUGGAUCUGAACAUUAAUUUGUGAGUUGCAUAUGGUCGCAACAAUGGAAAACAGGCACAACCAAAGGUGCGCAAGGAGGUAUAAUCAGGAUGUUUGCCAAAUAAUUUAAGAUUUGGUGUUUGGUUAUCAAGAGUAGAUGUUGGCAGUCUAUUGAUGAGAAAAAUGGAUGUUAAAAAGGCAUCAACCCAGAAUUUAGUGGGCAAAAGUGACUGAGCUAAUAGAGACAGUCCCAUUUCCACCACAUGACGGUGUUUACGCUCAGCAACCCCAUUUUGUUGGGGUGUAUGAGGACAAGUGCGGCGAUGUUGGAUUCCAUUAGAGGAAAGAAACAAUUGAAAUUGGUUGGACAUGUAUUCUCCACCUCCAUCCGAUUGUAAUUGCUUAAUUUUGCAAGAAAAUUGGUUUUCAACUAGUGUUUUGAAUUUAACAAAGCAAGCAUAUACAUCAGAUUUAUUUUGGAGAGGAUAAAGCCAUGAGAAUCGUGAAAAAUCAUCAAUGAAUAUAACAUAAUACUUACAUCCACUGAGAGAUUUGGUAGAACAAGACCAUACAUCAGUAUGAAUUAAUUGCAAAGGAAAGGAAGAAACACAAGUAGAAGGUUUGAAAGGAAGUUGCUUACCUUUGCCAAGUUGGCAAGGUUCACAAAAAUGCAUUUUAUUCACUAAUCCUUCAACAGGUAAGGAGUGUUUAUUUAAUAACUGAGACACAAUGGGAAGAGAUGCAUGUCCUAAUCUAGAAUGCCAAACUGAAACUGGUGCUUUAAUUCCUACAACGACUGACAAAGCAUGUGAUUUAUUGAUAGACAUUGACCGCAACUGGAUUGGAUAGAGACCCCCUUCACUCCUGCCUUCCAGUAGUGUCGCCCCCGUUUGUAUGUCCUUGACAAAAUAAUGAGUACCAGUUAGAAUAAAGAGGCAAUUAUUAUCAAGACGGAAUUGAUUUAUGGAAAGCAAAUUGGCAGAAGCUUGAGGACAAUGGAGGACACGUUUGAGGUUUAAUUUAGCUUCAGGAGUAUGAAAAAUAGUAGUACCAGUAUGUGCAAUACUUAAACCUUGGCCAUUACCAACAGCUACAUUUUCUUGUCCUGUGUAUGGUUGUUGCAGAGUAAGAUGCUCCAGAUUGGCAGUAAUGUGCUGAUUAGCUCCACUAUCAGCAAACCAUGUCUCUUCCUCUUGCUCAGCAUUGCUAUGUGCCACCAUAGCAGCUAACUAGGUUGGUGGAUGACGACCCUGAUAUGCAUAAUCCAUUCUAUGAAAGCAAUCUAAUGCCUUAUGACUUAGCUUUCCACAGAUUUGACAAGGUGCCUUAGGAGUGGAAAAUGAGUGCUGCUUCUGAUUUGGCUGAGGUGAGGAAGGUAAACCAGAGGGUUGUGGUGAAUAUCGAGGACGAGGAUUUUGUGAAAAUGAAGGACGUGAAUAUGGUUUACUUGGGUUUUUGGGUUUGCGAUUGUACUGCUGUUGGUUAGAUUUGGGAAUGAAGAAAGCAAAAUUAUUUGUCUCAGGUGGUAUAGCAAUAUUCUGGUUUUCCAAUAACAGUUCAUAUGACAAGAGCUCGGCUUGAAAGUCUUCAAAAGAAACAUUCUUGUCUCUAGUGGCAAAGGACAGAGAGGUUAUAAAGGGAUUAAAGGAUGGGUUGAGUCCACUCACAAUAUAAGACAUUAAGUCAUCAUCCUUAAGUGGCUUACCAACUGCAGCUAAUUCAUCAGACACCAACUUUGCUUUUUCAAGAAAAUCAGUGCACUUCAUUGACCCUUGAUGAAGAGUCUACAACUUUCGCUUUAGGUGGUGUACACGGGUUCUGGAUUGAGAGGCAAACUUGUUUGCUAGAGAACUCCACACCUCUCGAGCAGAUGUGAUGCCAUAAACAGAAGCUAGCACCUUGUCAGACAAAGUGGCAUUGAUCCAACUUAACACACACUGAUCUUUCUUAUUCCAGAGAAUAUAUGCUGGAUUAAGAGAACCAUCAAGAGAUUUUGAUGGACACGGCUCAAAACCAUCCACGAAGCCCAUCAAGUCAUGACUUUUCAGUACUAGCACAAUCUGAGAUGACCAUAUAAGGUAGUUUGUGUCACUCAGCUUGAUUGACACCAGAUGACCAAUGUUUGGAGGAGCAAAGAUAACAUUGGAGGAAGCGGAAGAAGAGAAGGCCAUAGUUGAGAAGGAAAGGAUCGAUUGAAAUUAGGCGUAUGCCAAUUGCUCUGAUACCAUGAAAGACUCUGUAGAAAUCUGUAAAAUGGUAUUGGCUUCAAUGCCAAAAACCGGGUGGCUAUUCUCAUUUAUAUACAAUUACAGAAGAAGUUUUGAAAUACACAAUAACAGAAAUUUAAAAAUAGUCAAGGGUUAUCUCUUGGGUUAUCUCUUAAAGUGGAUAAGUGUUUAUCUGGUGGAUAAGAUAAGUGAGAAGCCAAGGAAAUCUCGAUGGUUUGAAUGUUGUGGUUAUCAGAGUUGUAUAUAGAGAGAAUUGAGAAGAAGGGGAUGACAGUUUAUAUAUAUAUAUAUAUAUAUAUAUAUAUGAAAUUCUAACAAUGAGCCAGCCUAGUGGUUGGUUUUUGCAGCCAGCGCAGUAGAUGUUGGCCAAGUCUACAAUGGCCACCUUAGUCACAGCUUCAAGGGUUCUGGAAAAUCGAAUUUCACCUUCUCCAAUAAUGUACAAGUUAAAGCUGCAUAUGUAGAAUAUGGGCAAUUCUUUAGGUGAAAGAUACGCCUACAAUUUUUCUCAACCAAAAAUGCUCAAUUCAUGAAAAUUAUUGUAGGCUAUGCUCGAUUCUAGGAGAUAUUAAGAAAAAAAAAUCUAAGUAAAAUGAUUUUAAUUUUAAUAUAAAAGAAAUUGUGAGAAAAAAAAAAUCAAAUAAUCAUUAAAAUGAGUAAAAUGAAUUUUAAGUAACAUUUCUUCUUUAUUUUUUUAUUUUUCUAGAACUAAACAUAGUCCUAAAUUAAGUCUAUAUAUUUUUACAUUCUUUAUUUUAUAUAUAUAUAUAUAUAUAUAUAUAUAUAUAUAUAUAUAUAUAUAUAUAUAUAUAUAUAUAUAUAUAUAUAUAUAUAUAUAUAUAUAUGAGAGAAAAAGAGAAAAGAAAAAGAGAUAGAGAGUGGGAAAAAAUUUUGCUUUCGUGUGUUCCUGCGAGAAAAAUUGAAAGAAAAAAUACAAUAUAUUAUAAAAUACCAUAUCUAGAUCUCUCUUUCUCAUUUUCUCUUUCCCUCUACCAAACAGUAUAAUCACGCCCUCAUUGUUUGUCUCUUUGUCUNNNNNNNNNNNNNNNNNNNNNNNNNNNNNNNNNNNNNNNNNNNNNNNNNNNNNNNNNNNNNNNNNNNNNNNNNNNNNNNNNNNNNNNNNNNNNNNNNNNNUUUUUUUUAAUUUAUAAAAGAGAGGGUGAGAAAAAAAAAAAAAUAAGAACAAAAAAGAGAAGAAAAAGUAUUUUAAAACAUAUAUUUUUUAUUUUUUUAUAUAUAAAAAAAAAAACAUACAUUAAAAUUAUAUAUAUAUAUAUUUAUAUACUUUUUUUUUUAUAUAUAUAUAUAUAUAUAUAUAUAUAUAUAUAUAUAUAUAUAUAUAUAUAUAUAUAUAUAUAUAUAUAUAUAUAUAUAUAUAUAUAUAUAUAUAAGAGAAAAGAAAAAGAGAAAUAAAGUUGGAAAAAAUUUUCUUUUAAUGCUUUCCUGUGAAAAAAAUUGAAAGAAAAAAUAAAAAAUAAAAUAAAAUAAAAAAAAUAGAAAUCACAAUCAGAAUUUUUCAUUUCCUAAACCAAACAGUUUAAAUCUAGCCAUCAUUUGUUUUUCAUUUUGUCUUUUUUUUUUUUUUUCAUUUUUUAUAUUUUUGUUCAAACUUUUGGAGCCAACAAAAAUUCUUAAAUAACUUGCAUAAAGCCAAAACAAUUUCAAAAAGAGACAGGAUAGUAACUCACGCGCCGUGAAUCUCUAACCUUUAAUUUCCUUAUGUUAUAUAGAAGCAAACCAACACUCUGAUUUCUCAUUUUUCUUUACCUCGUUUUCUCGAUUCUCUCUAACUUUCGUCGGUCCAGGUACUUUUCCGAUCUAUUUCUCUCUUUUCUUCUUUUCUUUCCAGUCCAUGUCUCAUUGUGAUUUCUUAUUUUGCAUUUUCUUGUUUGCAUUUUUUGCACUCUUACUUUUCAUUACCUCGCUUUCUCGAUUCUCUCUGACUUUCAGUUUCAUGUCUCAUUGUGUUCGUCGGUCCAGCAGGUACUUUUCCGAUCUCUUUCUCUCUUUUCCGAUCUCUUUCUCUCUUUUCUUCUUUUCUUUUCAGUCCAUGUCUCAUUGCAAUUUCUUAUUUGCAUUUCUUUCACUUUCUUGGUAACCAAACAACAGUCAUUUUUCACUGUUUGUUUGCAUUGGGAUCUGAGGUGUCCCGAUCUCUCUUUUCUUUUUUUCUUUAAAAUAUUAAUAAGUUACUUUCGUCUAAAUCCAUAUCCUUGUUUUUUUUUUUUAUGAUCAGAAGUCGUAUUUGUUGAUGUCUUGUGUCCCAGUGAUCCACGUGGCUGUCAAGUGGACGCACGCUUUUAUCCAAGAUUGAGUUCUGGUUCAGUCUUCCCUGCAAAAGAUGUCCGGACAGGAGGUCCGGACACACCCUCCGAUGGUUUUGUUAGCCAUGUGUCACGGACUUAGUCGUUCACUAAGCUCGUGCGGCACUUAGACAAGCCAAGACGCUUGAUCUUGCUAAGUCAGCCUUGCUCCCCAAUGCUUAGCUUGCUAGGCUAAGACAUUUGCGACUCAAAAGCUUAAGAAGCUUGGUAGGCAACUCUUGAAAGAAUGGAAGCUUUCACUAACUCAAGGAAACCUUUACAAGUGCUUGGAUGCUCACUUGCUUGGUGUCUUGGCUAAAUGAGGUCCUCACCUAUUUAUAGGUACCAAUGGAAUUCUCUGGAACCUUGGAGGGUUCCUUACAAUUCAAGACUAUUCUAGAAUGUCCUACAUCAUUCUAGGUACAAGCCUAUAUACAAGUAUAUACAAGAGACUUCUAGAAUUCUCUAGAAAGCCCUUAACUCCUCUCAUGUCUUCCACCAUAAUGUAGAAUUGUGUGGAUUCCUCCAAACUUCUCUAGAACCUUUCACACUCUUCCCACUUUAGGAGUCUCCAAAAGUUUCCUGACUCUAAAGAAAAUAAUUUUUUUUAUUGGAUUUUAUUUUAUUUUAUUUUAUUUGGAAACAAAAUGAUAAAGAUCCCUUAAAAAAAUUCAUUUCUAAACUAAAUGUCUAAAAAUAUUUUUUUUUUCAAUAUAAGUUAAGCAAAAUUAUAAAAUAAAAAAAAAAUUAAAAGGCUAAAUUUUAUUUAAGCUAAAAUGAUUAAAAACGGAAAAUCACAAUUUUUUUAAUAGAGGAGGCGACCAAAUACCAAAACCUAACCCUAUGGCAAAAGAUAGGGUAAAAUAAUGGUAUAUAUACAUUUGUCAUAACUUCUUAUCUAGUGAUAUAAAUGGUGACAAAUAUAAAAAUAAUGUUAUUACAAUCACAUUUGAAAUUCAGAAAAGAAUUUUUAAGAAUACUAGGAUGAAUUAUUUGUUUUUAAAAGAAUAAUAUUAAAAGCAACUUGCUUUUUUACUAAAUGAAAAAACACCAAAAUUGACUCUUCUCAAUACUAAAAUUAAUUUGUUGGUUUUGUUUUACUUCUUAAUAUUUAAUAAAAAUAAAAUAUUUUAAAAAAUAACUUAAUAUUUAACACUAUUAAACAAUGUUUUGUAUUAAAUUUUAUUUAGAAUGAAAAAAAAGGCAUUACUUUAAUGGGUGUUUGAUAAAUCAACUUAAUAAUUUAAAAUGACUUAAUAACUUAAUUUAACUCAUAAAAUAAAUAAAAUAUGUUUGGUUAAAUAACUUAAUAGUAUAACUUAAAAUUUAAAUAAAAAAACUUUAAGUAAUAAAUAAAAAUAAUUAAAUUAUUUUUAAGUUCAUAUUUUCAUUUUAAUUUUUUCAUGCAUAUUUGUCAUAAUCACCUUCAUGAUGUCUUUUAUUAUUUCACAACCUUCGUUAUUAGUCGAUUUUUUUUACUACUCCAUGACCUUCAUGGUUACUCGAGAUCCUUUAUCAAUUUUAUAAUUUAUAAGGAUAAAUAUAUCAAUUUGAUAAUUUAGAUUUAUCUAACAACCUUAAUACUUAAUUUGAUGAUUUAGAUUUAUCUAACAACAUUAAUACUUAAAAUAAAAUUUAAGUAAUUUUCACAAUCUGCAUAUUACCAUUCUUCUAUUUUCAUGUAUGAACGAGGAUAAAACUCCAGCUAUACUCCAAUCUAUUUCUAUAUAUAUAUAUAUAUAUAUAUAUAUAUAUAUAUAUAUAUAUAUAUAUAUAUAUAUAUAUAUAUAUAUAAUUCUCUAUGUUCGAAAGUACUAUCAUGUAUAAUUAUUAUUUUUUUAUUUUUUUAAAUAAGAAUUUUUUAUGUAAAAGUAAAACAUUUUAUACCAAAAAUAUAUAUUUAUACUUAAAAAAAAAUUAAAAUUUAAGAUAGUAAAAAUCUUUUAAAACAAAUUUUAAAAUUACUACUUUUUCGAUGUAAAUUUUUAAAAAUUUUGUAUCCUAUAUAAAAACUAUUACUAAAAUUAUUACUAUUUUUAAUUUAAAAGCAAAAAAUAAAAAAUCUUUCUAAACUAACACUUAGGAAGUGUUUGAUAAAAUUUACUGUUUAUUAUUCAAUUAUUUAAAUUAACUUUAAGUUAAAUUAUAUUUAAAUUACUUAAAAUUUAUUAUUUAAUUUUUAUUCUAAAUAUUAAAGUUGUUUAAUAAAAUUAACUUAAAAUUUAUUUUAAAUCAUUAAAUUAAAAUAUUUAUCCUCAUAAAUUAUAACAAGAGUAAAGGAGGUUGAGUAAUAAUGAAUAUCAUUAAAGAGAUUGUGGAGAUAAAUAGGACAAAUAUAUAUAAAAAAAGUAAAAUAAAGAUAUGGACUUAAUAAUAAAUUAAUUAUUUUUUAUUUAAUAUUUAAAUUUAUUUUUAAUUUUAAAUAAUACUAUUAUAUUAUUUUACCAAAUAUAAUUAAUUUACUUAAUGAUUUAAAUUAAGUUAUUAAGUUAAUUUACCAAACACUCCAAAAUUCAACUUAUUUUUUUAUCAAUAAUGUUAUAUAUUUAUCUAAUUAAUUACCAACAUGUUAUAUUAUGAGAAAUUAUAGGAAAAAUCUGAAAAUAUAAUAAAUUUUAUCUUAUACCUAAUUCUUAAAAUGUCUAUAUAAUAAAUUUUCUCCGUAAAUGCUGAAAUAAAUGAAAAUAGAAUAUCAAUUUUCAAAAAUUGAAAAAAAAAAAAACAAAAUUUAGUGAGUAAUUGUUUCUAUAUAAAAACCCAACUCUCCCGCCCACUCUCUCACAUUUUCUCUUUCAUUCUCUGGCUUUCUAGGGAAAGUUGAAGAGGCUUCCCUCUCAGUUUCUCCUUCGUUCUUUCACUUCGAUUGUUGGUCUUCUUCUUCAUCAAUCCUACAUCUUUUUCAUUUUUGUUCUUAAAUCCAAUAUCUUUAUUUACCUUUUUCUUUUGUGUGUUUGACUGUAUAGGGACGUGAAGUACGAAACGUCUGAAUUACAAUCAGGUACCUUCUCGCUUUCUUUCAUUUGAUUUUUCCAAAGCUUGGUUUACGACAUUUUCUCGACAUCCAAACAACCCUAUCUAUGUAUAUUAUAUUUCUUUCUUAAUCAGGAGAAGUUAAUUGCUCUGAAAAUGGCCAACAUGCCCAACUUGGUUUUGGAGUGUCACUUCUGCUCAACACGCUUUCAAUCUCUCACACAGAAUCUUGGAAAUGUAUUUUCUUUCUUUCCUUCUUUCUUACUUACUUUCUUUUCUUCUUUCUUUUUUUCUUUCUUUCACUCUGGUCUUCAUUUUUGUUUGCAGAUCUUUAAUCUACCUCAACCUUACGAGAAUGCUUGGCUCUUCGAUAGAGCGUAAGAUUUUCAUUCCUUUCUUCUUCUUAUGGAUUCUCGAGAAUAAUUAUUAUUAUUUAAAAAAAAAUCAUGAUUUAAUUGAUACAAUUUUAUGGAGAAAUUAUCAUAUUCAUGCAAUGUAAAUUGCAGUUCCAAUGUGUACUGGGAAGAAGGAGUGGAAAAUCCAUUUACGACAUUGAUUUCAGUUGCUGGUCAGGAGGGGAGCACCCAGAUGACACUGACCAAUGUUUCCUGUUCUGGAUGUGGAACUCCAUGUGGCUUGAAAAUUGUGACCAUUACCAUCCCUUUCUCUCUCUCUUCUUUUCUUUCUUCCCACAUCAUUUUUACUAAAAAAAAAAUUUUAAUUUUGAAUUAUGUAUAACAUGAUAAUUGUUUUCAAAAAUAGUUUCCAAAAAUAGUUCUUUGUUUUUAAAAACAAAAAACAAGUAUUUUCAGUUUUCUUAUUAUUAUUUAAAAAUAAUAAUUACAUAAAUAAAUUAAAAAUAAAAUACUACAUAUAUAUUUUUAAAAUUUAUUUAAAAAUAUAAAACAAUGGUUAAAAAUAUUAUUGGUUUCCAAAUGAUUUUUUUUUAAUAAAACAUCAUUAAACAAUUUCCAAAAAUUAUUCUAAAAACUUGUUGGUUAGAAAAGCUAUUUCAAAUAGUCAUAAUAUAUAUAUAUAUAUAUAUAUAUGAAAAUCUAAUUUUUUAAUUUUUUACAUUUACCUCAAAUUUCAACCAACAAACAUAGGGUUAAUUGAUUAAUCUAAACUUGUAUAUGUUCUUUAUUCAGGUUGCGGUUGGUCUACAUCCUUUGUUUCGUCGAGGACAAUAUAUAUUAUAAGCAAAGUAAGCUUUUAUAAUAUGAUCCUAUAAGAUUUCAAUGAUUAAUGAACAAGUUCAUUCUUCGCUUUGUUGUACAUCGUGGAACUAUGAUGUAUUAGGGUAUCGAAUUAUGAUGUGUUAUGGUAUCAUAUUAAUAUAUUUUAAAUCAAUAAAUUAUUUUUAUAUUUUAUUUCAAACUCAUCAUUUUAUUUAUUUUUGGAUAUUAAAUUAUUUAAAAAUGUAUAAAUUUUGAGGUAAUUUUAAUUGUAUUUUUCACAUUUUUCAUAAAGAAAUUAAAUAAAAAUUUAUUUUUUUAAAUAUUUUUUUCUCUUUAAAAUACCAUGAAAAUAUUUUUUCGUAAAAUUUGACUUAGUAUAUAUGUGAUGGUAAUUUCUUAUACUCUAAUUAGUGGUAUAUUGGGACAUGAGUAAGAUCCAACUCAUUGAUUUCUUCAAAAUAUUAAAAAGAUAAAGAACAAAAAAUAUUCCUCUAUUAUCAAUGGCAUAUAAAUAAAUCUUUUUAUGUUAGAAUUCAAAAUAAAUAAAUAAAUUAUAAACAAUAUCAUCCUUAUUGUUCUAAGUCGAGUUUCAUUUACGGUAGCAAAUUUUCUUCCCUGUUUUAUAAGAACUUUUUUCCUAUAUUAUAAAAACAUUUUUUCCUAUAUUAGGUAUAUCAGCAAAACAAAACAAAACAUUGAUGGUAAAUUGUUAAAUAUGAUUAAGCAAAUAUCAAAGCAACAUAUUUAAGUUGAAUAAAUAAGUUAGGAUCGAGAUGAAGGUUAUUUGAAAAUAUAUAUAUAUAUUUAAAUAUAAAAAAGUAUAUAUAUAUAUAUUUAAAUAUAAAAAAGAAUAAAAAACGAUUGGAUAUUCAAUUUAAAAAAUGAUAGGAGUCCUUUUGGAACAUUUUCAACAAAUAUAAUAAUAACAAAAGGAAAGGUAAGAGUGUUUGGGCCAUGUCCACGACAGAGAAGAAAAUUGAUGCACUCAAUCGUUGUUUCCUGUAAAGAAAAUUAAUAAUUUCUUUAUAAUUUUAGAGACAGAUCCGGGCCCAACGAAUAAUGCAAUUUCGGGUCCAUGUCACAUCGAGUUAAGAUUCUUAAGAAAUACUAUAAAUUAGAAAAUCUUUUUAUAAUCGUGAUAUAAUUAAAAUCUUAUUUAUUAAACAUAUAAUAUGACAUCACCUAUUUAAUUAAAUUAAUAAACAUGCAUUUUAUUUAAAACAUUUUUAAUAAAAAUAUUUUUUCUAAAAAUAUUUUUGAAAUCAUUACUUAUUCAAUGCUUUUCUUAGGAAUCAUUAUUAUUAAUUUUUCAAAAAUUUUAAAGCAUUACCUAAAGUUUUAUAAGACGUUUUUUUUUUAUAUAAAUUAUUUUUUAAAAUAGAAAUAUUUUCUAAAAUACUAUUAAAAAUCCGUUUAAUAGUGAUUUUAUGAAGGAUUUGUAACAUUUCUAAUAAUUAAAUAAUAAAAAAUUUUCAAAUAUUAAAAAUAUUAAAAACAUUUAUUAAAAUCAUUGUCGAACAAACUUUAAAUAAAAACAUCUUUUAGAUUUGAAAUAUUUUUUAAAACCUCAAAUACAAAAUAAACAAAUCUCUUUACAUUUACGAGAAAACACAUCCAUUUUAUUUGUACUUUCUGAAAUAUAAUAUUAGUAAUAAAUAAAUAAACAAAUAAGAUUAUAUCUUGUUAGAGGAAAAAAAUUUGAAGAGGAAAGAAAAAGACCAACAUUUAGAAAAAAAAAAAAAAAAAAACCCUUCUUAUGAAUUUUCUUUAAUCAAACAUACCAAACAUAGCCUUAUAACCAAACAAAACAAAAUAAAUUUUAUCCUGACUUUUCUAUGUAUAACCAAACAAAAUAAAAUGCUUUACAUGAACAAAAUGUGUUACAUGAAUAAAAUGAGCAUGAAAUAAAAUAUUUAAAAUAUUAUCAAAUUUUAAAUUUUUAUAGCACACAAGUUGUACCUUUUCUAAUUUUUAAAUUUAAAAUAAAAAUAUAUUUCAAAUAUUUUAAAAUAUAUAUUUAUAUAUUUAAAAUAUUAUCAACGCCAAUUUAGUAUUUUCAAAUUUUUUAUUUUUAUUCAUUUACAAAAACGUAGACCAAAAAUUAUUAACUCGAUCCUUUGCGCGUUCACGCUACAAAACUGAGCCGCGUAACACCGUAACACCACAAUAACUCACCCGUCUCGCACGCAAACCCAUGAAACUCCUUUACCUUUUAACACCGGUCACCACAGCCUCCUCUGUACGGAGCCACUAGAUAUUAUCUCAUAACACGACGUGCAUAACCUGCGUUACCCGGUAAAACUAACUCACUCAGUUCCAUAUUCACCGGCAUUUCCGGUUCCUUUAUCUCCUGCACGAAAUCUCGGUAUAAAUCCAUUCCUUUACAUUUCUCUAGACAGUCUCGAUCUCACCGGAAUCGUAAUCGUAACCUCCGAUCAUCGUUCCUCCCGGAAUAGACUAGAUAGUUUUGUAAGUGCUGGUUAUUGAUUAAUCUCUUGCUUAAUGGUUUGUUUGUUGUGAAAUCGGAGCUGUUUGUUUUGUUUGAUGAUGAUUGAUGUUUGAUUGUAUUUGAUUUGAUUUUAUACGUCUGAUUUAGGCUUUUUUUGGUUGUGAUUCUGAUUGUUUUUCGAUCUGUGCGUGUUUUCAUGUAUCCGGUUGGUUUUGGUUGGGGUUUGGGGAUUUUGGUUUUGGUUUAAUUCCUUUGUUUGGUUUCGUAGAAAGCAGUGGGAAAGAAAAGAGGAUGAAAGGAAAUCGAAUCUAGGCUUUAGUAUAUUGGAGUUAUGUUUUGGUUUGUUUGUUUGAUUUUAAUUUCUCUGUUUGGUUGAUUACAAAAUUGUUAAUUAAAAAAGAUUGACAAUUUUGAAUUUCAUGUUUUUUGUUGUUUUGAAAUUCAGGAUUAGGUCGCCUCGACUGGUUCCAGUCAAAGGAAAAUCUAAGAUCCAGAAUUUUAGUUCCUGGUUUUUUACUUUUGCUAUGCGACCAAAGAAAGCAUAAGUUUUUCCAAUUAUUAAACGUCACCUUUGUUUAUAUAUUUUAUUUGAUUAGUAUGAUAUAUUCAUGUUUCAGAAAAUAUGAAAAAAAAAAAAAAAAGCUUGUAAUUUCACUGUUUUGGUUUCUAAGAAAUAAAUUUCUUCUUAAAAAAAAUCUUUAAGUUACACGACUACUUUUUAAAUUUUUUUAAGUUUUUAGUUUGUCAUAAUAAGCAACAAGAAAUGGUAAGCUUUAAAUUUCCUUUCAUCAGUUUUGACAAGAGGCAAAUGAAAUGUAACCUGUCCUUUAUCUGCAGUGUGUUUAUUAAUUUCAGGAUUUUAGUUGUUCUUUGUGCUUUUGGCUCUUAUGAAGUGAUUUUUUUACUGUGGGUAACUAAUUAACUAGAAUCAGUAUUUUCUAACAGUUUGUAUUGUUUGAAUAAAUUUACAGCCCAUUGCUUGGGAUUUUAUUAGUUUCAAUUGCAAAUAUUCCUUAAAAAAUUUCUUACUUUGUACUUUAACCCUGGGAUUAUCUUCCUUCAAAACAGACUUUUAGAGAAUGGUUGUAGAAUUUCUUCUCUGUAGGUCUUCAUUUGUAGUUUUAUGGAUUAGUAAUGGUUUCCAGCCUAUUACUGUGAGUUAUGUUACUGGAUUAAUAUUCACAACAUGUUCUUUCUUUUGUCGCUGAAUGUGAAAUUUAGGAGACUAACUUACUGAAGAUGGCGGAUAAUGAGGAGGGAGAGGAAACCACUUCUCGUGGAAAUGAAUGGGAAGUUGUUUCACUUACAGCAUCAGCAUAUGCUGCUGCUCCAGGUCCAAAAGGAAUUGAAAUGAGUGAUGAUGGCAAGAGUAAUACCUUUAAAGGCAAUGAAGCGGAAACUUCUCAUGCAAUGUUUUUGUCUGGUCACUUUGUCUUUCCACCUAGUCAGCAUGAGAAUUUGCCGUUGGAACCUGAUGACACUGAGAUCCAUAAUGAACAUGGAAGUGAGGAUGUGAUUCCUGAAUCGAAUGUGGAGAAAGGUGGUCAUUCUGAUGGAAAAAAUGAAGAUAAUUGGAGUGUCAAAGAUCUUACUAAAGGAGAUGAAUUCCCUGGCAUACAGUUGUUUGAUGAAGGGGGAAAAAGUCUAUCUGAUCGUGGCAAAGGUUUUGAAGAAGGAACAGCCCUCAAAGGGCUAAAUCUGGUUGACAAAGAGCCUGAUAUUUACAGUGCUGCUAAAUUUAGUUCUUUGCACAGUGAACCAACUAUUGGUGGAUCUACCACAUAUGAUGGGAAUACGGUUAUCCCAGAUCUAGUUGAACCUCCUGAGCUAGGUGCAGACCUCCAUGCAGAUAUCUCACAAUCUCCAAAAUCUACAAAAGAUGAUGAUAGAUAUGAUGGGUCCAAUCUUCCUUGUGAAGCUUGGUGGAAGAGACGAGCAGCUUCCUUUUAUGGUCAUGCAAAAGAGGCAAAUGCAUUUUGGUCUAUCUUUAUUGCUGCAGCUGUGAUGGGCCUUGUAAUUCUUGGGCAGCGAUGGCAGCAUGAAAGAUGGCAGGUUUUACAACUUAAAUGGCAGUUUGGCGUUAAUGAUGAGGUAUGCCUUUUGCUAUUGAUAUGGUGGCAGAAAAUAUUUUUAUUUUUUUUCAAUAUUUAGCAUGUUAUGAAGCUAUUUGGUUACAAAAAUCAUGUAUCUGGUGUUUGUUGAUUAUGAUGUGAUGGGGUCAGAUCUCAACACUUUUCUACAUAUAACUGCUAUGAUUACUAUAACUACUUGAGAUUUGUCUUCAAUUUUAAAACUAGCCCUUUUGUGUGUAAUUUAUGAGUCAAAAAGCUGCAAGAAAAAUUUUGAACAUGUGUUAUGCAGAGAAAAUGCGGUCUUGAUAUAUUUUCAGCCAUACAGGACUAGUUUUUGGUUAUAUUAGCAUGCCAUGAUAUCAAUGUAGAUUGGUUGGCUGCUGAUAAGAUGCUGUAAGAAAUGAGAUUUAUGUUUUGAUUGUUCUUGCUUAUGAAAAGGGGCAUAAUACAUGCUGAACUUUUGUGAUUAAAUGGGUCCAAGCCUUUGACAUCAGAGUGUAGUUGUCAACCUCUCUGAUCUCUGUAAUUUCAUUUCCCCCUAUGGGUGUGUAUAUCAGGCAAAAAAUAUAAUGAAUUCAUGCUUUCAUGGUUCAGGCCAUAGGUUGGCAUCAGCACAUUUAGUUCUUGUGUUUGAAGACUUAACCCAAGGCAGUAGGCAGAUUUUGUUGAUUGAGAUCAUUUAAUCCUGCCAUAGUUAUCUGCCCUUCUCAAGGAUCAUUUGAGUCUUUAGCAGUUUGGAUUAUUGUCAAUGUUGCCUUAGUUGUGAUCUGCUGGAUAUUGCAGAUUAGGACUUCUGUCAUGGAGAUAUAUAUAUUUUUUUGAUAAGUAAUGUCAUGGAGUAUUUGUUGUUGGGAGAGAUCCAUUUUUGUUCCCAGUCAAUAAAAGAUCUGUGGAUAAUGAUGUCAUGUUUGGGAACGUUUCCAAAAACAGUUCUCAUAAAUAGUUUUCAAAAAUAGUUAUAAAAAAACAGUUAUUGAGAACAGUUUUCAAAAAUAAUUUUCUAAUGUUUUCUAUAACACAAGUCUAUUUGAAGAUUUGGAAUAUUUUCAACAAGUUUUCUGUGUUUCCAAAUAUUUCUUAAAAAUAACUUUUAUUUGUAAUGUUUUAUUUUCAAUAAUUCUUCAUAUUUGUAUAAUUAUUUAAAAAAAAAAAAAAACCUCUAGAAAACAAGUGAAAACAACUUAAAACAAUUAAAUAUGUUAUUAGAAAACACCUUGUUUUUAGAACAAAUUUUCAAAAAGUUGUUUUUUGUCAAAAAAUUGUCAAAAGUAUUUUUGAGUUUGUAAAACAAUUCCCAAAUAGGCUCAGUUAUAAAUUUUGUUAUCCAAUUUUACUUUCUAUUUUCAAAUUUUAAUAAUAUAAUUUUAAAAAAUAAAGGUAUUGCAAUUUUUUAUUUCUAAAUUAUUUCAGAGCAUAUUUUAGAUUUAAGGAAUUCAGAAAAGCUCACUCAUGAGAGAAAAUUGGGAGUGUAGAGAUUAUUGAAGAUCAAAGCUUGCAACAAUGGAUUUGUCCCCUGCCUGAUCAUCCUCUUCCAUAAGGUUAUCUACCUUCACUGAGCAUUGUUCAUUGUCACCCCCUACCACUGAUUGUUGGAUCAUCCUCUAGAGUGCAGAUCUCUUAGAUGAUUUUAAGUUAGCUGAGAAUUUGAAUUAUGGGGCACUUGAUGGGCUCUUGCUCAUUAGAUGAAUUUAAACAUUUGAAAAAAUUGAAGAAGAAGAAGAAGAAUAAAAAGGGCCUUGAUGUGCUCUUGCACAUCAGCUGAAAUUGAACUUUUGGUAAAAAAAAAAAAAAAAUGAGGGGGAGGAGGGCACAAAGGACACCAACUGAAAGAAUAAUUGGAGGCGGAUCAGUUGCUUCAUUAUGUUUAUAUGAUCUUCCAAUUUGGCUUGAAUCAUUUUCUGCUUUUUCAUUAUAGGCUUUAGGUUUAAAAGGUACUCAGUUCUGGGUUUGUUUCAAUUUUUAAGAUUGGAGAUUCGAGAUUACAGUUGACUCAAGAUAUAUAUGCAUAUAUAUUUUAGACUUUUCCAGCUUAACUUUUCUAUUUUUUUAGCAUUGGGUUCAGUAGCUUUAUGUGAUCCAACUCAGCUAAUGGUGUUGAAAUUUUUUUUUGAAGUUUUCAGCAAAAUUAUUCACUUUUUAAGUAGCAAGUGUUUGUUCUUUUGUUAGGUUCACUUGUGAUCAAAGAAUCUGAAUGGCAAUGAUGAUGAAAUAGAUUUUUGUUUUUUGUUUCAUCUGAUAACAAAAUAAACAAGAAACAUUUAUGUUGAUUAUUUUUAUCACUAGGAUUGGGCUACCAAAGUGUUUUGCACAUCAUGUUUGGGAGCAUUUGAGAUUCUCAUAUAGUGCAUCUAUCUUCUUGUACAUGCAGGAGUAGAAGUGCAAUACAACUCGAUGUAUGCAUUUUUAUAAUCAGUUGUUGUCCUUUUUUUCCCCUUUAUCGGUAAAUUUCUGUCUCCGCUGGGACCUGAACUUAGAACCUCCCACAAACCCUUCCCAACCCUUUACCGCUUGAGCCAGACCUCAAGUGCAGUUGUUGUCAGAUUCUGAUGUCUUUAUGAGUUGCAUUUUUAUACUAAUUAAUGCCAUCUACCUGCUAUAUUCUUAUGCUUCUGAUCCAUUUUUCCAUAAUUAGCUGUCAUUCAGCUUUUAUCAGCUUCCAUUCCAUUGUAAUGAAAUGCCACCCACUAGUUGCACAAUUAUGCUUUUUCUCAUUAAAUUGUAUCCUCACUGUGAGCUGGAAAAGGGUGACAUAGCCUAUUUCCUUCAAAGAGAACAGAAUUGGUUUAGGCCUCGUCCAAACUUACAAAUCACGAAUCAAUGUCACCUCUCGGCGAGUUAGUAGAGUUGCUUUUUGUAAAUCUACUCGACACCAUGCUUAUGAAACUCAAAUCAAUAACAUUUCAGAUAUUGAUAUUUUCUUUAUCACCCCUUUAUUUCAUUCCUCUUUUUCAUCUGCUAAUGUCUGCAUUCUGUUUACCACUGUAUAUUGCAGAAAAUGGGCAGGAUGUUGGGGCCCAUAAUUCGAUUAAAGGAUGUGAUAGUGGGUGGGAACCGCCGGGGUUCUUUUAUCAGAGGCAGCAGCACCUCAGGAAACCGUUAAGAUGAUGACGAAAAAGAGAAGGGGCGUCAGGAUGAUGGUAUGUUAGUUUGUUAUUGUGUGGAUCACCUAUUUUUCUUGUGACAAAGCUUUACAAAGCUACAUAUUUUAAGUUUGCUUAUUGUUAUGCUACUAUUAUGUUGGUGGUGGGUUGGCCUUUUUCGUCUUGAGAAUGGUUAAAGAUUAGGAGGUUAUAUAAUUUACACAACUGUACAUUUGGGCCUUAAAUUUUGCUAUUUGGUCAUGGUCUGUUGGUAGGAGGGCCUCAGUUGUAAUAUAUGUUUGUACAUGGCUCAUACCUGGCAUGGAUGAGGUUGAGGCCUGUGCAGACUCGAAUCAUUCUUGGCUUGGGGCCCUUCAGUCUAACCUUUGGGUAUCAAAUCCUACCAUUCCUAGGCCUGGCAUAAUAAAAUAAUAUAUUGGUAUAUUAAAAGUUUCAUUAAAUAUAAAAGAACAUGCCAUAAAAAUAUAUGCUUUUAUUUCAUAUAUUUGAUUUACAUUUAUGAUAUAAUGAAGAUUAGGAUAUUGGAGUGGCUGAGUACAUAAUUAAUUUAGAUAUGGUAGAUUUAUUUAAAAUUUUGGAUUUAAAGGUAUAAAUUAGUGUACACACAACUUAAUUUGGUUUAAUUUUUUCAUCAUUAAGAAUUUAAUUUGUUUUUUAAUUCAAAUAUAAAUUGAUGGUAUCAAUUUGAAAAAGCUUUUCUUAAAAAACUUAUCAAUUCACACUUUUCUACGCUUAAAGUGAUAUAUAAUUCUUUUUCCCGUUGUCUUUCUCCCUUUCUUCAACUUUUCCGAAGUACUUUUUAGGAUGUAAAUAUGUCUUCAAAUGCAUAAAAUAAAUAAAUAAAUAAAUAUAAGAGAGUAAGAAAAGGAGAGAGAACGUAUAUGUUGCUCUGUUAUUUUCCCUAUUGUUCCACGGAAACCUCUAGAAAAAUUGGGUCAAAAUGUAAUGCAUUGACAUGAAAAUUUUGAAACUCUUAGCUUUGCACUUUGCACUUUGCACUUUGCAUGACUAAAUAACGCUCUUUUCACUUUAAUUACGUCUGUUCACUUUUUAAAAAAUAAAUUUGUCUCAAGAUUUUUUAAUUUUUUUUCAAAAUUCCGAAUAAAAACCAAUAUAUGUUUAUAUAUGGUGAGAUGAGAUGAAUGGAAUUAUCUUAUUUAUUUUAUCGUUAUUACUUGGUCAUGAUAUUUUCAUCUUCAAUAAUAGUAGUUGAAUAAUUGGUGAACUAAUUAUAUAUAUAUAUUAUGUUUGUCCACCUACAUUACAUUCCAUCGUACUUUCUAAUUUUGUGGGCUGGGGUUGAUGCUGUGGGACACAAGAGGUAUAAUCUCCAGCUAAACUCAGCCUUAAGACUUCGGACCGAAUUUAGAAGAAAGCAUGCUAUAUAUUAAAAUUUAACAAUUGAAGUUAAAAGUUCUAUGACAAAAAGAAAAAAAGAAAAAGGAAAAAAGGACAACAACAACCAUACUGGCUAUCCAGGUGAAGAAUGUUAUGCUCCGUUUAGUAUGCCAAACAUCUGAUAGUAAAAUCCGAGUUGUUGAACAAGGUAUAAAUACAUAAGGUUUAAACAAGUGAACCGAAUCAUUGAAUUGCAUACUAAAAUCUGAGUUGUUGGACGAGGAUGUAAAUGCGUGAUAUCAAAUAAAAUACAAAGCAAUUAAACUUGAGUGGAUACUUAUAGUGCGGUUUUAUGCUCCAUUGUUAUUUUUCAAUACAAUACCCAAAUUGUGGCAUGGCCAAACCGUAUCUGAUAUAUGCUUACAUGUAAAUAUAUAUAUACAUAGAAGUGGUCAAAAACUGAUGAUGUAGAAACAGAGAAAAUUAUUGACUGAGUUUGGAGUGAAAAGGAUAAAGAUGAAUUCUCACAUUAAGGCAUCAGUUAUAAAUAGUUGGUGGGUGGCUCACCCAACCCUAACCAGUCACAUGAUGAACUCCAUGCAUUUUCAUUUAACAUAUUAUUAUAAAACCACCAGCUACCGAGAAAAUGCAAAUAAUUGAGUGAAAACUCAACUCCACUUCAUCUUCCUUAGCAUUGCCAUCUCUUCUUUCAAAAAAAUUUUGGUGGAUCUCUGUGUCCUCAUUUCCUCAACCAAUCUCAUUUAUUUCUCCUCAUUCAAUGCCUCCUAUUAAAACCCAGCUCCUUUCCCUGAAAAAUUAGGUGUGAAGAGAGAGAUAGACAGAGGCUUUUGCUGAGUGGGGUUUUACCUUUAUAUUGUCAACGACCUCCCACUGCAUUAAUGCUGCUUUCUCGCUCUCUCUUUCUCUUUCUAUGUGUGCAUGAGGCUUGAGUGUGAGAUGGUGAAAUUCAAGAAACAGACUGGCCUUAGUAAUUGCUUGUCAACGCCGCUUCGCCUAUAAAUCCCUUCUUCUCCAUUUCUACUACUCAUACUCUCUCAGUUCUCUUCUUCUUUCUCUUGGUAAUGAAUUAUUCAAAGCUUUGGUUUUCCCAACAAUGGCGUCGUGUUGAAGUCCUGAAAAACUAGGUUUAAGCAGUGACCCACCAUUGUUGAUGAGAAAUACCAUCUGGGUUUUUUCUACUGGAGUCUUCUAAGGUACGUUUUUGGAGAUUCAGGUUUUUUCUGAGGAAAGUGCGGUUUUUUUCUCGGGAAAAUGGACGUGUUUUGGGCUUCGCUGUUUUUUAUGGCGAUCACCGCUUAUCUGCUGUGGUUCACCUUCAUCUCACGGUCGUUGAGGGGUCCACGUGUCUGGCCUUUAUUGGGCAGCUUACCAGGCUUGAUCGAGAACAGUGAACGCAUGCAUGAAUGGAUCGCUGAAAAUCUACGCGCGUGUGGCGGCACGUACCAAACAUGCAUCUGCGCCGUCCCUUUCUUGGCGCGAAAGCAAGGGCUCGUGACGGUCACAUGCGACCCGAAGAAUCUGGAGCAUAUAUUGAAGACCCGGUUCGAUAAUUACCCUAAGGGUCCCACGUGGCAAGGUGUAUUUCAUGAUCUGCUCGGGGAAGGGAUCUUCAAUUCUGAUGGCGACACGUGGCUGUUUCAGAGGAAGACCGCCGCACUGGAAUUUACCACCCGGACGCUGCGUCAGGCCAUGGCUCGCUGGGUCAGUCGAGCCAUCAAGCACAGGUUCUGCCCCAUUCUCAGGGCGGCUCAGCUAGAAGCCAAGCCAGUUGAUCUUCAGGACCUUUUGCUUCGGAUCACGUUCGAUAACAUUUGCGGCUUGACGUUUGGGAUGGACCCGCAAACCCUAGCUCCAGGCCUCCCUGAAAACAGCUUCGCCUCUGCUUUUGACCGAGCCACCGAAGCCAGCCUCCAGCGAUUUAUUUUGCCUGAGGUUAUGUGGAAGCUGAAGAAGUGGCUUGGGUUGGGCAUGGAGGUCAGCUUGAGCCGAAGCAUUGUACACGUGGAGAAUUACCUGUCCAAAGUCAUCAAUACACGUAAGGUGGAGCUGCUGAGUCAGCAAAAAGACGGAAACCCCCACGACGACUUGCUCUCAAGAUUUAUGAAGAAAAAGGAAUCCUACUCAGACUCCUUCCUCCAACACGUGGCACUCAACUUCAUCCUAGCUGGACGUGACACGUCAUCAGUAGCCUUAAGCUGGUUCUUCUGGUUGGUAACCCAGAACCCAACUGUCGAAAAGAAAAUCCUACACGAAAUCUGCACUGUUCUGAUGGGGACACGUGGCAGCGACACGUCAAAGUGGGUUGAUGAGCCGUUAGAGUUUGAAGAGCUGGACCGUUUGAUAUACCUCAAAGCCGCACUCUCCGAGACUCUCCGGCUCUACCCGUCGGUGCCGGAGGAUUCAAAGCAUGUUGUCGCCGACGACAUAUUACCGGACGGCACUUUCGUCCCGGCGGGAUCAUCAAUCACGUACUCAGUAUAUUCAUCGGGUAGGAUGAAAUCCACGUGGGGUGAAGACUGGCCCGAGUUCAGGCCUGAGAGGUGGCUAUCGGCCGACUGCCAGCGAUUCAUAUUGCACGACCAAUACAAGUUUGUGGCGUUCAAUGCGGGGCCGAGGAUUUGUUUGGGGAAGGACUUGGCUUACUUGCAAAUGAAGUCGAUAGCCGCGUCGGUGUUGCUGCGCCACCGCCUCACGGUGGUUGCCGGCCACCGGGUGGAGCAGAAGAUGUCGCUGACGUUGUUCAUGAAGUAUGGGCUCAAGGUUAACGUGCAUGAAAGAGAUUUAACGGCAGUUGUGGACGGCGUUAGGAACGAGAAAGCAAGUGAGGUGUGUGGCGAGGAAGCUGUUAGAGUUAAAUGUAACGGUAACUGUCACGCCAGUGGUUCGGUUGUUGUUGGGGGUAGCGACGUGCGGCUCGGUGUAACUUGAGAGGUUAGUUUUGGGCUGUACUUGUGGGCUGACGGAUAUACUGCAGUAGCAGCCCAACAGUUUUUAAGGCCCAAUUACGCUUGAUUUUUAAAGAACACGAGGGGUAGUGUUCCUCGAAUCCUCUCAUACGUACAGCUGUUCCUUUGUAGCCAAUAAUUUAUAUUUCACAAUCCUAUAAAAUUCUUUGUUUCUUUAUUUCAUUUAUAUUUCUAAUAAAGAUCUGGCAAUACAUUUCAAAAUGUACGUAGAAAUCUGAAUGUUGAAUCAGAAAGCCAUAUAUAAAACCAUGAUACAAAGCUAAAAAACCACAUAUGAGGUACAAAAUAAUGAAACUCGGGAAUAAAGUAACUAGCCCCGAACUGCACAUAUGGCACCUUCUGAUUGGUGAUGGUUUUUCAGGGCACCGAACCCAGACCCUUUCAAUAAUUCUGUGCAAUUUCUUCCUCAACAGUAGUCUCAUGCAAGCCACAUGUAUGAUAAUAAAUCCCAUUAGGUGAAGACUAGUUUACCAAAAAUUCAACAAAUCUCAACCAACCCAAAAUUCAAUCGGUAAAAGCAAUAAGAAACUGAGAAAAGCACCAAACCAGGAGCAGAAAUGCCCAAGUAGAUGUAAAUAUCAUCUAUUAUAGUGAUGUUGAGGUUUAUUUGAGGUGUUUUUAGACAGAUGAUACAUACUUUAAAGCAGAGCAAGAGUGAAGAGAAAGGUUCAAGAUUCUAGGGUGCAAUUACCCUUGUCUGAAAAGAAAACAUCUAUUGAUGUAAGUAAAAAGACAGUUAACUUGUAAGAACUUAAGAAGAUGAUUCUUAAAGCCAACCGGAAAAGUCACCUGCAACAACCAUCUCUGAGCCCAGUUGGUAAGAGGAAGGUGAAAAGGGGUAUAUUAGGCUUGUUUUAUUCCCACCCAGUUCAGCUCUUCAAUGUGUUCCUCUACUCCCAUCUUUUUGUAAUUUUAUCUUUUUUUGCUUUAUAGACUAUUUAUUCCUCUUUUCUUGCAUACCUAGUCCAGAAUUUUCUCUCCAGUUGCAAAUAAGUUCCAGACUAAUGUGCCAAUGAUGUACAAUACGACCGCCACCUUAAAUACGUCGCCCCAAGAGCCUGCAAGGAUAGAGUUUGGUGUUAAUAGUUGAGCUGAAAUCAGAAAUUAAAGGAAUGCUAAUGAACUAGGAGGCUUGGAUGAACCUCGUUGGAGUAUGUAACCAGUUGCUGCAGUACCAAAAACACCUGCUAGCACUCCUGCUGUAUUUGAGAGUCCCAACAGUACUCCCUGUGGAGGAAUCAAAAUAAUAAGGUAAGGUUGAUGAAAGGGACAAAGAGACAUAAUUCAGGGGCAAACCGAUUUCAAGUAACAUAUAAUUUCAAGUAAGAUAAUUGUUUCUUGAAGGACAUUAACACUGGUUCAUGUUACAUAAGAAAACAAUAGGAGCAACUCACAGCAUAACGUGGCCCAAUGUCUUGGUGAUUGGAAUAGAGUCCAGACUGUGAGAAUGCGUCUGACCCCUGUCAAGAACAGAGUACCCAUAGUUUAAUUUCUUCAACCAUUUUGUUCACUUGUAAAUUCCAAUUUCUGAGAAGAGAAAAUCUUGCAUCUGAUUGUGAAAUGUAAGCACCUUAUAUCCUGUAGGUAAUUACUUGCACAUAAUAAUUACUAGAUGAUAUCACUUCAGUGUGAGAAAAAUAUACUUUCCCACCACCUAUAUACUAUUCCUCAAGCUCAAAUGGAAUUGUAGUUAGAACUAGCUCAAACCUGACUGCAAGCCAUGCAUAGCACUGCUAAAGCGGGUGUUCUAAUAUUGCCCAACUGUGUCAGAAAGAAGGCUGGUCCCAGAAACCCAAUCGAUUGCAUGAUCUACAGCAUUGGAAAGUGUAGGAAGAAUUAUAUCCAAGAAUUUGAAAGCAUGGAAGAUUUAAUUGUAUCAGCAUUGCUCAUUUGACAUUGAAAUAACCAAACAAAAUGUGUAAAUCAUACAGUUUUCUAGACAACAUGCAGAAGGUAGCGUUUCAUGGGUGGGGUACAUGUGUGUCAGGGGUGUUAUUGAGAGAGAUUGAACCUUGUUUACACAGGAGCCUUUCCUUCAAGACUUCUAAUUUUAAGUCUAAGAAUGUUAUCACGAAUGCAAAUACAACGCAUCUUUGUUCUAUCAGCAACAACCUUUAUGCAGCUGGGUUGCUGAAAUCAAUACCUAUAUACUGAUGUAAAUGGAUAAUAUUUGGCAUUACCAAUAUAGAGAAGCACAAUUUUAAGGUCGGAAUAGUCUAAUAAUAAGUCAUGGUCAACUAAUAGGAGUCGGAGCAGUAUUAAUCCUUGCCUUACGAACUGAUGUUAUGGAAAGACCUUUGCUGACAAGUGUAUCUGCUAUCCAACCUCCAAUGUUUGCAAACACAGCCAUGGUCAACCAUGGCAAAACACACAACAGCCCAGAUUCUGUGAGAUUGAACUUCAACACCUGAGAAAACAUCAAAACAAAUAAUAAAUAAAUAAAUGCUUAAAUUAAUAAAGACUCAAGUCCAGUAACCAGAUUACCUAUUAUAUUGUAUGUGUUCAUUCAGUAUUUUCCAUAUGUGAUUUGAAUGUUAACAAUUAUGGUCACAUCCUAAGAAAUUUGGUUAACUUGCACUUUACAAAAAUUGUCAAAGUAGAACAGUUUUUUUAUUGUUUAAGCCUCAACAGAUUGGUAACCCCAGAGGCUAGAACACUUGAAUAGUAUUCCAACUCUGGUUCAACUGUGAUAUUGCAAGAAACGAAUUGGACGUUAAAUGAUUUUGAGUCCAGAGGCAAAAGACUGACUCAGCCAUCAUAGUUGUAUUUUAACUUAGAUUUCUACUGAGAUGUGGUCGAUCAAAGCUCAGAUUCAUUAGUUAAAUGCAGAACUGAACUAUUAUUUAAUUAGCAACCAAAAAAAUUAUUUUGAAGCUAAAAAGGGAACUUGAAAACCUCAUAUGCAUGGAGCAAUAAAAACAUAAAGUUUUUGGAGACAAAAUACUGGUAUCUAUAAACUUUCCAGGAAAGAAAUAUGGAAAUGAAUAUUUGACCAAAGUAGGACCAGUCCCGAAAAGUCUUAAAUACCUGAUUAUAGUACGUAGGCAUCCAUGUUAGAAGAAUAAAAGUUCCCCAGUUAUGGCAGAAAUGGGAGAUUAUGAGAGCCCAAACUGGUGCCUUCGACAAAAUUAGUUUCCACGGAAUGGAUGAAACAGGUUCCUUUGAUGUGCUGCCUCCUAAAAUAACCCUUUUUUCCUCUUCACUAAGUUCUGGAUCUUCUGCUGGUGAGCUAUAUGCCUGUGAAGCCAAACAAACUUUAUGGUACCACUCAAACAAAGAAAAGAGUGAUAUAUGGCUGAGAAUUCAUGCCUCAAAUGAGAAUUGUACAGAUGAAUUUAGUCAUACUACAAACCUGAUGCAGUUUUCUUAAUCAUGCUCAAAACUAAGAUCAUUUAGUUUCAAGAAGUAUAUGGUUGUCAUGCAUGAAGCAACGAAAAUGCAUGAGUGAAAUUUUAAUAAAUUGCUGGGUUAGUAAUUGUUUACAUAUGGAUCGCAGAAAGAAAAGGUGUCAAGCAAAACUUAUUUUGUCCUCAAAUUGUAUAACUUUAAAUGUAUGGGUGUGGGGCUGGCCUACCAGAUAUUGUAGCUUAAAACAGGGAAAACAUAAAUGUGAGUUAUGGAGGGACUGUCUUCAGUUUAUUCCAUUCUAUGGGAGUGAUAUAUGCAACUUAAACUGUACAUCAAAUAGUUGCUACAAGAAGCAAAAACUUACUUUACUCAACCAUAAUGCAAACCAGAUACUUCCAAGAGAGCCAAAUGAGUAGAAAACAGAAGGCCAUCCAAACUUUUGGAUUAGAGCGGGAGAGACAGCUAACCCAGUGACUGAACCAAGAUACAUUCCACUAUAUACUAGUGCUAGUGAUCUGCUUCUCUCUGAAACUGGAAUCCACUUUGAAAGUAUAUUAUUCAUAGCAGGCAUAGCAACACCCUGAUAAGAAAAUAGAUGACUUUUAAUCAAUAACAGGAUUCUCUGUAUCAGUUUAAGAACAGUUGAAGUAGGAAACAAAAUUCAAUGUUACGAAAACAACAUAUUGGAUUGAAAAUGGUAUAAGACAGUGAGAGUACCAAACCCUGUCAAAAGUAACUGAAUUUUAAAAGUUCCCAUCUCUUUGAAGUGGUAUGACAGUCAGUAUAUGAUUAUUAGGUUAACUUAUUUUGUCUUUUCCAUUUCUUUCUGUUGUCCCUAACAUCCAUCUUGCAAAAGAUCACUUGUUAAGCUGGCUCAACCGUUUUUCACAACAAAAUGAAUAAGUACUUAAAGAAAAUACGAACAUAUAUCAACAACAAGGUGUAGUUUCAUCAUGUGUAGACACAUGUGCAAAAAGAGUGUUCAGAUUGACAUAUUGACAUUAUCAAAUUCACUACCAAAACUGGUUUCUAUACCCAAAAUAAAAGUCGCCUAGAAUUAUGUCUAGAUCCAAUACACACACCCCAAAUGAUUUUUAUCCAAGCUAUUUCCUUCCAAUCUAGUAAAGCGCAACAAAACCAAAAAGAAGUAAAAGAGGCCAACCUCUCCAAUCCCCAUAAAAGCACGCAUUGUAAGUAAGAAAGGAAGUCCAAUUCUUGCAGCAAUAGGUGUCAAAACUGUUGCCACUGACCACCAGAUUACUCCGAAACCCAAUACUAGCUUCCCACCAAGUUUAUCCGCCCAUAUGCCUCCAAGAAUCUAUGUUCCAGAAAAAGAUAGUGAAAGUAAUGUUAGAAAUAGAAUGUAAAGGGAAGCAAAUUUACCUCAGUUGGUUAGGUUGAAAAGAUGUAUUUGAUUUGAAGAACAAAACUAGUGCCAGUACUAAGUCAAAUAGACAAAACAACAAAAUUGUGUACAUCAAAUGUAGGAACUUGACCAACUACAUGUCAAUACACUUGAGAAGGAGAUCCACAAUAAAUAGUUAAUUCACUUUCAUGUAAUGCAUAAAUAUGAGGGCAUUCAACUCAAACCUGAGUGAGUAGAUAGCCCCAGAAAAAGGAAGACUGAAUUAGACCAACUGUUGCACUGUUCCAGUUAAACUCCUGUGACAUUGGAAGAAUCGCAAUGCUCAUGUUCACCUAAAAUGAAACAUAUAGCUUAGUCAGCAGAAAGAGAUAAGUAAUGUAGGUUAGUUGCAUUUAAGUGACUUAGCACAUUGAAAAAUCUUAAGUAUUCAUGAUCAUCUACAAUAAAACAUUUAGUUUAGUUUUAUUUUGAUUAUUAAUUGCUCAUAAUUCAAUAUAGGAUGAGGCAACUUGGAACUACUUGAAAAUGAACAAUUCAUAAUGAAAAGGUAAGCCUGCUAUGAUUAAUUCACACAAUAGGGAUAAAGCCAGAAGAUAACUCACACGGUCCAUGUUGCAUAAUAGAAAUGCAGCAAAACAAAGCAGGACAAUAACCCAGCGCUUUGGAAACUGCUGCCACCAUGGAGAAACACUCUGCAAAUUUUCUUCUGCUAAAAUGACUUCACCAGCCCCUUCUGAAGACUUUAAUGAGUCCACAUCAGCUCCCUUUAUAUCAUACUCCUUGGAUUUGUAUGCUGAACGAGUUCUACCAAACCUAACAUGCUCGGAUGACUGGGACUGGCUGUCACUAAUACCAAGCCUAGCCCGCUUACUUGGUUGAAUCCAACUGCUAAGAGAGGGAUUCGAAGAAAGAUAGCAUUUGCAUAUUCCUUGAAUUCUUCUCCUAGGGUUGACACUCCAAAACUUGUCACUAGAUUGAAGUGACAUUGGAAGGCAACACACCCCUUCAACAUGGAAUGUUGCUAUUGAUGUCAGAGCUUUCCCAUCUGGAGAACCGAUAACACGAAGACACGGAAAAUGCGAAUAUCUAGAUAUUGAGUAGUUCUCCAUUUGCAUAAAAAGCCUUUUGUAGUUUUCCCUCACAUGUCCGGCAACAGAAAAGCUCAAACGCCCUCCUUUGUUUUGUGCAGUAGCUGGCUCUGUUUGAUACCCUUUUCCUGCCAAUAUCAGAAAUUAAAAAAAUAAAUUCAGCUUAGGUGUCAAAAUGCAGACACAAAACUAUUGUCCAUUCUAAUUAUAGAUGACAAGCAUUUUAAGAUACUAAAAAACCAUGUUGCAAUAUGAGAAAAUUCCCUAAAUUUCUUGAAUAAGUCACUGAUUUUGUAGCCCUUCUACUUAUUUUAUCAAAACCCUGAUGAAGGCAUCGUUCAAUACCAUGUAUUGAUUUUCCUCUAAUAAUCCCAGAUCAAAAUUUUCUCAAGCAAAGGGUAGUUCCCAAUUCCCAAGUCACCAUGAUAUUUGGCAGGUAAGUAAACAAAAUAGCUUGAAAAAUAAGAUUCAAUGUUUUAUUUUCUUUUUCCAUUCAGUUUUCUCAGUAACCAAAUCCAAGGCCACAAAAAUAGAAAUAAGAAAUUAAUAACAAAUAUAAAUAUUUAUUAUUCGAACAGAUUUUUAGAAAUAAAUAGAUAAAUAAAUAAAACUUAAUGGAAAAUUAUGAAAUUAUGUGAACUUCAGGAAUUUCAGUAGAAAACUCAAAAUUCAAUAAUGCUGUCCAUAACAGACGGAUGAAAUCAACUCAAAGAUAACUAAAACUUUCAGCUCAAUUUCACCGCUGCUUAACACUCAAAAUAAUAUCCAAUUACCAAAAAGGAAAAAAUAAAAAUAAAAACGCAGACACAUACAUGAACCGUCCCCUGGAUGUGAGAAAAUCAAGGAGGAAACAAAAUGAACCACCCCAAUAGUGCGAAAUCUGGACAUGCAUGCAUUGAAUUGCCAAAAGAAAACGAAGAAAUGCACAAAUGCAGCAAAAAGAAAUUCCUGCUCGCGCAAGAAGAAAAGGUGAAAGCAAACACAUUAAAAGCAGAUAGUAUAGAGACAGUGAACCGAUAUACCAGAGCCUAUAAAGGAGCCGAAAUUUCGGUUCGAAAUUACGCCGCCGAUUGCCAUUUAUUUCGGUGAUUUUAAUUCGAACUCUGUGAACUGGAACUUCAAGCUUGAGCUAUAUCAGACCAUUUCAGAGUUCAAAACUUCUCUCCCUCAGAGACUCUCUCUCCAGUUUUUCUCUCUCUAUCGAAGAGGAUAAUUAGAGGUUUUUUUUCUUCAUACGAAUUUUCCAGGAAAAUUUUUUUUUCUCGGAAAAGCGGGAAAAUGCAAGUGGUCUUCAUAUACCCAAGAAAAGAGGGUCGAGAAGCUGACACGUGGCGGUUCAUCCUCGUGAUGAAAGGUUCCGCUUUUGAAACCGACAAAAUAAUGAAAAUACCCCUCCAUGCAAGGGGAAAUAACUCCACUUUUAGCUGGGUUGCUUCGUAAAUAAUAGUAAAUAUUAGAGACAUAUCGGGAACUAAAUGGACAAAAUACGAACCGUUCUGUCAGAAACUCGUCUUAUCCAUCGUAAAAGCGACCGUACCGGAAAAGCUCACCGGAAAGUUAUAAAAGCGAUUUUUUUUGUUUUUUUAAUCUAAAAUAUCCUUGCCAUGGAUUCGAAUCAUGCGUGGAAUAUUCUGGACCUUGCACGUGGCAAACGGCCUUUGUAACUCCUACUCUCGAAACUGCCGUGUAAGAAGUUUUCGGUAUGGAUUUAUCAAAAAGUUUUGCAAACUAAAAGAAUAAUAACAUGAUUUAAUAAAUAUAGCAAUAAAAAAAUAAUUUUAUACCUUUAUCUUUUAAGUCAUAAGUGAAAAGACAGAUUUUAUCUUAAUCUCAAAUAGGCUUUUAUUUGUGGUGAAAUUAUAAUGUAUAUUUUUUAAAUCUCUUAAAUACUUUUUAAAAAAUUAUGACUUUUUUUUUCACAUGUAAUGAAGAGUAAUUCAAGAUAAAUUCAACCUCAUAUAUUAUGUUUAUACAAAAUAUUAUAUUAAAAAUAUCUUUUUUCAUGGACCAACCAACUCGUGAAGUAAUGAAUUUGUCAUUGACAUCUCUCGUCAUCUUAAUUUCUUCAACAAGUUUUUUCUAUUUAAAAAGUUUUUUUGGUUUAAGAUGGUAUUUGUUUUUUUUAUUUUUUGCUGAAAGCAAUUUAGUUUUAUAAUUUAGGUUAUUUGUUUUUCUACUUUUUCAUGAUUUAUUAUAAAUUUUUUACUAAAUAGAAAAAACCAAAAUAUGUAGUUUUUUCUAAAUAGAAAAAAUAACAUAUUGAUUUUUUUUACUUUUUAAUACUUAAUAGAAAUAAAAUACUAUAAAAACAAAUAACCUAAUAUUUAACACUAUUAAGCAUCAAGGUUCUAUUUAUAAUUAAGUAAAAAAACAAACACCACCUAAAUCUAGCCCCAAUAAAAAUGUGAUUAAAAAAAUCAAGAUAAAGAAAAAAGAAAUCAAUGUGUUAAGUAAAGAAAGUUAGAAACUGUUCUUAAGAACAGUACUUAGCAAAUAUGAUAACUUUUGUUUAUAAAAUAGUUUUUGACAAUAAUAUUUUUUAAAUUUGAAAAUAAGUUAAUUUUUGAGAAUAAAUUUGAGGCCUAUACCAUAUCUUUGUUUCUUGGAAAAUGCAAAAAUAAAAAAUAAUAAUAAAUAAAUGAAAAUGAAAAAUAAAUUUAAAUUUAAUAUAAAAAAAUUUGCAUCAUUUUUCAAAUUUAUUUCAUUUAUUUUUAUUUUUAUAUUUUCAUUUAAUAACCUAAAUUUUAUCAUACAUUUUUUUUAACCGUCACACGAGAAAGUUUUUCUAGACCUCCCUUCAAGGUAACUCCGCAGAAACUACCUCCGCUCCCACCAAUCAAACCUACAAUGGCUUUUUUCUUCCCUAAAAAAUUAAAAUAAACAAUUAAAAACUGCAAUUGAAAUAAUUUAUCCAACAUCACUGCACAACCCAUCUUUUCCUCUUUUAAACUUAGAGGAGACUAUCAAGUUUCCAUUCAUGGCAAUCCUGCAUUGUGGUGGCCCAGUGGGAAAGAGCCUGGCUGAGAUUCAAGCCCACUUAAAAUUUGAACCGGCCCAAGCACAAACAUCUUUGAUGGUGCAAAGCCCAAUUUCCAUAGGGCUUUAAGACUCUUAAAUUUUUUUUAAAAUCAACCACAGAAAUCAGAAGACACUCUUCAUAACUCUAAACUUGAAUGUCCAAAUAAUAUGAAUAAUCCAGAUGAAAAAUGAUCAACAAUUAUCAAUCAUACUAAGGGAAUUUCCAUAGAAGUUGUAAUUCUACAUUAACCGAUAUACCUCCCUCGUAAUUUUUCUAAAACCCAUACAAUUCCAAUGUGGCCUUCUUCUCCGAUCCCAGCCUUUCACUUCUUGGCAUUGUACAUGGAUUCCACCUUGCCAUCAUUUCCUCCCAGCAACAUGUACUUAUCCUUUCUAGUCAGUCCAGUGCACUCAAACCCCAGCACUCCACCCAACACCUUUUGCACGUGAUUCGCCACUUCUAUGGCCGACUUCCCUCCGGCCUUACACGUCAUCUCCUCCGGCAACCGAUCCAGAAACGUUAUCUCAUAGGUGGGCCGAGGGUUCAUGAAGUAAAAAUAGGCGUCCCAGAACUUCACCCCUCGGACGGUGGUGCCGUGGAACAUGUUCUGCUUCACGUUCACCGCCACCGGCACGAUGCGGUCGCUGAGUUCCGCGAACAGUGCGCUAAACCGGAGGAGGUAGGGCUCGCGGCAGGUGGUCCCCUCUGGGCAGACCACGAGGUCGCCCUUCUGGAGAAUGGAGGAGAUGCGGGCAGCGUCGGCGGCGCGGUCGCGGGUGAGGGCGACGGCGGGGAUGGGGGAGAGGAAGCGAGAGAGGCGGCUGACGCUGUAGGUGACGCAGGAGACCUUGCGGCGGAGGGCGAUGGCGAUGACGAUGGGGUCCAAGGCGGUGCGGUGGUUGCAGACGUAGAGGUUGCCGGGGGAACCUGGGGAGGGGGGCGGAGGAGGGUUGCCUCGGAUAACAAGGUUGAUGCCCAGCAUCGGGUAGGUGUAGCGGACGAUGCGCUCUGGGAGGGGGAGGUUGAAGUAGACUCGGAAGAUAGAGAGUGCAAACCCAAAUGGAAGCCAGAGGUAGAUGAUGAGGGCCGUGAGUGGCGUGGGGGGUUGGACGAACCGACCAUCGUGGAAUAUUAUUGGGGUUUUCAGGCGGUUGGGUGGCACCGGCGUAGCUGAUUUACUCGGAAGCACCAUGUAUCCCUCCUGUUCAAACUCCAAGUCGCAGAACCAUCAGCAAGAGCAUAGGGGUAAUUUGGGAAUUCAACACUAAAAUAACAUACAAGUGGAUUCUCGACACAUUACUAGAAUUCUUUCUCAAAACAAACCAAAUUAUUCUAAUCAUCAUAAAUAUUUCAAAUAAUUUUAUACAGAAAACAGAAAAAAUAAUAUCACAAAAUUUUAUAUAAAAUUAAGAAUAUUUAUCAUCUGGAAAAAAAAAAUUAUUUCUAAAUUUCUCGAUUUCUAGCUUGUAUGUAAUAAAAAAGGUAGAACAAAGAGGCCGUUCCAAAUAUGGAAGAUGAGUAAAGGAAAUGGCAUCGAAGGAGCAAGGCUCGAGAUUAGUUUGGAAAGAGCAAUAAGUUUGUUGUCCUCCAUGUGCCGCCAACGAUUUUGCUGCCAGGUAGUUGAGGAUGGUAAAUGCAGUGAUUCCCUCAGGGUCAAAGCUACAGGCUACACGGAGAUCGACUUUACCGACUGUCACUUUUUCUGAAUCUUUUGAUUUAUUCUUUUGCUAAAUCAAUCAUAAAAAAAAAAAAAACUAAAUUCAAGUCUCAGUGAAAUGAAUUCGUCUUUGAUUUUGUAAGAUGAAGUAGAUAAGUGUGAUGUCGUUCAUAAAAGUAAAAUAAAAAGUGUAUAAAUCUUGAAAAACGACCACAAAAAUUUCCAAAAAUGAAUAUGACUUUACUACCAUUUUACUAAGUUAAAUUUGGCUUAGAUCGAUUGAAUAAUGUGUAGAAGCAAAGCAUAUCUUGCAGGAAAAUUACAAAUCACUUCCACAAUUGUAGAACAUAUUUUCAAAACUAUGUAAAUUCUAAAAAUCGUUUUGGAGAGAUGUUUGCUUCCAUAGAAGCCAUGCAAGAAAUCAGUUACUCUUUCAAAACUAUUUCAUCAAUGUUUGAAAAAUCUAGAAGAAUUUGUUGUUUCUUUUUUUUUUUUGUUAAGUAAAUUAGAUAAAUAACAAACACUAACCUUGCAAAUGGACAUGAAAUCAUGAUCAGACUCGCGGUCACCAAUCCCGAUAUCAGGCAAUUCAUCACCAAACUCCUUCAACAGCGCCAAUCUCUUUCUGUCUCCAACCAACACCCCUGGCUUCUUCACGAAACCAGUGGCCUUCUUCGUCUUCGGAUUCACCUCAAUCUCCGUCCCUAACACCUUCGUUCCGCCAAGAAAAUCUCUCACGAACGGCUCAACCAUCAACGUCGGGUUGGCCGUCACCACCACCUUCCGUUCGCACUUCUCGAACACCUCCCAGCUCUCUCGCCUCACGUCGUUGGCGUAGAACCGCGGCAGCACCGCCUGCGACGCGAGCUCGAUGUCUCGGAUCUUGAGGCCGGAAAAUGAAAUGAAGAUGAGAAUCUGAAUUCCGAUUUCUUCUGAGAUGAAGAGGUAGGCAACGAUCACUAUAGGAAGAGAGAGCAGAAGGAAGAGACCGCGUAGGAGGCUGCCGGCUUCGACGGCGACAAGCAUGAAGUAAGGGAAGGAGGAGCGAGAGACGAGGAGAGUGCCAUCGAGGUCGGCCGCAAUAGAGCGAUGGUCGCCGCCGGCGUAGGUAGUGAUGGAGGGAAAUUUUCGGGCGCGUUUCGGUGGCGGAGACAUGUCUCGGCCGGUAGAACCGGAUUCAGCCUUUCAGGCAGCACAGUGGACAACGAAAAGAAACGAUGGUGUUUGUGUUCAGUGGUGGAGAGGGAACGUUCGGUUUAAAUGUGGUAGAGGAGGGGGACGAAAUUACGAAAUUAAUCCUAAUUUUUUUUUUUUUCAUUUUUACUUUAUCCUAUUAGAUAAAUGUUUCAAAACUAACUAAGAAAAACAAUUGAUAUUAUUUUUUAAUAAAUAUAGGAUUUAUUAGUUUUUUGCAAUUCGGAAAAAAAAAAUUAUUUAAUACGCAAUAAAUUAAAGAAUAGUCGGCGAUAAGAAAAUAAUGUGAGGGAUGCGUUGCAAAUGGUAGGCCAUUAAAUUCCACACCUAAUGUCGUACAAACAGCCCUUUCUCACCGGCAAUUCCAGUGUGUGGCACCCCACCAAAAUUGGGUGUGGAUGAGAUGAGCAUCAUGGGAUGCCAUGAUUUCCAUCUUGCUGUCAGCCAUCGCAUUUGUAGCUUGGAUCCAACGGCUCCUAUUUGGUGGGCAGAUGGGUUGGCCAUGCACACUACUGUACUAUAUUAUAUUCAUCGAAGAAGACUGAGCUGUAAUGUUCGGUGGUCCACCACACCAUAUCCCGGGGAUCGCAGUUUCAUGGUAUGCCCCAAGGACUUUAAUAUGAGCUCCAAAUUAGAGUAAAACGACUGUGUUUUGAUCUGGUCACAUCCCAAAAUGAAUUCUUUGGUAGGGAGGUUGGAAAUUAUUAAUGAAGUGAAUUAUUAUUAUUUUUCAAAAUUAAUUUUAUUUCAUUAAUAAUUUAUAUAAAUAUAAAUAAAUUUUCAGUGUAAUUUGGUAAAUAAUAAUAAUAAUAAUAAUAUAUUUUUUUUCAAUCUUAUAUUUCUCAUCUUCUUUAAAAUGAUUGCAAAACCCUUCAAUGUAUAGUUAGUGGCCCACACUUUCCCCAAAUGAGAGUACGGUAAAGGAGAACGAAAAGGAAAGGAAAAAAAAAUGAGGCAAAGAUUUAAUGCAUGUGAAGGGUGGAGGUUUGUUGAGUGUUGGCAGUUGAUAAAUCUUUUGUCUAUUUUUAUAGGAGAUUGGUUGGAGUGGUUGAAGCCUUGAAGUGUUCAAUUCAUUUUCUUGCCUUUAUUGGUCACCUUGCUUUCUUGCUGUCUUUGAUGGACACUAGUUCAAGUUUUUGACAUUCUUGCAUUCAUAUUGCUAACUAGGUUUUGUUUGUUUGUUAAGAAAAUUUUCCACCCCUCCUUUUCAAUUUUCUUUGCACCCAUAAUAAUUAGAAAAAAGUCAAAUUAUUUUUUUUAUACCUUUACUAGAAUUUGAAAUGAAUUUGAUUGUUGAUUGUUGAUUGUUGAUUGAUCCAUGCAUGACCAAGUAAUACUUGAAAACAAUCAAAGACCGCUUAUAUAUGCUUGCAUUUUCUCAAGUUGGUAAUUAGGUUUGUUUGGUUGGUUAGAAAACUUUCCACCCUUUAUUCAGAAUUUUCUUGGAGCUAUAAAAGAAAUCUAGUUGAAAAACAUUUUGACCUUUAUUAGCAUUUGAAAUGAAUUUGAUAGCGACAGCAUCCAUACAAAAUCAACUAAAUACAGAAACAAUUAUUCUAUUCUAACCAAAAUCUACAUCAUCUAAAAAAUCAUAAACUUUUCAAGUUUUUAAUAAUUAGAAUAAGCUUCUACGAAAUAAAUAAAUAAAAUAUAAUAAAUUAAAAUAUCGGAUUUAAAUGACAACAUACUAUAUUAUUUGGGAUUUAUUAUUUAAAAUUACGAUUAUUGAUUUUUUAAAUGACCAAAAUACCCCUUACAAGAUGGAUUUCAAUGGUUAGAAAUGUUAAGAGGUUCUAACCCUUUAUUUAGACUUGGUGUCUCCAUCAAAUUUCUCAUCUGUCAAUACAAGCAACCAUUUUUUAUUUAGUAGCUGCAUUUUCAGUUAGAAAUUUAUUAAGGUAGAUGGGAAUAGGAUAAGGUCAACAAGACUUUAGGUUAACUAACAAAAGAAAAAAAAAGCAUAAAAAGAGGUCAAUUCAUUCAAAUUUAAAGAAAUAUAAUUUAGGUUUACAACUCGAUCUUUUAAAACAUACUAAAAGAAAAAGAAAAUAAUAAAAAUAACUUCAAUAUCAAUGAAAAUAUUAAUGAUUUAAUUUUAUGAAAAUAUCAAUAUUAACAAAAAAAAUUAUAAAAAUUAAGUCACAAAUAUAAAAUUUUGGCUUUCUUCAUAUAAUUUAUGGUAAAUAGGUCAGUAUCUUUUUUUUCCGAUACCAAUACUCUUAUCAAAAUAAAUCGGAUAUUUUUAUCUUUAAAAUUUUCCACCAAAAUUCCAUUGCCAUUUGAUAAGCAUACUAUAAACAUGCUAGGAACAUCAAAUUACAUGUGGGAAUUAAGAGUAACAUCAAAAUUCUUUUUAUUUUUCAUAAAUGCUCCUUAAAAUGAAUGAGCACCGUCAGAUGCUUUGACCUGGACCAGGAGAUUGUUGACCGCGUGUGGAAGUUAUGAUGCAUGAGACACACUAGACCACAAUAAAUUCAUGGAGUAUGAGUCAUUACGAGCAUGCAUGUGGCAUGGUGGGGGCAGAAUUUGGAUUUUCCGGUGGGUGGGGGUGUACAGCAACCUUGAUGAGGACAUGGUUUCAUAACAUUAAAUUCUGGGAAUUUAAGAGCCACCCACAUCCACAGCUUUCAGGUAGUUGGAUCAGUGGAGGCAGUGCCCAGCAACCUCACCAAUAUGUUUUGAAUUUUGAUCAUAUGUUAUAAUAUUUAGGAGUAACUGAAAAUUAAAAAUACACAACAUAGACUUGAUUUGAUUUGAUUUUUAAUAUUCGUUAUGGUCAAUCAACUUGGUUUGAAAAUUAUGAAAAUCGACUUAAUAGUUUUCCCUUUUGAUUUCUUUGUCUCAUUAAUAACAUUUUAUGUUUUUUUAUUUAAUUUUAAAUAAAACCUUAAUACUUAAUAAUAUUAAAUAUUAGGUUGUUUGUUUCUGUAAUAUUUUAUUUUUAUUAAGUAUCAAAUAUUAAAUAAAAAUUAAUAUGUUAUUUUUUUAUUUAGAAAAAGUUAGUAGUUUUUUUUUUUUACUUAAUCCUAAAUAGAACCUUAUUACUUAAUAGUGUUAAAUAUUAAGUUUUUUGUUUUUAUAAUAUUUUAUUUAUAUUAAGUAUUAAAAAGUAAAAAAAAAAAAAACCAAUAUAUUAUUUUUUUAAUUUAGAAAAAGUUACAUAUUUUGACUUUUUUCUAUUUAGUAAAAAGUUUAUAAUAAGUCAUGAAAAAGUAAAAAAAAACAAAUAACUCUGAAAACAAAUUAUUUUCAGUAAAAAAACUAAAAAAACAAACAUCAUCUUUGAUUUUUUCUAUUUAGUGAAAAGUUUAUAAUAAGUUAUGAAAAAAUAGAAAAAAAACUACCUAAAUUAUAAAAACAAAUUAUUUUCAAUAAAAAAAACAAAAAAAAACAAACACCACAUAAGACUUAUAAUUUUUGCAAUUUAUAAUUAUUUGAUGUUUGGUGAUUUUAUUUUAUUUUUGUAUUUAUUACUAUUCUGUGAACUUUCCAAAAGUAAUUAUUUGGCUAUAAACAAAUAAGUUUUAAAAUUUAUUCAUUAUAUUUUGUAAUAUAAAUUUUAAGCAUCACUAAUCGAUUGAUUUUAUUUUGAUUUAAAUAUGAACUAAUAGUGCGUUUAAUAAUGAUUUUAAGAAUUAUUUUUAAUCUUUCAAAUACUUAAAAAUAAAAAAAUUUAAUUAUUUAAAAAAAUAAAAAUAUUUUCUAAAAUUAUUACUAAAUACACUUGAGAGCACGUGGAUUCAGUUAAUAUUUCCUUUAAAAAUCAAUCAAACAUAAUUUUUUUGUUUUGUUUUCUAUAUUCUUAUCAAAAUAAUCAUAAUUUAAGGGUAUCAAAAAAAAUAUAUAUACAAAUAUUUUACCAUUAUUUUCAAACAAAACAACAAAAAUACCAUGAAAUUUUGAAUCAAAAUAUUUUCCAUAACGAUAAACUCUAAUACUUAUAUUUAGUCGUACAAACUUUAUUUCAUAAUACAUUAUUUUAUUGUUCAAUAUUACUAUAUCAUAUUUACAUUAUUUUAUUUAAAAAAUAAUUUAAUAAUCAUAUUAUAUAUAAACACACACAUAUUUAUAAUUAUUUAUUAUAAAGUUAACGGCCACCACCGAGUAUGAAUAUAUUGAUUUUUGAUAGGCAUAGUGACCGGAGUACUCUUCCGUCUAGAGAGACAAGAAACAAGUAUUACGUUUUAGUUCAUUUUAAUUAUUUAUAUGUCAUUGUAGUUGAAAAUGAGUGGAUUCAUUUGUAGGUUUGAUAUUGAAAAUUAGGAAAGUGAGUGAGAUAUAGCAUGAUUAUUUUCCAUGCUCCAUCAUUAAAUUUUUUGUUCUAUCAAGACAUGGUCUGUACUUCUUGGUGGGACCAUUAUAUAUAUUAAAGUUUAAUUUUCAUUUAAUUCAAUCACUUGAGAAUCAGAGGUACCAUACCUUGCGGUAUUGGAUGAUCCAUUAAAUAAUAUAUUUCUAUAUAUAUAUAGAAAUAUUAAUUCAAAAAAUUUUCAUUUUUAUAAGUGGCAAAAACGUCACUUGUUGUCAUAGUGUGAAAAAUAAUCAAUAAAUUAUUUUUAAAAAAUAAAAAAUAAAUUUAAAACCAAUAAAUUAUUUUAUAUAUUAUCUUAAAUUCAUUUCACUUUUAGGUGAAAAUUAAAUAAUUUUAAAAUAGAUAUUUUUUUUACUAAUUUUUUAUAUUUGAUUUUCAUUUCAAUUUCUUAAAUUUAAAAAAUAAUUUUUUAAUAUUUUUUAUUUCCUUAUUACUUAUCUAGAAACCAAACAUAACUUAAAGUAUUAAAAUGAUAUUUAUGGAAUAAGAGAUCUAACCGUAUAAUGAAAUUUAGGAUGUUACAUAAAAGUAUAAAUAAAUGAAAUUAAUACAUAAAAAUACAAAAAAUAAAAUCAUGAUAUAAAUAAUGAAAUAAAAAAUUGUAUACAUGACAUCAUCUUAUUAACGUGUCAGAUAUUAAAAAAAAUAUCAUUUUGGUACUAUACUGAAAGAUUUGAUUGGUCAUAGUUGUUCGAGAUUGAAAAAAAUAUAAAAUAAUAAAAACAUUUGUUAAAUAUAUGGUAAUAAAACUUUGUUAGAUUAGUGAUAUUAAUGAUUAUUUUUAAAAAAAUUACCUAAUUAAAAUGCAUGAAACAAUACAGAUUUGUAUAGCUCGUGUAUCAUAGUAUGGAUUGUUUCAUAUUUGUAUUCAAAUAUUGUUUAUAUUAAAUAAAAUACUAUUUAAAAAUAAUUAAUUAAUUUUAAAUCUAUUUCUUAUUUUUACUUUUUACUUUUUCUUUUUUUACUUUUAUUCUCAAUUUUCUUUUUCUUUUUUUUUUACAUUUUCCUUCAAAAUUUCCACAACCAAACAUACCCUUGAAAUCGAAGUUAUGAAGCUUCCAUUCAUUCAGCAGCUGCCCAUUGUAAUAGAAGCAUCCCAGAUAACUUAUACACAUGAUAUGAUAAACACCACCCCACCUCAAUUCUGAUCUCAAGUCAGAAGAGAAGAAGAAGAAGAAGAAGAUAGAAGCAGCAAAUAAAAGAAGAAACAGAAACUGGGGAAGAAUUUCUCAGGCUCUGGUCUUGAAUGGGAUAGCUCUGAUGACUAUCUGGUGGUACAAGGUAGCCAGAGUAGCUCCAAUGAAGGGUCCAACCCAGAAAAUCCACUGAUGGGAACAACAAGAAUGAAAUCAAUACAAGUCAGAUUCACAGAUAGAUGACGAGAUGAGAAGCUAUUGGGUCUUCUUAUAGAGCAAUGUUUUCACUUACCAUGUCAUCCCAGGCAUUCCCCCUGUUGUAGAUGAUGGCGGCCCCGAGACUCCUAGCAGGGUUGAUGCCGGUUCCGGUGAUGGGGAUGGUUGCCAGAUGAACCAAGAACACUGCAAACCCAAUCGGGAGAGGAGCCAAAAUCUGCAGUUCAAUUCAGGGAAAAUAAAGGGUGUGUCAUUUUCAGAUCCCAUUCGUAAUAAUUCUCAGGUAUGGUUGAAAAAUGAGAGCGAAAGGGGACGUCCCCAGACCUAGAAACCAUGCUUUACUUUGGCAAUGUUUUUUAAAAACACUUCCCAAAUGAGAAUGUUACACUGAUUUUAAAAGUACCCUUACAGUAUCAACUGAUUACUGAAGAGUUUUCAUCAGAAAGAAAAGUUAAUUUUACCACAAAAAAUGAAAAAAUCAUGGUUUAUAUUUUAUAAAACCCACUCAUUGAUAGAAGUGAUGACAAGGGCCUUAAUUUUUAAAUCAGUGAAACCAUGAUGAUCAAUUUGCUUUAAAAUUUAGAAGUGACUAACGCCAACCAAUAAUACUUUCAUUCAAUUUUUCCAAAAUCCAAAAUCCCUCAUAGAACAUGACCAAGAAAACCAAAGAUAGUAUUCUCACAGACAGAAGUGGUAUUUGUUUUUUUAUUUAAUUCUAAAUAAAACUUUCAUACUUAAUAGUAUUAAGUAUUAGACUGUUUGUUUUUAUAAUAUUUUAUUUUUAUUAAGCAUUAAAAGGUAAAGAAAAAUCAACAUGUUAUUUUUUUCUAUUCAACAAAAAAUUUAUAAUAAGUCAUAGAAAAAUGGAAAAAUAAACGACGUAAAAUCUGAAAGCAAAUUACUUUCAAUAAAAAACUAAAAAAACAAACACCCUCAUGAUUUCUAAAUGGAAUUGAUGUAACUAAAGUAUGCAUAUACGAAGGAUUCAUGCUACCAUACCAAAUCACAUGACCACCAAUUUUUCUAUCAUUCCAAACACAAACAACAUCAUGGUUCCAAUAGUUUCAAAAGAAGGCCAAUGAAUUAAUACUGCCAUCCAACCGCUUGCUUGUCACAUAAUCCUUCAUUUUCUACCCACAUCAAGAAGGUGGUAAAAUAGGUGGUGGAAAAGGUGAUAUGAAUAACAUGCGUCUUCCUCCUUUUUCACUUUAGAAUCAAAACAAAUAUGCUAUUCCAUGCCAUUCGAGCAAGCAAUGAUACAAUGAAAUUUUUUAAAGGAAUUAAUAGCAUGCACAUUUUCAUGUAAUCAUAUUAGAGUCCAUUUGGAAAAAGGGUAAAAACGCUUAAUGAUAAUCGGAUGUGUGCUUUCUUACAAAACUUAAGAGCUUGUUUGUCGUGCUUUUAAAAAAAUAUUUAAAAUUUUUUUUUAAUCAUUUGACAAAAUUCAAAAGGUACUAAACGAUAAUGUUUCUAAAGAAAUACUUAAUAAAUAAUACUUCUAUUAAAAACAUUUCGAAUAAAAGAUGGUCAAAUUUUAAGACCGUCUUUAAAAUAUCCCGAGACACUUGUAUGCGAGUCUUCCAAAACUCACUUAUUUAUUUUUUAUUUUUUAUUUUUUUGGUUUUUAGCAUAAUACAUUGUAAAAAACACUAUCAAAGUACUUUUUCUAGUUUUUAUCCGAACACUAAUAGAUUGUCACUAAAAACGUUUGGCGUGGAAGCACUGCCAUCAAAAGCAUUAAUUACAGAUAAAAGCGCUUUAACCAUUAUGACUCCAGAUCAGCUCUUAGCGUGACAAAGAAGAACAAUCACAGCUCAAUCACUUUACCAAUUGACAAAGAAAUAUAUAACUAGAUAUGUAAAACAAAACCCACAUAUUUAUGUAUAUAUACACAGAGAGAGAAUACUUACUGGAACAUGUGAGUCUCUGGCAUUUCUCUUGGCAUCAGUUGCAGAGAGAACAGUGUAGACAAGAACAAAAGUGCCAACUAUCUCAGCACCAAGCCCAGCAAGCUUGGAGUAGCCAGAAGCCACAGCAUUGAUUCCACCACCCAGCGUCUCAAAGUCAUGUCUCUGGAACCACUUCACCAUACCUGCGCCACAGAUGGCACCCAGGCACUGCAUGAUCAUGUAGAACACGGCUCGGGUUAGGGACAGCUUUCUUGCCAAGAGCAGCCCAAAUGUCACCGCUGGGUUUAUGUGCCCUCCUGCCCAAACCCAUCAACAAAUGAUAAGAUCAACACAGAGGAAACUUUCUCUAGAAAACUGUGUGGAGGCUAUGGGGAAAGAGGUAAGAAAGUAGACAGAGAAAAAAAUGUGCUGCAGGGAGCCGUAUUAUGAAAAAAAAAAAAAAAAGUGUUUGGUUGAUAAGAAACGUAGGGAAAGAAUGAGAAUAAAAAUUUGACCAAAUUGUACGUUAAUUAGGACCUGAAAACACUCAAAUGUUCUCUACUUUUAUUUUCCUCCUCUUUCUCAUCAACCAAACAAGGUCUUUCAAAAUUUCAGAAAACCCCAUCAAAACCAUUCCAUAAUAUCAUGGAAAAAAAAAACCCAGGAAUGCCAGAUACCCAUUUAAAAUCUGAACAUAUCUACCGGCAAAAGCUGAUGAAAACGUCAAAAGAAACUACGGAUCAAACCUUCUGAGCAUAUCAAACCACCAUGGAAAAUAAAAAAGAAAACAAAGGAAAAGCAGAACUCAGCAGAUCAAACAAAAGAAUAGCAAGAGAGAGAGAAAGACAGAACAGACCUGAGAUACCAGCAGUGCAGUAGACAAGAACGAAGAUCAUACCCCCACAAGCCCAAGCAAUACCCUGAAAACCAACAGUAGCACACUUGUUGGGGGACUUGACAACACCGAUAAUAGUCGAGAUGAUGAUGUAGAGAAAGAUGAAGGUGGCCAUGAACUCGGCAAUCCCAGCUCUCCAAAACGACCAUGAAUGAAGCUCACCAGGGUCAAACAGUGGAGCUGGUGGAGGCUCCCUAUAGUCCUUGUCUGUCUGUGCUGAUGUCCCUAUCGGUUGCCUCUCUGCAAACUUGUUGGCCCCCAACCUCACAUCCUCUUCCUUCCCCUCCAUUUUUCUGAGCUCAGUGAUGAAGAUGAUGAACUUCCUGAGCAAAUUGCAGUUGGGUUUGGAGUGAUUUAUAGAGGAAGCAAAGUAAGAGAAAAUAAUAGAAAACAAAUUGUCAAAUGGGGUCCUUCGGAGAAACGUUUGGUUCCGUUCCCAUGUGAAAUGACUAUAUUGCCCUUCUAAUUCACUUUUUAUCUCACUCGUACUAUUAGUAUUAGAUCAUUUUAAUUAAAAGAUAUUUGCUUAAAAGGGGCAGCCUUGCCUUUGCCCUGACUCUAAACAUAAGGAAAUUCCCAGAUUUUCACUCAAGCUCCUAAAUCAUUGAAGCUUUAAGCCGGGAAUUCUUUCAUAGGCUACGGGAAGAACUACAUCUCGUAAGUCAGUGGGGCGGAGGAAAAGAACGUUGGAUUGGGGAAGUAACGAGAAGGAAGAGUCUAUAAAAGAGAGAGUAUGAGUGCACCCAAAGCAAGAGGGGAAAAAGAUAACCUUUGUCUUUUCAAAACAAAAAUGAUUCUUUUUAAGCUAAAUUCCUCACGAUAAAAGAAUUCUCAAACUGUUUGUUUUUCGAAUUUUCAUCAGAAAGUUCAUACAUUUAAUAAAGUAAGUUUUUUUUUUUUAGCUUUUAUGAGAAAAUGCAGAAAAAGAUGAGUGGUUAAUACCUUAACAUUUUAUUAACCAUAAAUUUAAGGGUUGUUGAAUUUUCAUCGGACCUUGUUUGCAUAUAAAAUUUGGGUUGUCUUGUUGAAAUCGAUAAUACUUGUUUUUUGUUUACUUAUUUUUAAAAUAUUGUUUUUAUCAACUCAACCAAAGAGCAUAUAAUUGUCUUGUUGAAAUCGACAUUGCUUAUUUUUUGUUUUAUUUAUUCUAAAAAUAUUGCUUUUAUCUAUUCAACCAAACAUAUCUUUUUUGUUUUUAGGACAAAAAUUGCUAUUUAGAAUUCAAUUCCCAAAUGCAUUUUUUUUCUUCUAAAAACACCAAAAACUGAUUUUAAAAACUUUUUUCAAUUGGGAUUGUUUUCAAAAACAUUUCCCAAACAAGCCAUAAAAUUAGAAUUGUUUUCUUUUGAAAAUCAAGAAAAAUAAAUAAAUAAUAUAAAAGUAGACUUUCUAUAGAAUAAAAAAUAAAUCUAUCUAAAAGGUACGUUCAAAUGCCAAUUUCAAACAACCAAAAAAAAAAGGGUAAAGUUUUCCUUUCUUAUUGUUGGACUAAAACAACUAUACAUGCCUAAUUUUAUAAAAUAUUAAAAUUAUAAACUAUUUAAAAAUUAUAAAUUCAGUAAAAUUCUUAUUUAGGUUAUAAAAAAGUUAUUUAUCAUCUUAAAAAUCAAUUCAAAUAGCAUUUAAAAAAUAACCAAGAAAAAUAAUUGAAUUUUUUUUUUAAAAAAAUUAGGAUUUAUUAGUCAUAGUCUCUUGACACAAGUCUUCCUCUAUACUUUAAUAUUAUGUAUUUAUGUAUAAUAAUGGAGUUUUAUUCUUCAAAUUUUUAAUUAUUUCAAUAUAAUAUUUAAAAAAUAUGUUAAAAUACUUUAAAUUAAAAAAAAAAACCAUUUCAAUUAAUUUUUUUAGACAUGCUUUUAGAAUUAGAAAACCUAUCAUCGUUCCAAAGAACAGCAUCCAAACAUGUCCUAGGCUCCUAGCAUUAGUUUUUUGAAAUUUGGAAAGAAAAAAACAAAAGGAUAUUUAAUGCGCAAUAAAUUAAAGAAUGGUCGUCGAUAAGAAACUAAUGCGAGGGAUGCGUCGCAAAUGGCAGGCCAAUAAAUUCCACACCUAAUAUUGUACAAACAGCGCGUUAUCACCGGGCAUUCCAGUGUGUGGCACCCCCACCAAAGUUGGACGUGAAUGAGAUAAGAAUCAUCAGAUGUCAUGAUCUUCAUCUUGCGAUUAGUCAUCGCAUUUGUAGCUCUGAUUUGGUAGGCCAUGGGUUUGCCAUACACAUUACACACUAUCGUAUUGUACUAUAUUCAUUGAAGAAGACUGAGCUGUAAUGUUUGGUGGGCCCACAGCAUGUUCUGGAUCGCAUUUUCAAUGCUUGUCCCAAAACUCGAAGACUUUAAUAUGAUUUCCAAAUUGGAGUAAAACGACUGUGUUUUGAUUCCUUUGCUCACAACCCAAAAUGAAUUCUUUGGUAGCGAGGUUGGAGCCCAAAGCUCAUUAUUAUUAAAAAGUAUUUUUGAAAAAAAAAAUAUUUGAUAAAAUUUGUGAAAUAUUUUUAAUUUUUUUAAAAUUAAUUAUACUAUUAAAAAAUCAUUUAUAGUGUGUUUUGAAAAACACGAAAAUUUUCCUAAAAAUAUUUUUAGAUAAAAUACUUUUAUUAAAAACAUUUAAAGUCAAACACAAUCUUAAAUGGAGUUAUAAGUUAUUUUUAAAUUUUAAUGGAAUUUUCUAAAAGUAUUUGAGUAAUUUUGUCCAAAUAGCUUCUUAGUUAUAAAAAAAAAAGAAAAAAAAAUCUUUAAAUGAUGUAGGGAAUGUUUGAUAAAAUUUAAUAUUUAUUAUUUAAUGACUUAAAUUGACUUUAAGUUAAAUUAUAUUUAAAUUAUUGAUUUUAAAAUUAUUAAUUAAUUAUUUAAUAAAAUAAAUUUAAAAUUUAUUUUAAAUUAUAAAAUUUUAUAUUUAUCCUCAUAAAUUACACUUAAUUAAAAAAAGUUAAAUAACGAUAAAAGUCAUAAAUAAUAAAAAUGAUCAUGAAUAACAAAUAAGUUAAUUAUUUUACUUAUUAUUUAAAGUUAUUUUUUACUUUAAAUUAUACCAUUAAAUUAUUUUACUAAACAUACUUAAUUUACUUAAUAAUUUAAAUUAAAUUAUUAAAUUGAUUUUUCAAACAAUACCGCCUAAUUUAAUUAAAAAACCAUAUUUUUUAAAUAUUAAUAUAUUAACAUAGUAUAAGCUUUAUUAAAAUAAAAUAACAACUUAUAUAAGUCAAAUUUUAACUUAUACAAAUCAAAGAUUUGUUUGACAAAACUAGUUAGACACGUAUUAAAAAUUCAUACUAAACUUAAAAAAUAAUUUACAAAUUAGUAUGGAAAUUAGAAUAAUAUGAUUUUUAGUACAAAUUAUUUUUUAACUUGUAUGAAGAGCUAUUUUAUAUUUAAAUAAUUGAACAUUCUCUAAUUGAAGCAAUAAAAAUAAAUAAAUAAAUAAUAAUAAAUAAUAAAUCAUUUAUAAAAAAGAAAAAGAAAAAUAUUUUUAUCAAAUAUUGAUUAUUUUUUAAAUUAAAAAUUGUGGUCAAUUAAGGCCCUGCAAAUGAUCCAAAUCACCAUUAAAAUCAAUCUGCGAGAGAAGAAGAAGACAUUAAAGAUGGAAGCUUCCUUUUCAUUCAAAAGCUGCCCAUUGUAAUAGAAGCAGCCCAGAUAACUUACACACAUAAUAACCAGCCCCACCUCUAUUCUGAGCUCAACCCAGAUUCAGGAGGAGGAAGAUGAACAAGAAGAAGAAGAUAGAAGCAGCAAAUAAAAGAAGAAACAGAAAAUGGAGGAAUUUCUCAGGCUCUGGUCUUGAAUGGGAUGGCUCUGAUUACUAUCUGGUGGUACAAGGCAGCAAGAGCAGCUCCAAUGAAGGGUCCAACCCAGAAAAUCCACUGAAGGGAACAACAAAAGAAUGAAAUCAAUACAAGGCAGAUUCACAGAUAAAUGAUGAGAUGAGAAGUGAUUGGGUCUGAUCAUGGA